RNAcentral lists this long non-coding RNA (95022 nucleotides) under Citrus x clementina. RNAcentral describes it as "Citrus clementina (C. clementina) long non-coding RNA (CCLE_LNC002393)". Lineage: Eukaryota; Viridiplantae; Streptophyta; Magnoliopsida; Sapindales; Rutaceae. The record is from RNAcentral.
GCCGUCUCCUCACUGUUGUAUGGUAUGAAACCUUCAGCUACCCAUAACUGAUAUAAUUGCCUCGUGGAUAUCUCAAUACUUGGAGGGAAGACACACAAAUAGAUGCAGCAGACUUUCAAGUGAAAAGGUAACUCCAUCACAGAGAAAGUUUGUCUCCAUACUGUCGGAAUCGCUUCGCCUUGAAGAUAAUUUCCUAAUGGCAUACUUCCAUAGUGUAGGACGAAAAAUUGCCAGGCUUCAAGCUUUAAUCUGAUCAAUGGUCCUCCAAUGAGCACCGAAUCAAGCCGAAUCUUCUCUCCGUUUUCCAUUUUCAGCGACGUAAGGAGUUCUGGUUCAGUGACCAAUAUCAAUACUCUGCUUCCAUUCUCAUUAUCAGGGAGAACUUCUUCGAGAUCACUCCAUAUCUCACUGUAAUCGAAGACGUCAUCAAGCACAAUAAAGUACUUCUUGUUGGUUAGGUAAUCUCGAAGAACAGAUUUCUUCAAUUGAUAAUGUUCACCGAUAAUUACACUAACCCGAGAUGGAGGCAUCACAGACUUGAUUAUGUCAUCCAAUAUCCAUACUUUAUCGUAGGCUAUAGAAACCCUUACCCAAGCAUGACAGUCAAAAUAGAACUUGACACGGUUAUUAUUGUAAGUAUCUGCAGCAAAAGCAGUCUUAUCGAAGCCACUGCUGUCGAGAAUUGCAACCACUGAAAGCCCAGAUGGUCCCUCAAUCAAUAGAUCAAAAAACUUCUCUCUGCCCCUUUCAAAUUCACUGAUAUCGAGCCGAGGUUGUCCCUCACUCAAUAGGCGUAUGAUUUCGUUCCUUUUUUCACUGAUAUCAAAACCAUUGUCGCCGGGUGGAAGUUGUUGCAUCCGAUUUCUAAUAUCAAUGAUUUUAGUGUGGAGUCCAACAAGAAGAGCCAUAUCAGUACUGCUUUCACUUUCGUUUUCACUGUUUUGCUGCUGCAUGAUUUUGAUGAAGAAUGUGUCAAUGGCUUCCUCAGAUUCAUGGACAAAGUCAUUGAUGUCCUCCAGAAUUUCAAAAAUAUCUGCUGUUUCAACGUCUUCUUCAUCGCUUUCUUCUAAGUCCAACAGUUGCAAAAAAGGCAAUGAUAUUUUGGAGUCAUCUAAUUCUUCUCUAAGGAGUUGAAACAAAUGCCGAGCCAUGUCAGCUUCAUAGUUUCCCAGCAGAGUAGUAGCAAUAAUUUCGGACUCCGUAAGAAGGUUUUGAAAACGUGGAGUUAAAUUUGUUGAAUCUGGCAAAGUUAACGUGCCUUCUUCACCUGCUAACACCCUUUUCAACCUCUCACAAAACAGUCGGAGGUGGAAUUCCAGCAUAUCUCCUUCUCUCCGUAGCACUCAGAGGUAUAGCUGAAAGAUUAAACACCAUGGAAGAAUUUGAAAGGAAAAUGCCAAGAAAUUGUGUAAGUGGCUAAAUUCCACAAAUAUGACAUUAUUGCUCAUUUUUUAACUCAAAAAAAGGGUACGCGUUCAUUUAGAGAAAAGUCCAAGACGCGUGCUUUUUGAAAAGAACAGGUAUCCCAAUCGGUAUCCAACCUUUAUCUUAUUUAAUUACUACCAUGACAUAAUUGAUGGUGCUUAAAUCAAUUGUUUCUUUUUUAAUUUAAAGAAUUUUUCAUUAAAAAAAUAUUUUAAUAUCAAAUUGCCUUCAGUGGCGUAACAACUGCCUGAAGCCCAGUAACAGGACUAAUUAAAAAUUUUACAAUUUUUGGGCAUGGAAAUAGUAGUAUUAAACAUUAGAAAGGUGAGGUUGUUCUGUUAAAGAAUUGAUAUUGACAUAAUUUUAUUUUGGUUUUCGUGGAAAACAAAAAUAUUUGUUGACAAGCAAGAAAAUAUUUUUAUUUUUUAAAAUUUAUUAUGCAUAUUUUAUCAUAUUGAAGUAAUUUUAAUAAUAAAUAGAAACAUAAUAUUACAAUAAAUAAAUUAAAAUUUAACUUAUUUUGAAUAUUAUAAAAAAUAAUUUUAAUAUUAUUAAUAGGAAGACAUUGUAUUAAUUUUAAAAUUUUUUAACCCAAAGGUUUAUUUAAAAUCUUUAUUAUAAAUACAAAUAUAAAAUUAAAUAUCAUAAUUUAAAAUUUUUAAUAUUAUUUUAAGUAUUAAAAAUAUUUUAAUGUUAUUAGUCUACUACAUAGAUCAUAUUACUUAUAUAAUAUUUGUAUUAUUAAAAAUUUUUAAAAUCAAAUUUUUAGUUAGUAUAUUCAUGAGGUAUUAUGGUUACAAAAAAAAGACCUUAUUAUUACUUUUUAAAAAAUUGAGGGUCUGCGAUGAUAAUUUUUUCAAAAAGAAAAUACAUGGUAUGUAGGAGGGGUAGAGAAACAGGACUUCCAAAAUCUCUCACCCUUCUUUAAUUAAAAAAAAAAUUAAAAUAUUAAUAAAAAAUAAUAAAGAAAAUAGAAUUUUAUCUGCUCCUUACUCCAUUUUUGCAACUCUCUCAACAUCUCUGUCGAGCAGCCUUCUCUCUCAUUGUCUCUCACUAUUUCACGAUCUCUCUCUCACUCACACAGGCAAUGACCAUCUCAUCAUCGGCGGUCGUGUCGUCAGUGUCACUGGUCUUGCUCGACCGAGACAGUGAGAGAGAGGUUUCUUAGAUGGAGUGAUGAUAAAGGAUUCUAUUUUUUUUAUUAAUAUUUUAAUUUUUAAAAUUAAAAUGUGCUGCCGUUUCUCUUGUCUUUUUAGCUGUUUAGCAGCACUCUUUUCAAAAUUUAAGAAUGUAGGUGUCCUAUAAGAGAUCGAUAAAAGAACGUCAAUUAAAUUUAUAAAAAUAUGAUAAAAGAACGUCAAUUACUUGUCUUUUAGGGAAUCCAAUGAGAAAUAUGAUAAAAGAACGUCAAUUACUUGUCAUUUUCAAUUUUUUUCUGUAAGCUAUUUAUUUUGAGCAUUAGUGAUCUUGUCUGGACUACUCCAAUUAUUGACGUAACUCCAGUGGCUGCAAUUAAUGAUAUAAAGCUGAGACUUUUGACCAAGUUAUCUAGUUGGGAAAGCAAAUUUUUUUCCAGUGGGGGUAAAGAAGUGUUGAUUAAAGCUGUUGCUCAGGCUGUGCCAGCCUAUGCAAUGAGUGUUUUUAAGAUCCCUCAUAGCUUUUGUGAUGACAUUGAGAAGGCUAUUACUCGUUUCUGGUGGGGUUCCUCUGAAACAAAAAGAAGCAUUCACUGGACAAGGUGGGAACAGUUGUGCCACGCCAAGAUAAGGGGGGGAUUGGGUUUUAGAGAUUUCUCUAGUUUUAACCAAGCCUUAAUUGCUAAGCAGGGGUGGAGAAUUCUGCAGCACCCUGACUCUUUAAUGGCAAAGAUUCUGAAAGCAAAAUAUUUUAAGCAUACUGGUUUUAUGGAUGCGAAAUUGGGUUCACACCCCUCUUUUGUUUGGAGAAGUAUAUUAUGGGGUAGGCAAGUGCUCCAUAACGGCCUAAGAUGGAGAAUCGGCAGUGGGAGUCAAGUUUUAAUUUCCAGUAGCAAUUGGAUAAAAAACCAUAAGCUUCCCAGUUUGGUUCCAUAUUCAGAUCUACCUCCUGAAACUGUAGUUGCUGACCUUAUUGAUGAAAGUCACCAAUGGAAAGAAGAUAUGGUUUUCCAAUAUUUUCCAAUGGAUGUUGCAAAGAGGAUCACCAGAACCCCUCUCCCAAAAACUCCCCAGCAGGAUCUUCUCAUUUGGAAAUAUGAUAAGCACGGAAUUUACUCGGUGAAGAGUGGGUAUCAAUUGGCUGUUAAGCAAAAAUUCCAAAAUUAUCCAAGUUGUUCAGAUGUUACCAAGUCAAGGUGGGAGGUGAUAUGGGCUACGGAUCUUCUAGGAAAAGUCAAGAUUUUUAUUUGGAGGGCUGCUCAAAAUCUUCUCCCUGACUUUUCUUGCAGCCCUCUAGUAUUCAGGGCAGCCUUAACUUCAUCCAAUGAUAAAGUCUGUCUCCCAUACAUGAGUGCAUCCACAAAGUUUGAAUAUGAGGAUGGAAGUGAACUAACCAGAAGCAAUGCUUUACCUUCAUCAUCUAAACCUUCAUCAAUUAUUUCCAAUGUAUCACAGACCUGAUUGAAUUCAUCAAUGUGGUCUUCGAGAGAUGACCCUUCAGCCAUCUUUAGUGUGAACAUUCUUUUCUUGAUGUAAAGUCUGUUGGCUAAUGAUUUAGUCAUAUACACCCUUUCAAGCUUUGCCCACAGAUCAGCCACUGUUCUUUCUCUUGCAACUUCCCUGAUCACCGAGUCUCCAAGACUCAAGAUUAUGGUACUCCUUGCCUUUUUGUCAAUCUCAGCAGCUUGUUGUGGUGUUAGUGAUGAUGAAGAUGUGGAGGCUUCUAAUCCUUCUUUCUUGAUGAUAGGUUCUAAGGCAUCACCUAGCCCUUGAGUGAUCAGUAAUGCCUCCAUUUUAACCUUCCACAUGUUGAAGUCAUUCUUCCCUGUAAACUUCUCUAGAUCGAUCUUUGAACCAACCAUACUUGUGUCUGAUUUGUAAUCCAAGCUCUGAUACCAAUUGUAGUGUUUAAGAGUGACUAACUAUCCCAAUCAACUCAAAACACUUCCCAAGAUCACACCCAAACAAACAAGAUGUACCAAGAAUCAAUCCAGUAGAAUACACACAGAUUAUUAGAACUGAAAGAAUUAAAGAAAAGGACAAGAAUUAACGUGGUUCAGCUAGCUUCAGUCUAGCUUACAUCCACGGGAGAAACAGAACCCAAUUGUAUUGAUUGUUUAAAGGAGUUACAGAGAGUUCAUCAAGCUUGUUACAGAGUCUCUCAAGAAGCCUUUUGUUAUUAAUCUUCUCAACUCACAAUAGCUCUCUCUUCUUUUUUCUCUGUUGCCAGAAUCAGCUGUAUAUAACAGCUUGUUAACGAAUCAGCAACCAACCCAGGAACCCACGUGACAGUCAUGUGAGUUAACUGAUUCUAACGAACCAAGAACGCAACUUAUCCAUGCACGUGAAACUCUCGUGCAUCACUUAACCAAAACGACCUUCAUACAUGUCGUUCCAGGAGAUACGAGUUUGACUUUCCAAAACGCAGCAUCAGCUGACGUUUUCACAAACAGAUUUGCUUCACAUCACAACAUUGGGGGUAGUCAUUAGAAACUCUGUGGGUAAGGUUGUUGCUGCAGCAGUCCAAGGAGCUCCAUAUAGGGGAGAUGUGGCGUGUAUGGAGGUUGAAGCUGUUCUGUUUGGUAUUCAGAGUGCCCAACAAGCAGCUGUUUUCCCAAUAAUUAUUGAGUCGGAUUCAAAGGAAGUGGUGGAUCUAUCCUUAAAGAAAAAGAUCAGCAAGACUGAAAUUGAGUGGAAAAUUGCAGAAAUCCAAGCAAAUCUGGAAAAUCAGAAUGUGUCCUCGCUGUCAUAUGUCCCUAGAAGCUGUAACUCUAUUGCUCAUUCUAUUGCAAAGAUAGCUCUAGGUUUUGAAAGUCAAGUCUUUUGGCUGGAAAACUUUCCAGAACAUAUCAGGUGUACUCUUGCUAAGUUCAUCAAUUGAAAAGCUUUACUUUGCUCAUCAAAAAAAAAAAAAAAAAAAAAACUCCAGUGGCUGCAUCCACUGGAAAAAGUGGAUGAGAACCAUUUUUUUUUCAUAAAGGUAACUACUCACAUAAUUGAUGGUGCUUAAAUCAAUUUUUUCUUUCUUUUUUUUUUAAUUUAAAGAAUUUUGCUUUAAAAAAUAAUUAAUAUCAAAAUGCCUUCAAUGUUGUUACCCUCACAAGCCCAGUUAGAGGACUCAUUAAAAAUUUUAGAAUUUUUAGGCCUGGAAAGCGUAGUAUUAAACAUCAGAAAGCAAAGGUUUUUAUGUCGAAGAAUUGAUGUCGACAAAAUUUUAUUUUAGUUUUCGGGAAAAAAAAUAAUUUGUUGACAAGCAAGAAAAUAUUUUUUAUACUUUACAAUCUGCUAUACAUAUUUUAUCAUAUUAAAGUAAUUUUAAUAAUAUAUGGAAACAUAAUAUUAUAAUAAAUAAAUUAAAAUUACUUUGAAUUAUUAAAUAUUACAAAAAGAUAAUUUUAAUAUUAUUAAUAGGAAAACAUUUUUUAAUUGUAAAAUCUUUUUAAUACAAAAAAUCAUUUAAAAUCUUUAUAAUAAAUACAAAUAUAAAAUUAAAAAAUAUCAUAAUUAAAAUUUUUAAUAAUAUUUAAAUAUUAAAAAUACUUUAAUAUUAUUAAUCUACUACAUAAAAUAUAUUAUUUGUAUUAUACUCGUAUUGAUUAAAACGUUUUAAAGUCAAAUUUUUAAUUAGUGUAUUCAAAGGUAUAAAAGAUUUUAGUAUUAUUUUUUAAAAAUUUCAGGAUAUGAAUGAUAAUUUUUUCAAAUUUUAAAGAUGUAAGAAUCUUUUUUUCUGAUAAUUUAUUUCACUUUUAAGAGAAUCCGAAAACGUUAAUUUAACAUUCUUUACCUUUGUAUAAAAAGUGAAAAUCAAGAACUAUUCAAUUUUGUUUUUAUUUGUAAUUCAAAAACGUUAUUCAUUUUCGAUGCUUUUCAAAAGAGAUUCCUUUAAAUCCUUUUGGUGGCUGCAGCUCCUGCAAUUUUCAUAAAUCUCCAUCCCACAUCAACACUAUCAAACAAGUUGAUGGAAAUUCUUAUCAAAAUUCCACAAAUAUGACGUUAUUGCUCAUUUUUCUCUCAAGACGCGUGCCUCCUGAAAAGAGAUACAUUGAAUAAGUCAAUUGAUUACAUUGUGGGUAAUUAAUUUAGAAGUGAAGCAGAGAAUAAAGUCCUAGAUGCCUUUAGAAAUUAGAAAUACAUUUUAUAUGCUUUAAUUAAUGAAUUCACUGAGGCAUUAUUGAUCCAAUCCCAGUGAAGUAAUUGUGGGUGAAAAAAAAAAAUAAAGUGCUGAAUUGGCUAUUAAAAAAGAGUGUCACUUGAUCACAAUCACAUUGAUCCACAACUCACUCGAGGCAAAUUUCAUCUAUGUGUACUGCAAAUUUAGCCAAACCAUGCAUGCAUGAACAAAAUUAGGCCGUAGUCCUCAUCACAACAUUAAUUGAAGCCACAAAAGCCAGCAAAUCCAAACGAAAACUUAAAAGGAAGUCUUUUAACUAUUGGAAACAUUAAUCAUUUUACAAUCUAUUACAUAAUAAAGAUAAAUUUUAUAAUAAGUUAAGUUAGAACUAGGGAAGGCAAAUUUUCCCGAUGGGAUGGGAUCCUGCGGGAUCCCAUCCCAUUUGGGACGGGAUUGAGACAUAUUUUUGUCCCAUAAAAAAAUUUAGGACGGAAUUGGGAUUUUUUUUAUCCCAAUUACAUAUGCGGGACAUGAGUGGGAUUGACAAAUUCCGUCCCAUCCCAUCUCAUUACCGAUUAAUAAUGGAAAUUUUUCCAAUUGGGAUGGGAUCCCGCGGGAUCCCAUCUCUUUUAGGACGGGAUUGGGACAUAUUUUUGUCCCAAAAAAAUAUAAGGACGGGAUUAUGACAUUUUUUCAUCCCAUUUGCAUAUACGGGAUGGGACUGGGAUUGGUAAAUCCCAUCCCAUCCCAUCCCAUUGCCAACCCUAGUUAAAACAUAUCAAAUAUUUUCAACAUAUAUAAUUAUUUAAGAAGUCUUUUAACAAUAUUUUUUUUUCUUUUUCAGUUAAUCAUGUCAUAUACCGUUAUCUAAAACGCUGGCGAUAUUAUUAUUCCUCACUUUUCUCAAAAAAAAAAAAGAAAAAAAAAAGAAACAUGAUUAACGUUUAGAGAAAAGUCAUGCCUUUUAAAAAGAAUAUGUAUACAAUAGCAAUCCAUACUUUAUAAAAUUGAUGGCGAUUACAAAGAAAAAUUGUUUAAAAUAGAUUUGAUGCACAAAUAUGAUGACUUUUGGCAAAAAUUAGUUUCGGAAAUGUUGAGAUGAAAACCAUAUUAAUUGAGAAUUAAAAUUAUUUAACUACCAUCUAAUAGAUGAAAACCAUAUCAAUUGGGACUUAAAUUAAAAUUUAAAUAUUGAAAUAUCUAGCAUUACUCACAAUAACCAAUUCAAAUUAUGACUAUCAUGUAGAAGCAAAUGUUUAUGCGUGGGUUUUUUACUUCUUGAAUUUGAUUGGAAAAAUUUCUAAGAUAGAGAAGUGUUUUGGAUAAGCUUUUCGGGAUUGAAACCACAAAUUGGUAGAGGAAAUUAAUUUUGGACAAAUUUUUCUUAUAUUGUAGGACCUUCUAGUUGGAGUAGUGAUGGCUUUGUCUUCAUUUUUGGUUCCUUUUGUGUCGGCAGCCCCUUACUAUUCUCUUGACCCUGAGUUUGAGAUAGAAAUUUAUCAACCUCCAACCCCACAUCCACAAACAAGUUGAUUGAAACAAUUGCUCUUUUAAUUAAGAGGACCCAAAUGAUUUAGGUUUCAGUUCUUAUCAUUUGUCUAUUAUUUCUUUGAAACAUUUAUUUUGAGCGUUACUGAUCUUAAUUAUCUGUAUUUCUCCAAUUAUUGAAGAAUUUCAAGUGGCCACUUUUUCUCCUUUUUAUAUAUGUUUAUUUUUUGGAGUGAUCAAACGGGUGCAAAAUCAAGUAUUCGCUGGUCCGUAGUUUAGCCAACUAUGGCUGAUCCACACAGUUGAUUAUAUGAUACUAUUAGCUCUCAAAAUCUUUCUUAUUUGAGAACAUAAAUUGCCCAUUAAAGUUAAACUAUGUUACCCAGCUCCAUGCACAUACAUUAAAUGUUUAGGUAGUUUUACAAAAUGAUAACAGCAUGCCAAAACUUGAUGUUGUCAUAUUCGACAUUUCAAAUUGAAAAAUACGCAAGCAAUCUUCAGUGAACAUUACGUGUUUAUUGAAUAAUUUAAAUGGCCAGUAAAUCAACAGUCCGUGAGUUUUAAAUCUAUUAUGACUUAAUGUAUCUUUCUGUAUUUGUACACAUAUUAUAUUAUCAUAGUUUAAAAUUUUAAUAUUAUUUUAAAUGUUAAAAAUACUUUAAUGCUAUUAGUCUACUACACAGGUUAUAUUAUUUAUAUUAUAUUUGUAUUAAUUAAAACUUUUAAUGUCAAUUUUCUAAUUACUAUAUUAAUAAAGUAUUAUGGUUAAGAAAAAGUUUUGGCAUUUCUUCUUGAAAAUUUGAGGGUCUGCAUGACAAUUUUUCCAUAUUCUAAGGGUAUAAGUUUGAAAAUUUAACAUUCUCUAAAUUGAUGAAACAAAAAGGGGAAACCAAGAACUAUUCAAUUUUGUAUUUUUUGUUUGUAAUUCAAAAAAUGCAUCCACCAAACAAGUUUUACGCAUUAAUGCUGUCAUAAAACGAAAAACAAUUUGCCAAAAAAGGGUACCAAACAUAUCCUUAAUGUCUCACAUGAUUUCUUAGUAAGCCCGUAUUAGAUAUAUUUAUACAUUUUAGGUAUUUUAGUUAUAAAAGAAGUUGGCCCUCCCUUGUUUAUAAAAAAUAACUUUAUUCAUGCACAUAUGCCAAAAGAAUAAAUAGACAGAAAGUAAAUUUACAGUCCUCACUUCCUCACAAUUGUUAACGUGAAGAUGCAUUACAACUGUGAACUGUCACUACUUUAGCCUUUUUUUUUAAAAAAAAAAAUUAUAGUGUGAUGGAGACAUUAAGGAUGAGCAUAACAGUUAAAGAUGACUCAUUUUCUUUUUAAAGUGCUCUGCUGAAAGCCGAACUUCCUUUGGCUAAUUAAUUUAGAAGUAAAGCAGAGAAUAAAGUCCUAGACGCCUUCUGAAAUAAGAAAUACAUUUUAUAUGCUUUAAUUAUGAUUAUUUGGUAGACUAAAGACCUAAAAGAUAUGUCAAAAGUAUAAAACAGAGCGAUUAAAGAAAAAAGAAAAAAAACAGAGUAUUUGUGACGUAGAAUAACAAUUGGUAAAUAAAUCCUAAAUAUUUGAGUUGUUAAAAGCAAAUAUAACAGAGACGGUAAGAGAGAUGCAGAAACAGAAAACUAUUAGCUUAUCUUGAUUUUUCCACUAUAUUCAUUUUCAAUGCUUUUCAAACGAGAUUCUUUUAAUUCUUCUGGUGUCUGCAGCCCCGGCUAUUCUUAUAAAUCUCCAUCCCACAUCUGCACUACGAACAAGUUGACUGAAAUUAAAUAAUGUUGGAGAUGAAGGGUGAGCCGUCAACUUGUUAAAAAAAAACUCAUGUAUAAUAUUAUCAAUAAUAUAAAAUAUAUAAUAAUUAUUACAAAGAAUCAUAAAUUAGAAAAAUUAAUUAUUUUACAAUCUAUUUCUUAAGUAAGGUGGCGUUUGUUUUUUCAUCUGAAAUCUGAAUAGACCUGAAUUAAUCUGAAUUCUGAAUAGAUCUGAAUGUCUGAAUCUGAAUAAUAUGUUUGUUUUUUUGUUUGAAUCUUGGAAAAUAAGUAUUAAGUUGUUUGUUUUUUUCAACUUAAAAAGCUGAAAAUAUGUACUUUUACAUUUAUAUCCUUAUUAAAUUUGAAUGUCAAAUAAAUAAUAAAUUAAAUACCACAAUAUUUUAACAUUUAUAAGUAAAACUAUAUUCAAGUGAAUACAUAAUUAUUUUGGAAUUUUAAUAGAUAAAAUACUAAAAAUUUUAAAUUUUAUCGUAUAUAAUAUAAGAAAGAAAAAAUAGGAAAAUUUUCAUGUGGGGUAAAUGUUUAUGGGUGAGUUUUGGGAUAGACAUGAAAAAUAAAUUAUAAAGCAGGGAUAUUUUUGAUAUUAGCAAGUAAUUGACUUAAUUCAGAUUUCUCCAUUAAGUAAAAAGCCAAAAGAAUUGGCUUAUUUUAUUAAGUCAAAAUUAUCUAAAAAGUCUCAUUAAGUUAUAAAAACAAACACCUCUAAUUAACUUAAUUAAUUAAGUUAAGUCACUUUAAGUCAUUAAGUUAAAAAACAAACGCCACCUAAGAUAAAUCUUGUAAUAAGUUAAGUUAUAACGUAAAAAAUAUUUUCAAUUUAUAAUCAUUUAAGAAGUCAUUUAAUAAUAAAAUCUUUUUUUUUUAUCAGUAGGCCAUGCUACAGAGUAUCAUCUAUAUUCGUGGUGAUAUUAUUAUUACUCAGUAUCCUCAAAAAACACGAUUUAACAUUUAGAGAAAAUUCCUGCCUUUUAAAAAGAACAUGUAUGCAAUAGCUAGCCAUACUUUAUUUUACCACGACAAAAUUGAUGGUGAUUAAAUCAAUUUUCUCAAUUAAAGCAAAAUUUUUUAAAAUUGAUUUAAUGCACAAAUAUGAUGAUUUUUUGUAAAAAUUAGUUUUGGAAAAUAUAGUGAGAGAAAAUGGUGACGAUUAUUUUUCAAAUGUGCAAAUAGCCUAAACAUAAUCUCUAAUACCAAUAUCCAUGUGCAUCUUAACACCUUUCAUGAUAUUCUUUCAUUCAUGGCCAUUUGUUCAAGAUUUGAAUUUGAUUAUUAAAUUAUGUUCAAUAAUGUUAGAGAUCCCAACAAUUGAGUACCAACUUAAAUCCCAAUGCUAUGUGUCAUUAACAAAUGUUGUGUCAUUUAUAAUUAUUGAAUGAAUAAUUCGUUAAUUUAUUGAUAAAUGAAAAUUUAUUAAUUUAAAGAGAGAUAUUUUUUUUUGGUUUUAAGAAGAGUUUUGUUGGUACAUGUACAUACUUAUAAAGAAAUAAACUUGUAAUUAUACUAUAUCUUUCUUUCUUUGUUCAGUUUGGUGGGAUAUUGUGAUAAAUCAUUGGAUUAAAAUGCAUUUCUAAAUUGAAACUUGUUAAAAUCUAAUUUAUUUGGGAAACACAUGUUAUUUGUCAGUCGUACUUCUCAACUUAGCAAGUUAUUUCUAACUUGUCAGUCUCUAUUGGUUCUCUUAAAGUUAAUAGUCUCGAAUCUCCCGCAUUUGAUAUCUUGCCAUUACUCUUGGCAUUAACAUGUUACCUGAGAUUGGGAUUCAUUAAAAUCCUCAAUGUAAUCGGUGGAACGAAUGGAUUUCUUCUGUUCACCAAUCCACCAAAAUUUCUGUAAUUAAAUUCAAAAGUCAAGAUCUAUGCUUAUAAUCUAUUCAACAGUUAAUAUUCUAUUUUAUAUUUACUUAAAUAUGAAGAGCUAUGCUUGUCAUUAACUUCAAAUGUGAUCGAAGCAGCCUUACAUCUGUAUAUUACUUAUUCCCAACCUUUUUUUUGACUUCAUAUACUUUCUUUUCAUGUUAUUUACUCUUUUUUCCCCCCUCUCUAAUGGGGUCAAACUUGAAAGUAUCUUAAAAUCAGACAAUAAUUUUUUUUUUAUGAUAGAUGCUAAUAUGCUCUAUUAGGCAAUGAUAAGUAAUAACCUAGUUGUUUGCAUUAGAAAUGAUAUUUUUUGUGGUGCUGAUAAAGUGGUUGAGUAUGAUUCAACAAUUUAAAAUAUGAAAACAUGUGGAAGACGGCUGCAAAUAAAUUGAUUGUAUGAAAAUAUUUCAAUGAAAUUUUAAAAAUUUAAUACUUGUUAUCUUAUCGAGAGUUCCCAAAUAAUUGGGCUAGUUUAAUUACCGGCCUAAUUAUUGUAGCCACUAUUGUAUGUUCCCAAAUGAUCCCCGGGUUAGCUCAUUUAAUUGACUGCACCACUACUGGACUAAUAAGUAAGAUAACUAGCUAUUUGGGUCAAAAGCCUAAAUAUAUCAUUUAGUGGGAGGCUCCAUUUAAUUAGCUUUUGUAUAAGGGGCCUUAUGUUAUUUUACAAGGUGGGUCCCCUAUUGAAAAAGAAAAUAACGUGAGUUUUAUUUAGGGCAUUAUUUGGAGCCUAGGGUUUUCACUAAAGGGAGAUAUAUAAGGCUUAUUUUCUCUAAAGAAAAAAGAAAAGCCACUUUAUACAGAUCAGAGAAUAAGAUUUUUCUCUCCAUUGUUGAGAGAAAAAUUUUCUCGUGCUAGUUGCUUUGGUAGUGAUAAAGGCGCCCACACGUCAAGUGCAGAUCGAACCUGAGUCAUAACCUGGAAGAUCAUUGGUGACAGUUCAUGAUCUAACAAGCGUGGUGGUGACGGUUCGUGAUCUAACAAGCGUGGUGGUGACGGAUCGUGAUAUAACAAGAGUGGUGGUGGCGGAUCGUGAUCUAGGAGCCUAAAUCACUUCAGCGGAAAAAGCCAACUCGGAUUUUCAAGGUACGAUUUCUAGAAUACGAAUUCUUAUAUAUUAUAUGAGAGCGAUCUUCAAAAGGUUUUAUAAAAAUUUAAAAGCAGCAUGUGCUGCUGGCAGCUCGCUGCUGCGUAUGUAGCAACUGCAGCGCGCGAGCAGCAGCUGCAGUGCCCAAGCAGCAGCGUGAACGUGGGCUGGAGGCGCAGAGCGUUCUGGUUGGCGUCUUUCCGGCGUCGAUGACGGCUGUCCGGUGUGGAAACAGUAAACAACGGCUGGGUUUUUGUGCUGGUGGCGGCUGGGGAAGAAGAGGAAAAGAAAAAUGUGAUUUUAGGGUUCCAUGGUUUUUAUCGUGGAGGUCCCUAUAGCUUCAUAUUUUUCAGUUGGGCAGAAACGUUUUUUAAUUUUUUGCAUUUAAGUCCAAAAACCGUUUUGGGCUUAAAGAAUCCUAGUUUUAGGCCCAAUUUCAAUUGGGCUUAAUGGAUUAAAAAAAUGCAUAGACAAAAUUAAAUACAUUAAAUUUAUUUUUGGUCCAAAAGUUUUAUUUUAAUAAAAAAAAUUAAUUAUUUAUUUAUUUCCUUUCAAAAUUAAAAUUGGACCAAUUAUAAAUUUAAAAGCCCAAUUUCCCCUAGUCCAUUAACAAAAACAAGCUUAUGGAAGAUGGACAUUGACAAGAAGCCCAAUGAAGAUUAGGCAUAGGGUUAAUGUAUUUUUCAUUAUUAGGAAAGGCAUGAAUUAAGAUUAUUUAAUUGUUUUUCUAUAUGUUAUGUUUUGGAUGAUAACAUGCCAUGAUAACAUGUAAUAUAGAAUAGGUAGUGCCACUCUAUGCAUAAUGAUACAUGUCAUUCAUUAAUUAUGAAUUUCAUUAUAUUGUUUGAAAUUUGCGCAUGCUUAAUAAUAUUUGAUAUCAUCUAGAUAAUAUUAUAGGAAGCAUGCAAUUAACAAUAUGUAUGUUUUAAAAAGGAAAAACCAAUUUUAAAAUAUUGAGUGGGAGAGGGAAAAUUCAAGAUAAUUUUCCCACGGGCUCCAUUGUUAGUUCAAUAAUAAAAUUAUAUAUAUACCUCGACUUCAUGAUACAGUGAUGCUCAUUACGGAGGGUAUAUAUAUUAGAUAGUUUAUUUGAUGAACUUCUUCAAAGAUAAAAUUGAAAUAUUUUUCAAUCGAUUGUUCACCCCAACGGUGACUAUUGAUAUGAAAAAUACGUAGAUUGAAACAAUGGUUAUACACUCAACUAAAGUUUGUUAUUAAUCUUCCCAACGAAGCUCUGUUAACAAAUUUAGGCCCAAAAAGAUAACGAUAAUUAUUUAUCAUGUCUCUACAUGAAAGUAAAUAAUCCAAUGGGUAAUUGGGUCUAGUAAGUAUAGACAUGACUUCCCCACCGGAUAGCUUGUCAAAGCAGUACUAGAUUAUCGUUACAAUAAAUUAAAAUGCAUUUAUGGUUUUUUGCAUUUUUUUCAUUUAUUGUGAAUAUUGAUUCAAAUUAUUUAUGCAUGGAUGUUUUUAUUUUUCAGAAAAUGUCUUCCCUGAGCCCACUUACUAUUAUUCUGAGUCAAAACAAACUCACUGGAGAGAACUAUAUAGAUUGGAAAAGAAAUCUAUUCAUUGUCCUGACUGCUGAAAAUUAUAAAUAUGUCUUAACCCAGCCAUGCCCCCCAGUUCCAGCGGAUGAUGCUCAUAGAAAUCAGAGGAGGCUUUAUGAGAAAUGGCAAAAGGCCAAUGAAAUGGCAAAGUGCUACAUUUUAGCCUCGAUUUCUAAUAUUCUGCAGACCAAACAUCAGAACUUGGAGACUGCCACUGAAAUAAUGAAUAGUCUCCAACAGAUGUUCGGGCAGAGUACUCGCUCUGCGAGACAAGCAGCGCUGAAAGGAAUUAUGAACAGUAAAAUGGGGAAGGGCACAAGAGUUCGUGAUCAUGUCCUCAAAAUGAUGGACUAUUUGAAUGAGGCUGAGAUUCAGGGAGCACAAAUCGAUGAUAACUCAAAGAUUGACAUGGUGCUAGAAUCUCUGCCAGAAACAUUCAAGGAGUUUAAGGUCAAUUAUAACAUGAACAAAAGAAAUAUGACCUUAACUGAAUUGAUGAAUGAACUCCAUUCUGCUGAAGAGAUCUAUCGUGCUGAGAAAUCUCUGGGAAGCAUAAAUUUUACUGAAAAAAGUUCAUCUUCUGGGCCUAAACCGAAAGGCAAAGGUAAGAAGAAAGCUGGGAAAAAAAGACCGUCUACCAAGCAAGAUGGCAAGCCGAAAGGCAAAUGCUUCAAGUGUGGACAGAAAGGUCACUGGAAAAAGGAUUGCCCUAAGAUUGUGAAAUCAGGUAUGGGAAAUCUUUUUUGUAAUUGAGGCCUGUUUAGUUCAGAAUCCUAUUGACACUUGGGUGUUGGAUUCAGGAGCAACUAAUCAUAUUUGUAAUUCACUUUAUUGGUUUCAGGAAACCAGGAAAAUAAGUGAAAGAAGCGUCAAGCUGCAGUUAGGGACAGGACAGUUCGUGUCAGCAGUAAAGACUGGAUCUGUUUUAUUAUCUUUUAAUAAUGAGACUUUAGUUUUGAAUAAUUGUCUUUAUGUUCUAGACAUUAAGAGGAAUUUAAUUUCAGUAGCUUGUUUGUCAAAGCAAGGGUACACUGUAAAUUUUGGAUCCUCUGUUUCUAUUUUUCAUAAUAAGAGACUUAUUUGUUCUGGUACAUUGGAAGAUAAUUUAUAUCAUUUAAGUCCAAUGAUCCAUUCUAUGCAUGACACAGUGAUAAAUAAUAAUGAGCAUACACAUUUAUCUAAGAAAAGAAAUAUUUCUUCCAACCAAUGUUACCUCUGGCAUUUAUGCUUGGGUCAUAUAAACCAAAAUAGGAUACAAAGAAUGAUCAAAGAUGGGCUCUUGGGUCCAUUAGAAAAUGAAUCAUUGCCACUCUGUGAAUCCUGUUUAGAAGGGAAAAUGACCAAAAGGCCAUUCUCGGCCAAAGGAGUACGUGCAACAGUACCACUUGAAUUGGUACAUACAGAUGUAUGUGGACCAAUCAAUGUACAAGCUCGAGGAGGUUAUGAGUAUUUCAUCACUUUUACUAAUGAUUACUCAAGAUACGGUUAUGUUUAUCUGAUGCGUCAUAAGUCUGAAGCUCUUGAGAAAUUCAAAGAGUAUAGGGCUGAGACAGAAAAGCAAUUAGAUAAGAACAUAAAGAAACUUCGAUCUGAUCGAGGUGGUGAAUUUCUCUCAGGAGAUUUCAAAGAGUAUCUGGUUGAAAAUGGGAUUAUAUCUCAAUUGACUGCCUCGGGAACACCACAACAAAAUGGGGUAGCUGAAAGAAGAAAUAGAACUCUUUUGGAUAUGGUGAGAUCUAUGCUUAGUUAUUCUUCAUUACCAAUCUCUUUUUGGGGACUAGCACUGGAAACUGCAGUUUACCUUUUGAACUUAGUUCCAUCUAAGUCAGUGCCUAAAACCCCAAUAGAAUUAUGGUCAGGUCGCAAACCAAGUUUACGACAUGUCCGUAUUUGGGGAUCACCAGCACAUGUGCUGAAACCAAAGGCAGACAAAAUGGAUUCACGUUCUGAGGUUUGUAUGUUUGUGGGGUAUCCCAAAGGAACAAGGGGAGGUUUAUUUUAUAGUCCUCAAGAUAGGAAAGUGAUCGUGAGCACACAUUUCACUUCCCUUGAGGAAGACUAUAUGAAUAACUUCAAACCUAAGAGUAAGGUAAUACUUGAAGAGCUGUCAGGUGAUCAGGUUGAUGCUCAGCUUUCAACGCCUGUUACAGAACAGGAAGAACAGCAACAACCAGAUGAUCAACACAGGAUUAACCCUGAACAACCAUCACUUUUAUAACCUCGUCGUAGUGGGAGGGUAACUAGGUUACCUGCGAGAUACAUGUUUUUGGGAGAAAUCUAUACGGCUAUCUCAGAUGAACAUGUACAAGAUCCCACUAGUUACAACGAAGCUCUAAUAGAUAGAGAUGUUGAAUUUUGGAAAAAGGCCAUGAAUCAAGAAAUGGAUUCUAUGUAUUCCAAUAAAGUCUGGGAACUUGUAGAGGCACCAAAUGGGAUAAAACCUAUAGGGUGCAAGUGGAUCUACAAGAGAAAAAGAGGAGUAGACGGAAGGGUGGAAACAUUUAAAGCAAGAUUAGUAGCCAAAGGGUUUACUCAGAAAGAGGGAAUUGAUUAUGAGGAAACUUUUUCUCCGGUUGCUAUGCUUAAAUCCAUCAGGAUUCUGCUCUCCAUUGCUGUAAUGCUAGAUUAUGAAAUUUGGCAAAUGGAUGUCAAGACUGCCUUUCUUAACGGGCAUCUUGAAGAAAACAUCUACAUGCAGCAACCAGAUGGAUUUAUACAAAAAGGCCAAGAACACAUGGUAUGUAAGUUGCAGAAAUCCAUUUAUGGAUUGAAACAAGCAUCCCGGUCAUGGAACAUCAGAUUUGAUCAAGCGAUUAAAUCGUUUGGAUUCAUUCAGAACAUUGAUGAACCAUGUGUGUACAAGAAAAUUCAAGAAAAAUCUGUAGCCUUCCUAAUUUUUUAUGUAGACGAUAUUCUCCUAAUUGGAAACGAUAUAGGAGUAUUGACUACAAUAAAGAGUUGGUUAGCAAAACAAUUUGAUAUGAAAGACCUGGGAGAGGCAAGUUAUAUUCUUGGUAUCAAAUUACUACGAGACCAGAAGAAUAAAACUUUAGCCUUGUCUCAAGCGGUCUAUAUCGAUAAGAUAUUGGCUAGAUUUAGCAUGGAAAAUUCCAAGACUGGUUUAUUACCAUUCAGACAUGGAAUUACAUUCUCUAAGGAUCAAUCACCUAAAACAUCUGAAGAGAUAGAGAGAAUGAGACGAGUUCCCUAUGCAGAAGCUGUGGGAAGUCUUAUGUAUGCCAUGCUUUGCACUAGGCCAGACAUCUGUUUUGCGGUAGGGAUGGUUAGUAGAUAUCAAUCUAAUCCUGGACCUGAACACUGGACUGCGGUCAAGCAUAUAAUGAAGUAUCUGAAAAGAACUAAAAAUUAUAUGCUUGUGUAUUCUGGUGAUGAACUCAUUCCAGUGGGUUAUACUGAUUCUGACUUUAUGUCAGAUAAGGAUUCCAGAAAAUCAACUUCCGGCUAUGUGUUUACAUUGGGAAGUGGAACUAUUAGUUGGAGGAGUGUGAAACAAUCUUGUAUCGCAGACUCCACAACUGAAGCUGAAUAUGUGGCUGCAUCCGAAACUGCAAAAGAAGCUGUAUGGCUCCGCAAGUUCCUACAAGAUCUUGAGGUGGUACCUGCUGUAACUGCACCCCUUAAACUAUUUUGCGAUAAUAGUGGUGCGGUAGCUAAAUCUAAGGAACCACAAGAAACAAAAACAUAUUGAGAGGAAGUAUCAUCUUAUAAGGGAUAUAGUGCAGAGAGGUGAUGUGGAGGUUACUCAGAUUGCGUCACAGCAAAACUUGGCAGAUCCUUUUACUAAGGCCAUACCUGGGAAACCUUUUAACUUGCACUUGGAAUCCAUGGGCAUGCGUGAGAUGCCAAAUAUGCUUUGAGAGCUAGUGGGAGAUUGUUGGGAAAAUAUGCCCUUUAAAAGCAUAUGUGUUUAUUUAAUUGUAAUAAACAAUUUUUCUGAUUAAUAAAAUAAAUGAGGUAUUUUAUUCAAAUAUCUUAAUUGCAUUAAUAUUUGUAUUAAAGUCCAUUUAAUCAUAUUAUAUGUAUUUAUGUGAUCACCAUGUGGAUUCACAGAAGACAUAAAUACAAGUUAUCUUAUGAUUAAAUAAAUUUAGUUCGCAGUUGAUAAAUAAAGUUGGGCACUUUAUUUAGGUAUAGACUGUAAUAAAUUCAUUGAAUGAUUUGUCUUAAUCAUGUAUGAAUUUAUUGAUGUAGUACGACUACAUUAAACAGGAUCACAUGUGAGAUUUAAUUAACUUUGUAAUAACUGUCAGACUUAUUAAAUCUUAUAGGCAUUGAUUUUACUGUAAUCUUAAUCUUGAGUUAAUUAUGAUUUCAUGAUUGUAAUUGUUAUUCCAUUUGAGUUACCAAUGGGCACGACACAUCCUUGUGGUCAAGAUUACCCGGUAUCUUGGUGGGAGCAAUUAUGAGUAUUGGAGUUAUGGAUUAACAAUAUAGAAUUUGUACAACACAUCUCUCGAUAGGUUUUCGGCACUUGAUCAUAGAAUUCUUUGGCCAGAGUGUGUCAACAUAUUUAGUAUGUUGAAAAUGAUCAUUAGAGAAAACCAGUAAGGAUCAAGGAAUAAGAUGUUAUUAAAUUGAUUGGACAGUUGAGAUAUCAAUUUAAUUAACGAUGUGGUACAAAGGAUUGUGCAGUAAAGAAAUCAAUGUGGCUUGGGACGAAUUAUUAUUCGAGCAUACAAUUAUGGAAGUCAGUUCCAAUCUUUUAGUGGAGUAGAUUUGGAAUUAAAUAAUUGGGCUAGUUUAAUUACAGGCCUAAUUAUUGUAGCCACUAUUGUAUGUUCCCAAAUGAUCCCCGGGUUAGCUCAUUUAAUUGACUGCACCACUACUGGACUAAUAAGUAAGAUAACUAGCUAUUUGGGUCAAAAGCCUAAAUAUAUCAUUUAGUGGGAGGCUCCAUUUAAUUAGCUUUUGUAUAAGGGGCCUUAUGUUAUUUUACAAGGUGGGUCCCCUAUUGAAAAAGAAAAUAAUGUGAGUUUUAUUUAGGGCAUUAUUUGGAGCCUAGGGUUUUCACUAAAGAGAGAUAUAUAAGGCUUAUUUUCUCUAAAGAAAAAAGAAAAGCCACUUUAUACAGAUCAGAGAAUAAGAUUUUUCUCUCCAUUGUUGAGAGAAAAAUUUUCUCGUGCUAGUUGCUUUGGUAGUGAUAAAGGCACCCACACGUCAAGUGCAGAUCAAACCUGAGUCAUAACCUGGAAGAUCAUUGGUGACAGUUCAUGAUCUAACAAGCGUGGUGGUGACGGUUCGUGAUCUAACAAGCGUGGUGGUGACGGAUCGUGAUCUAACAAGAGUGGUGGUGGCGGAUCGUGAUCUAGGAGCCUAAAUCACUUCAGCGAAAAAAGCCAACUCGGAUUUUCAAGGUACGAUUUCUAGAAUACGAAUUCUUAUAUAUUAUAUGAGAGCGAUCUUCAAAACGUUUUAUAAAAAUUUAAAAACCGAAUUUUUUCACCAACACUAUGUAGCUAGAUGGCAUUUCUAGUGUUUCAAGGUUUAAAAGGGUGCAUAGCAGUGAAGGAAGGCAUUUGACCGAAGGGAUAUUCAAUUUCAAAUACUUCAAAAGAUAUAAAUUUUCUAAUCCGGGCGGAUAUUGGUCCAGGACUGCAAAACCCAAAUUCAAUACCUGAAGGUGUUUGAACUUUUUACAAAAAUUCUCGCAAUCUAUCAGAGCGAGACGAUCGCUUUCUGAACUGUGAUUCAGAAAAGAUUGGAGACGCAUGUCAGAAUAUUCUAAAGGAAAGAAGUCAAUCAGGCGUUCCACAAUGAAGCACCGUUUAACAUUUGCCACUGAUUCUUCUUCCAUUUCAGGCGUCAAGACAAAUCCCGUCUUCUUUGCCACAAAAUACAAUGAAGUAAAUUCAAGACUUGGAACAUAACACGCUUUAAUUGUGCCGCCGGCGCUUCUCUUACUCACUUGAAUGAAGCCGCGAUGGAUUAGUUCUUUCAAGUAAUGUUCGGCAGUUUCUUCAUCGUUGUAUGGUAUGAAACCUUCAGCUACCCACAACUGAUAUAAUUGCCUCGUGGACAUCUCAAUACUUGGAGGGAAGACACACAAAUAGAUGCAGCAGACUUUCAAGUGAAAAGGUAACUCCAUCACAGAAAAAAUUUAUCUCCAAACUGUCGGAAUCGCUUCGCCUUGAACAUAAUUUUCUAAUGGCAUACUUCCAUAGUGUAGGAUGAAAAAUUGCCAGGCUUCAUGCUUUAAUCUGAUCAAUGGUCCUCCAAAGAGCACUGAAUCACGCCGAAUCUUCUCUCCAUUUUCCAUUUCCAACGACGCAAGGAGGUGUGGAUCACUGACCAACAUCAAUACUCUGCUUCCAUUCUGAUUAUCAGGAAGAACUUUUUCAAGAUCACUCCAUAUCUUACUGUCAUCGAAGACAUCAUCAAGCACAAUAAAGUACUUCUUGUUUGUUAGGUAAUCUCGAAGAAUAGAUUUCUUCAAUUGAUAAUCUUCCCCGAUAAUUACACUAACCCGAGCUGGAGGCAUCACAGACUUGAUUAUGCCAUCCAAUAUCUUGCCAAAAUCGUAGGUUAUCGAAACCCUGACCCAAGCAAGACAGUCAAAAUAGAACUUGACGUGAUCAUUAUUGUAAGUAUCUGCAGCAAAAGCAGUCUUAUCGAAGCCACUGCUGUCGAGAAUUGCAACCACUGCAAGCCCAGAUGGUCCCUCAAUCAAUAGAUCAAACAACUCCUCCCUGCCCCUUUGAAAUUCAUUGAUAUCGAGCCGAGGUUGUCCCUCAUUCAAUAGGCGAAUGAUUUCGUUACUUUUCUCACUGAUAUCAAAACCAUUGUCGCCGGGUGGAAGUUGUUGCAUCCGAUUUCUAAUAUCAAUGAUUUUAGUGUGGAGUCCAACAAGAAGAGCCAUAUCAGUACUGCUUUCACUUUCGUUUUCACUGUUUUGCUGCUGCAUGAUGUUGAUGAAGAAUCUGUCAAUGGCUUCCUCAGAUUCAUGGACAAAGUCAUUGAUGUCCUCCAGAAUUUCCAAAAUAUCUGCUCUUUCAACAUCUUCUUCAUCGCUUUCUUCUAAGUCCAACAGUUCAUCGAAAUCUUCUCUAAGGAGUUGAAACAAAUGCCGAGCCAUGUCAACUUCAUAUUUUCCCAGCAGAGUAGUAGCAAUAAUUUCGGACUCCGUAAGAAGGUUUUGAAAAAGUGGAGUUAAAUUUGUUGAAUCUGGCAGCGGCAACGUGCCUUCUUCACCUGCUAACACCCUUUUCAACCUCUCACGAAAUAGUCGGAGGUGGACGUCCAGCAUAUCUCCUUCUCUCUGUAUCACCCAGAGGUAUAGUUGAAAGAUUAAACACCAUGGAAGAAUUUGAAAGGAAAAUGCCAAGAAACUGUGUAAGUGGCUAAACCAUGAAAAAUUGAUCAUUUUUUUGCAUUGUAAGUUGCGCGUUCAUUUAGAGAAAAGUCCAAGACGCGUGCCUUUUGCAAAGAACAGGUAUCCCAAUCGGUAUCCAACCUUUAUCUUAUUUAAUUACUACCAUGACAUAAUUGAUGGUGCUUAAAUCAAUUGUUUCUUUUUUAAUUUAAAGAAUUUUUCAUUAAAAAAAUAUUUUAAUAUCAAAUUGCCUUCAGUGGCGUAACAACUGCCUCAAGCCCAGUAACAGGACUAAUUAAAAAUUUUACAAUUUUGGGGCAUGGAAAUAGUAGUAUUAAACAUUAGAAAGGUAAGGUUGUUCUGUUAAAGAAUUGAUAUUGACAUAAUUUUAUUUUGGUUUUCGUGGAAAAAAAAAAUUUGUUGACAAGCAAGAAAAUAUUUUAUCAUAUAAAAGUAAUUUUAAAAAUAAAUAGAAACAUAAUAUUACAAUAAAUAAAUUAAAGUUUAAAUUAUUUGGAAUAUUAUAAAAAAUAAUGUUAAUAUUAUUAAUAGGAAGACAUUUUGUUAAUUUUAAAAUCUUUUUAAUCCAAAGGUUUAUUUAAAAUCUCUAUAAUAAAUACAAAUAUAAGAUUAAAAUAAAAAUCAUAAUUUGAAAUUUUUAAUAUUAUUUUAAAUGUUAAAUAUACUUUAAUGUUAUUAGCCUACUACGUAGAUUUUAUUAUUUAUAUUAUAUUCGUAUUGAUUAAAAUUUUUUAAAGUCAAUUUUUUAGUUAGUACAUUCAAGAGGUAUUAUAGUUAAAGAAAAGAUUUUGGUGCAACUGUUUUAAAAUUUCAGCGUCUAAAUGAUAAUUUUUUUAAAAUUUAAGGAAGUAGGUAUUAUUUUUCCAACAAUUAUUUUACUUUUGAGGGAAAUCCGAUAAGAAAUAUCAUCAAAGAACAUUAAUUUAACAUUCUUUACCUUUAUGAAAAAAGUGAAAACCAAGAACUAUUCAAUUUUGUAUUUUUUGUUUGUAAUUCAAAAAAUGCAUCCACCAAACAUGCUUAUCUUGAUUUUCCCACUUUAUUCAUUUUCGAUGCUUUUCAAAAGAGGUUCCUUUACUGGUCAUUGUCUACACUAUCAAACAAGUUGAUGGAAAUUGAACCCAUUAAGUUAUGUUCAUUACUGGUCAUUGUCUUUCUAUGAGCCACUUAUUUGGAGCAUUAGCGAUCUUAUAAGGAAUCAUGCCUUUUCAGGAUCGUUUUCUUUCAUUUCCCUAUUGUAGUAGUUAAUUAAAUAAAGAACGAACAGCUGAACUUGGUCUAUUUCGAGGAAGACCAAGGCUUCCAAUACUAGAGGAACUUUGAAGAAAAUUAAUUGGAAACCUUUAUUCAUCUUUGAAGAAAAUUACGUGCCAAUGUAACGAAGGCUUUUAUUCAUCUUCGGACUAUGAAUUUGUACAAAAACAUUAACAGAAAAUAAUAAAGACACAGCUAAAUGAUAGCAGCAAGUGCUGAUUUAGUGAACCACUUCUACAAGUAAAUAAAAACUAAAUAUUUAUUUUGACUAUAACAACAACUACCCUCUUGAAUAGGACUCUACAGCAGCCACAUGACAACUAAUUUCUCCAUAAUAUUAUUAUUAGUAGAAGUAGAUUUUCAAAAUUGUCUUGAUAUAUUUCAAAGUUGUAUUAUCAGCGUAUAUGUAUCUAGAUUGUAACUAUAUUUUAAAAAAUAUAAAAAUUUUAAUUAUUGCACAGUAAUGUAGAACAAUAUCUACAAAAUAAUAUUGUUAGGACUAAGAAAAAAUAUUAUUUUAGAUAAGUUAUUUAUUUAUUAUUGAAUGAAAAAUUUAUCAUGAUAAAUGAAUAUUUAUUAAUUUAAAGAGAGAUUUUUUUUGGUUUUAAGAAGAGUUUGUUUGGUACAUGCACACACUAAUAAAGAAACACAAAAAGUGCUUCCUCAAGUCAAUAGUAUUUGCUUUAAUUGCUAAGGUGCAUAAUAACGUAGCUUAGUUAGGAAAUUUGUAAUUAUAUUAUGGCUCCGUUUGGUAUAAUUUUUUAACUAGAACUUAUUUAAGGAGGGCUUUUAUUAGUAGAGUUUUUAUAAAUAGAGAUUUAACAAAAAAAAUUAUAGUUAUUUAGUUGUCAAUGUACAAAUUGAUGAAUUAUUGUUCUUUUUGUUAACAUGUGUUUGUUUUACUUAAUAAUAAAAGUUUAGUUUACAACAUUGAAGUUCAGCAGAGCAUUUUUGCAGCCAGUCACAUUAUACAUUAUACUAAUAGCAUCGGCAAGAGUUUUCGAUUGUUGCAACUUGCAAUGCACACGAUGCGAGAAAAUGAGAAUCUUGUUUAAUUGCAAUAUUGACAAACCUAAUCCUUUCGUAGGGAGUAAUUUAAUAAUCGUUCGUUAGUUGAAGCGUUAAUUUAAUAAGCGUUGAUUUCCCUUCGAUAACUCGAAGUCCACGACGAUUCUUCUUCUUCUCUGCUGCUCAUUACGCUUCUACCCAAACCCUAGGAUUCAAACCUUUGCUUAGGAGAGAAUCAAAGCGAUUGGUGUUGGAGGUGAUUGAGGCUCUUAGAAGCUUAGAGGUGUGUUAAUUCAAAUUCUUUUGUCGAGAUAAGUAAUUUCAUUCCUAAUAUACUGGAUAUGUAUAAGUAUUUUGAUGUUAUUAUAAGAGUUUUUAUACUUCUUAGAAGAUUAAUAGAUUUUCAUACCAAAAUUAGUUUAUGAAAAUGUUUUCAAAUCUGAAUUCUUUUGAUAAAAUAUUUUACAAAUGCGUUUUAAUAUGUAAAUUAUUUUAUGACAUGACUGCCUUUUAUGAUUUUGUCUAUGAAAUAUUUUUGCAAGCCUAAAUUGUUGCUAUAGACUUUCAUGAAUCUAAUAUGAAUGUUUUGUGCCUAUGUAUGAUUUUAAUUAUUUAUGACUGUACGGGGGCCACCUCUUGAGAUUAUAUGGGGGCCACCUCUUGAGGGCCAAAGCGCCGCAAAGUGCCACAUAGAGUGCAAAGUGCCAUGUAUAAGUCAUUAUGUUUUGGCUCAUUGUCCGUAGUUAUUCUGAUUCUAAUUCUGAUCGUAUUAUACGAUAUAUUUGUUCUGGACUAGUACUAGGUUUAUGUUCUAAGUGUGCACACGAUAUUCUGAUUCUGUUUCUGGUCAGGUCACCGAGACUAUAGGUGAUACUAUGUGACAUGAGCUAACUAUCUGCUUUCUGUGUACACUUUAUACGAUUUGCUUUCAUAAUUGAUUAUUCUUUUGAUACUCUGAAUUACCAUGAAUUUAUGUUAUAUAAUUGAAAUAUGUUGUUUUAUGAAGUUUAUGACUUAUAAUAUAUGUUUUUGAAUAAAAGAAGGCUUGCAAUAUUUUUGAUAUCGAUAGGCCUAGUGUAUUAGGAAUGAUUUUACCUACCGAGUUGACAGCCCACCCCUCGUUAUUACUUUUUGCAGAUUAAGUUCCUUUUAAGAGGUAUGCGUAGCUUUGGAGUUAGAGAUUUCGUUUCCGUUUGCUAUUUGAAUAAGAAGAGGAAUAGACUCAUGUUUCUUUUUAGUUUAUUUCUGUUAUGAGCUUGUAAUUUGGAGUUUGAGACUUUUGUUAUUGUUAUGUUUUGGAAGAGAUUAUUUAGUGUUAGACGUAUUAAUUUGCGGAUUUAUUUGAAUAAGAAUUUGAGGUAUUUGAGCUUGGAAUUUAUAAGUAAGGAUUACGAUUUGUAAGUAACCUCAUUCUUCAUGUGCUCCGCACGUGUUAGAUUUGGGGUGUUAUAUGUUUCGUAUAACUUUUCAAGUAGAGCUUAUUUAAAUAGAAUAUUCGUCAAUAAAGCUUCUAUAAAUAUAGAUUUUACUAAAAAAAAUUUAGUUGUUUGGUUGUCAAUGUCCAAAUUGACGAACUUUUGUUCCUUUGCUAACAUGUAUUUGUUUUACUUAAUAAUAGAAGUUUAGCUUACAAUUACACCGGCGUCAAAUCAACAGAGCAUUUUGGCAGCCAGUCACAUUAUACAUUAUACUAAUAGCAUCGGCAAGAGUUUUCGGUUGUUGCAACUUGCAAUGCACGCGAUGAGAGAAAAUGAGAAUCUUUUCUAAUUGCAAUAAUGACAAACCUAAUCCUUUCGUUGGGAGUAAUUUAAUAAUCGUUUGUUAUAAUUGAAUAUGUAUAAAGAAAGGAAAAUUCUAUUCAUAGAUUUCGACUUAUUUUUUGUUUAAAGUAAUUAAUCAUUCAACCAUCUUCAUUUGCCUCUGGCCAGUGCCCUUGUAGAUUAGUUGAAGCGUUAAUUAAUUCAGAUAAUUACAACGUCCUUUUCGCUAAUUAAUUAUGAUUAUAUAUGUUUCAUAUAGCAAGUGGCUUUGUAGAUCUAAACCAAGUUGCUAUUUCAAAACGUUAAUUAAGUGAUUCUCCUCAUUGUCAUCAGCGUUAUACGCUCUAGGAAAAUAGCUCAAUUGUUUCCCUGCAUUGACUUUCAUUGGUAAGUGAUUUCUUAUGAAAUUCUUUUGAGCUUUCCUUAUUAAAAAAGCUUGAGCUUUUAUCACCUAAUGCGGAUAUCAAUUAACUUGUGAAUGAUUUUGCAAUGAAACUAGGAGUUAAAUAAGAUUUUUACAUGAUGAAUUUUUAUUUUUUUAAUUUUUUGAUGUAGUCAAUUUGCUAAUUUUAUGUAUUUCAUAUUCAACGGAAUUUGGGCACGGAAAGUUUGGAUUCUAAUAUUUAUAUGUUUAGCUUUAAUCAGUUUGACUUUCGUAAUCUUUUUCCCCUCAUCAUUAAGGGAUUCAGAAUUAGAGAAACGUUAGGAAGAGGAAGAAAAUAAUUUCGGAAAUAAGUAAGAGGGAAAAAAUUAUUAAAUUAGGAAUGAUUUUUUGUAGAGUAUGUUCCGUUUACUAAACUGAAAUCGAAAUGAGCUGGAAUCAGAAUGGAUAGAAAUGCGAAUGCGCUGGAAUGAGAAUAAGUAAUGAGAAUCAGAAUAAGUUGUUUACUUGAAUUGUAAGAAUCGAAAUCGAAAUGAGCUGGAUUGCAAUUACUUUGUCCUACAAUUAGAAUCGGAAUGAGUUAGAUUGUAACAAAUUACUAAAAGGUACUUAAUGAAUUAUUGUCAUAAUAUUAUUUUAUAUUUUAAUUAUAGUGAUUAUUUAUUCUAAAAUUAUUAUUAUUAAUUAUUUUCAAUAAUAUGUUAAUAUGUUAAUUAAUUUUAAAAAUUAUUAAUUAAUUUAUUAUAAUAAUAUACUAAUUAAUUAUAAUAAUUAUUAUAAAAAUAUAUUAAUUAUUAAUAAUGAAAUUACUUAUUUAAUUAUAAUAAUAUAUUAAUUAUUGUGAUUAUUUAUUCAAAAAUUAUAAUUAUUAAUAAUUAUUGUUAAUAAUGUAUCAAUAUAUUUUAUAUUAUGAAAUUGUGAUGUAUUGUAGACAAAUAAGGAAUUUGGUACAAUAAAUUCUUAAUAUCUUAGUACAAAGUAUGGUAAAAUGGUAUUUUAACUUAUUGUAGACAGAUUAAAUUUCGACACACUUAAUCCAUGAUAAAAUUAAUGGAAAAUAAUGAUAAUUUAUACAAUUAAUCUUUUGAGCAAUAAAAAAAUAAAAGAAAAAGAAGUUACUAAAUUAUGUUUACUGCUAAGAGUGAAUCCACAAUCCUAAAUAAUUAUUUCCAUCGUUUCACUUAAAUUAAAUAGUGUGAAUUUAAAUUCUAAUUUUUUGAUAAAUUAAAAAGAAAUAAAAAAUUAAAAUUUUUCUCUAUGGAUCGACCUCGGAUUGAUCAAUUUAUUUCAUAACAACACACUUUUAUACUUGAGAGUUAUAAAUCACUUUGAAGUUGUGUUAAGUUUUUGACGCUCUUACGGGGAAAAAAUAUUUAUUUUAUUUUAUGUAUGGGUCAAACUUGAAAGUAUAUUUUAAGAUAACUGCUAAUAUGCUCUAUUAGACAAUGAUAACCUAGUUGUUUGUGGUGUUCAUAAUGAGUUUAAUUAUGAUUAAACAAUUUAAAAUAUGAAAAAAUAUGGAAGAUGGCCGUAAUUAAAUUGAUUGCAUGAAAAUAUUUCAAUGAAAUUUUAAAAAUUUGGUACUUAUUAUCUUAUCAAAAGAUUUUUAAAUUAUAUUACUACUUCAACUUAACUCCUCCUGGAUUGAUUGUAUUGAAUUUCCAGCACUGCCAUUGCUUCUACUUGAAAGCCAUUUAAGUUUGUGUAAGCUACCUAUAGUUUGAAUAACAAUUUACUCAUGAAUUGCCGUUCAUGAUAACAAUUUGAUUGAAAGUGCGGCUCCACUAAUUGUCUAGAUGAUUUUUUCCCACAUGUUUGUUCUCGUACGACCCCAGAAUGCUGUUAUAUCAGUUGUAUUGGAAAUUAAUCAACUGGUUACAACUCUACACCCCAUCAAUAUUUAAGCAGUCUACAGAACAUUAAUUGUGUUUUGAAAUUUUAAUGAGUCUCACGUGUUUUUCACGUGAUAUGCAGUAAAAACAAAAUUAAAAAAAUGUGAACAUUCAGCCCCAAAAUCCCCAACUCCUUCCAAAUUGGUUCCGCAGCCCCCAAAUCCCUUAAACCCAAAUCACUCUAAAAAGACUCUCCUCAGCCAAAAAGAAAAAGGUCACCUCACCUCUCCUCUUCUUCUUCCAUGGCGAUCAACGGCGGCACAAGCACGGGCUGAUCUCCUUCGUCGGUAACGAUCAACGGCGGUACAAGCAUGGGCAGAUCUUUUUUUGGCAAUGAUCAACAGCGGCACAAGCACAGUCGUCCUCAGGUACGGAUUUGAUGUUGGUUGUGUUGUCAAGUAGCGAUUCAUGUUUGGAAGAGAAUCCGCUCGCAAGGACCUGGAGCACUUAAUCGAAGAUCUUAAGCGAGGAAUUCGCUUCCUCCUCAUUCCUAAUCGGUGCCUGGUUCAUCAGUAUGAUUAAGGAUGAAAAUUGAGAAAGAAGGACGCAUUAGGUUUGAGACAUUGGUUGAAAAGCGCUACCCCGGUGGCCACGCUGGAAACAUAUGUUCCGUGGCUUCUUGCGUUGUCUGUGAGGAAUAUGUACUGCUGUAGAAGAUAAUUAUGAAUCAAUGGUAAUUGGCGUGUUGGUUUUGGUGCCGAUUUCCUCUUAUUUUCCAGAAAAGGCUUGUAAUUUGUUCACCUCAAGAUUCAAUUUGUUAUUGAAAAUGGAUGGCUGUAAAGACCUACUGGCCUUUCAUUAUAUUAAUGUUUUUGACAGUAAGUUUGUAAUAGUUAGUGCAGGGAACUUAUUGAUUCUUGAUUAUAUAUAACGGUGGCCCUUAUUACUUUAAAAAAAAAAAAAAAAUUGAUGAUGGGUUUCGUUUUGUAUAAGUGUUUGGAGUGUUGGAAAAUGAACAUUGUAUAUUUUAGAUAGUUGAGUUCCAUAGUAGUGAAAAGCUACGGAUUUGUUUUCUUUGUAUUGAAAUGUGUUUUGACCAUUAUAUGUUGUUUGAUUGGUGAUAGUUUUAUGUUUGUCAGUUCCAGUAGUCUCUUAAUCGCCAUCUGGCAUGGAAACUCACUGUGAAUAUGUGAAGAAUGCAGUGAUCAUAAGGAGUAAAUGAACGAUCAAACAUGCUAAAAUUAAAUACCAAAAAAUAAAAUAAAAUAAAAUAAAAUUGGAACUGGAAGAGUAAAUAGCAAAAGAUUGGGCGAAAAUUGAAUACCAUAACAAAAAAAAAAUUAAAAUAAAUUCAAACGACAAGAGCUAAUUAAGAGCAAAAAGAUGCUUGACUUACCAAGAGCAAGGACCAAGCAAAUGGUUUUACAUUCGGGCUUGAUGGUGAACUGGUUGGAGAUGGGUACGAAUGUGAUCUCGUUGAGAUUUGGAGAAGAGAACGGGGGAAUGGCCACAAUAUCUUUGUUACUUUUUUUUUUAAACUUUAUUUUACUGUUGAUCACAUGAAAAUCACGUGCAAGUCAUUAAAAUUUCUAAACACAGUUACUGCUGUCGUUUCGAUGUUCUCGGGCUAUCACAUGCUCGGUACGUCUAUCACUACUCGUCAAAAAAAAUGACACGCGUUCAUUUCCAAGACGCGUGCCUUACUACCAUGACAUGAUUGAUGGCGCUUAAAUCAAUUGGUUUUUUUUUUUAAUUUAAAGAAUUUUUCAUUAAAAAAAUAUUUUAAUAUCAAAUUGCCUUCAAUGGCAUAACUGCCACAAGCCCAGUAACAGGACUAAGGGUACGUUUGAGAUUGAGGUUGGGCAGCUGUACCUUUUAAGCUACAACACUAAAGUGCUUGGUAAACACUAGCUGCUCUAGGUUGGAAGCUAUAUUAAUAUGAUUUUUCACUUGUAUAAUAGAAAAUAUAUUAUAUCUUUAAUAAUUUUGUCAAAUUUAUAUUUACUACAUAUUAUUAAUUUUUGUUUUAUAGUCACAGCUUUUUUUCCACAGCACCUGUAGCUUAAAAGAUACAGCACCUCAAUCCCAAACGCAUCCUAAUUAAAAAUUUUAGAAUUUUUGGGCAUGGAAUUGAAAAGAGUAGUAUUAAACAUCAGAAAGCUAAGGUUGUUCUGUUAAAGAAUUGAUAUUGACAUAAUUUUAUUUUGGUUUUUGGGGAAAAAAAAUUUGUUGACAAGCAAGAAAAUAUUUUUAUAUUUUACAAUUUAUUAUACAUAUUUUAUCGUAUUAAAGUAAUUUUAAUAAUAAAUAGAAGCAUAAUAUUAAAUAAAGUUUAAAUUAUUUUGAAUAUUAUAAAAAAUAAUUUUAAUAUUAUUAAUAGGAAGAUAUUUUGUUAAUUUUAAAAUCUUUUUAACCCAAAGGUUUAUUUAAAAUGUUUAUUAUAAAUAAAAAUAUAAAAUUAAAUAUCAUAAUUUAAAAUUUUUAAUAUUAUUUUAAGUAUUAAAAAUAUUUUAAUGUUAUUAGUCUGCUACAUAGAUCAUAUUACUUAUAUUAUAUUUGUAAUGACUAAAAAUUUUUAAAAUCAAAUUUUUUAGUUACUAUAUUUACGAGAUAUUAUGGUUAAAGAAAAGACCUUGGUGUUACUUUUUACAAAUUUGAGUGUCUGCAUGAUAAUUUUAUCAAAAUUUAAGAAUGUAUGUGUCCUUUUCUCCAAUAAUUUAUUUCACUUUUGAGGGGAAUCCAAUGAGAAAUAUGAUAAGAGAAUGUCAAUUAUUUGUCAUUUUCUAUUUUUUCUGUAAGCUAUUCAUUUUGAGCAUUAGUGAUCUUGUCUGGACUACUCCAAUUAUUGAUGUAACUCCAGUGGCUGCAUCCACAGUUGAAUAUAUGAUAGUGUUAGCUCUUAUUUGAGAAUUCAGAGGGAUCUUCUAUGUUUAUCAAUUGCAAUGUGCUAGUAUAAAUUUCUUUACCUCACAGUUUAUAUAGUCUUGCUGUUAAAGAACUCACUGAGGCAUUAUUGACUCAAUUUCAGUGGAGCAAUCGCGCGUAGUGGAUAAAUAAAGGAUAACAGAACAGAGCUGAAGUGCUAAAUUGGCUAUUAAAGAAGGGUGUCACAUGAUCACAAUCACAUUGGUGCACAACUAGAGUUAGGCAAAUUUUGUCUAUAUGUACUCUAAAUUCAGACAAACCAUACAUGCAUGAACAAAAAUUAAACCGUCGUUCUAAUCACAACAGUAAUUGAAGCUACAAAAGCCAGCAAAUCUGAACAAAGACUUAAAAGAAAGAUCUUAUUCAAGUUGUCCCCAAAAGACAGCUGAAAUGAAUAAUAUUGACUAUUGAUUGGGUCAAUGCUGAAUUACAUUUCAAUAGGAAAGCUUGGCAGCAGUUACAAUGUUUCCCCCUCUGAUUUUCGUCCAAAACAAAUUCAGUUGUAAACAACAAUCGAAGUAGAAAUAAUUUAUUCAUCAAAGAAAAUACCCAAGUUUUCAACAAACAAAUCUUCUUGUCUAAACUAAAAAAACUCAUCUCUAAAAUCUAUCUGCAAAAUAUUGGAAAUGAGGAGUGAUCCGUCAACUCCAUAAAUAAACUCAUGCAUAAUGUUAACAAUAAUGAUAAAUUACAUAAUAAUUAUUAUAAAGAAUCAUAAAUUGGAAACACUAAUCAUUCUACAAUCUAUUAUAUAAGUAAGAUAAAUCUCAUAAUAAGUUAAGUUAUAAUGUAAUAAAUAUUUUCAAUAUAUAAUUAUUUAAGAAGUCAUUUAACAAUAAAAUAUUUUUUUUAUUCAAUUGAUCAUAUAGCGUUAUCUAAACUCAUGACGAAAUUAUUAUUACUCACUUUUCUAAAAAAAACAUGAUUAACUUUUAGAGAAAAGUCAUGCCUUUUAGAAAGAAUAUUACCGUGACAAAAUUGAUGGUGAUUAAUUCUAUUUUUAAAAUAGAUUUAAUGCACAAAUAUGGUGACUUUUGGCAAAAAUUAGUUUCGGAAGAUAUAGUGGUAGAAAAUAGUGAUGAUUAUUGUUUAAAUGUGUAAAUAGCCGAAGCAUAGCCCGUGAUACCAAUAUCCAUUUGCACCUUCAUUUGGAUUAUCACAUUUCAUGAUAUUCUUUCGUUCAUGACCAUUGUUCAAGAUUUGAAUUUGAAUACAAAUUAAGCUGCAAGGGAGCUUACUUCGGUUUCUAAGCUUUUCAAUUGUGAUUCCUGCAUGCCUUGCUCUGAUACUAUUUUGUUACUUGCCAAUGUAACCAACCUUGUAAUUGGUCUGUAUAAGAAAUCAAGCCCUUUCAGGAUUGUUUUCUUUUGUUUCUCUAUUGUAGUAGUCAACUAAAUAAAGAAUGAACAACUGAACUUGAUCUAUUUUGAUGAAGACCAAGACCUCCAAUACUAAAUGAACUUUGAAGAAGAUUAAUCUACUGCUUUUAUUCAUCUUUGGACUAUGAAUUUAUACAAAGACUUUAACAGAAAAUAACAAAGACAUAGCUAAAUGAUAGCAACAAGUGCUGACUUAGUGGACCACUUCUACAAGUAAAAAAAGACUAAAUAUUUAUUUUGACUAUAACAACAACUACCCUGAUGAACAGGACUCCACAUCAGCCACGUGACAACUAAUUUCUCCUUAAUAUUAUUAUUAGUAGAAGUAGAUUUUCAAACUAGUCUUGAUAUAUUUCAAAGUUGUAUUAACAAUGUAUAUGUAUCUAGAUUGUAACUAUAUUUUUAAAAAAUAAAAUAUUUUAAUUAUUGCACAGUAAAUGUAGAAGAAUAUCUGUAAAAUAAUAUUAUUAGGACUAAAAAAAUAUUAUUUUAGAUAAGUUAUUUAUUUAUUAUUGAAUUGAUAAUUUAUUAAUUUAUUUCUAAAUGAUAUUUAUUAAUUUAAAGAGAGACUUUUUUGGUUUUAUGAAGAGUUUGUUUGGUACAUGUUUACACUUAUAAAGAAACACAAAAAGUGCUUCCUCAAGUCAAUGGUAUUUGCUUUAAUGGCUACGGUUCAUAAUAAUAUAGCUUAGUAAGGAAAUUUGUAAUUAUAAUAUGACUCUUUUAGUACAACUUUUCAAGUAGAAUUUAUUUAAGUAGAGAUUUUGUUAGGAGAAGUAUUGUUAAUAGAGAUUUCACAAAAAAAAUUUUAAUUAUUUGAUUAUAAUAUCCAAAUUGAUGAACUUUUGUUCUUUUGUUAACAUCUGUUUGUUUUACUUAAUAAUAAAACUUUAGUGGGUUUGGCUACAAAUAAAAGUUUAGUGGGUUUGGCUACAAUGCCGUUGGCAUUGUUCCCGGCACCAUGCCGGGCUCUAAAAAAGAGAGCCCGGCUGUCUUUGGCUGCCAUUUGGCAGCCAAAGACUUGGUGCAGCCGGUUAACAAACCGGUUGCACCAUAUUUUUUAAAAAAUAUAUAUUAAAAAUAGAAUAUAAAAAUGAAAAAAAUUAAAUAAAAUGUCAAAAAUAAUUUUUAUAAUAUAAUUAAUAGCAAAAGAUAAAGAAAUUAAAUUAUAUAAUACAAACCCUAUAGUACAAUAUGAUAUAAUUAAAUAAAAUGGCAAAAAAUAAAGAAAUUGAAAAUGAAAAAAAUUGUAUUUCAGUUUUAACGUUAGUUAUUGCAUGUCCGACGUCCCGAUUUCAUGUUUGACAUAAGAAGUUGCAUGUUUUGGAUAAAACCAAAAUAAAGAAUAUUCUGGAAUAUUCUCGUCUGUUUCAUGUUUGACGUCAAAGUUGCGAACUUUACGUGGUAAGUUGCAUAUUUCGCGUGAAGUAUUGCGAGUUUCAUAUUUAACAUCAGUUGUUGCAUUUUUUACGGUUGGAUUUCAUGUUUGACGUACGAUGUUGCAUGUUUUGAAUAAAGCCAAAAUAAAGAAUAUUCCGGAAUAUUCUCGUCCGUUUCAUGUUUGACGUUGAAGUUGAGAACUUUACGUGGUAAGUUGCAUAUUUCGCGUGAAGUAUUGCAAGUUUCAUAUUUAACGUCAGUUGUUGCAUGUCGAACGUCACGGUUGCAUGUUUGACGUAAGCUGAUGCAUGUCUUGAAUAAAGCCAAAAUAAAGAAUAUUCUCGAAUAUUCUCGUCUGUUUCAUGUUUGACGUUGAAGUUGCGAACUUUACGUGGUAAGUUGCAUAUUUCGCGUGAAGUUUUGCAAGUUUCAUGUUUAACGUCGGUCGUUGCAUGUCGGACGUCACGGUUGCAUGUUUGACGUAAGCUGAUGCAUGUCUUGAAUAAAGCCAAAAUAAAAAAUAUUCUCGAAUAUUCUCGUCUGUUUCAUGUUUGACGUCGAAGUUGCGAACUUUACGUGGUAAGUUGCAUAUUUCGCGUGAAGUUUUGCAAGUUUCAUAUUUAAUGUCAGUUCUUGCAUGUCCGACGUCCCGAUUUCAUGUUUGACAUAUGAAGUUGCAUGUUUUGGAUAAAACCAAAAUAAAGAAUAUUCCAGAAUAUUCUCGUCCGUUUCAUGUUUGACGUCGAAGUUGCGAACUUUACGUGGUAAGUUGCAUAUUUCGCGUGAAGUUUUGCAAGUUUCAUAUUUAACGUCAGUUGUUGCAUUUUUUACGGUUGGAUUUCAUGUUUGAUGUACGAUGUUGCAUGUUUUGAAUAAAGCCAAAAUAAAGAAUAUUCUCGAAUAUUGACGUUGAAGCUGCGAACUUUACGUGGUAAGUUGCAUAUUUCGCGUGAAGUAUUGCAAGUUUCAUAUUUAACGUCAGUUGUUGCAUUUUUUACGGUUGGAUUUCAUGUUUGACGUACGAUGUUGCAUGUUUUGAAUAAAGCCAAAAUAAAGAAUAUUCCGGAAUAUUCUCGUCCGUUUCAUGUUUGACGUUGAAGUUGCGAACUUUACGUGGUAAGUUGCAUAUUUCGCGUGAAGUAUUGCAAGUUUCAUGUUUAACAUCCGUCGUUGCAUGUCGGACGUCACGGUUGCAUGUUUGACGUAAGCUGAUGCAUGUCUUGAAUAAAGCCAAAAUAAAGAAUAUUCUCGAAUAUUCUCGUCCGUUUCAUGUUUGACGUCGAAGUUGCGAACUUUACGUGGUAAGUUGCAUAUUUCGCGUGAAGUUUUGUAAGUUUCAUGUUUAACGUCCGUCGUUGCAUGUCGGACAUCACGGUUGAAUGUUUGACGUAAGCUGAUGCAUGUCUUGAAUAAAGCCAAAAUAAAGAAUAUUCUCGAAUAUUCUCGUCCGUUUCAUAUUUGACGUUGAAGUUGCAAACUUUACGUGAUAAGUUGCAUAUUUCACAUGUAGUGUUGUAGGUUGCAUGUUUAACGUUCGUUGUUGCAUGUCCGACGUCCCGAUUGCAUGUUUAACGUAAGAUGUUGCAUGUUUUGAAUAAAGCCAAAAUUAAGAAUAUUUCAGAAUAUUCUCGUCUGUUUCAUGUUUGACGUCGAAAUUGCGAACUUUACGUCAUGAGUUUUAUAUUUCGCGUAAAGCGUUGCAGGUUGUAUGUUUAACGUUAGUUAUUGCAUGUCCGACGUCCCGAUUUCAUGUUUGACGUCGAAGUUGCGAACUUUACGUGAUAAGUUGUAUAUUCUACGUGAAGUGUUAAAUGAAUUUUGUUUUAAAAAUACAGUUUAACCUCAAAACUGUAUGAAACUAUGUUAUGAUCCAAAACGUUAUAAAAAUUUUCAAAUUGGUCCAAUUUUAGAAUUUCUAAUUAUUACUUUAUUAAACUCAAAACUUUCUGAAAUUAAGAUAUGAUCCAAAAUAUAAGAAAUUAUAGAAUGACCCAAAACAUUUAAAUAUUUUGAAAUAGGUCCAAAUCCGAAAUUUAAAACAAUAAUUUAUUAAAAUCAAAGAUUAUGAAAAACAACUUAACUCCAUAAAGACAUAUUCUUAUUGUUAAAGCACAAUACAUAAAUCUUUAUUUAAUCAACACAUGUGGUUUGUUAUCGAAAUCUCAAUACAACACAUUAGUCCAAAAUUAUCCAAAGCAUACGGAAAUAACAUAUUAUCCAUGAAAUAUCAAACAAUCAAAACAAAUCCAUGUCAUUCAAAACAAAUACAUAAUCCAAAAUCAUAAUGAAAUGUAGGUGUGUCCAAAUACAAGCAUAAGAGACUACUAAGGUGGUGAGGAUGGUGGUGAUGGAGGUGGAUACGGAUAUGGAAUGCCGAAGUGCUCAAAGAGGAGGCGCUGUCCAUGAAUAAACUGCUGCUGCUGGUGGUGAAACUCAGUCUGCCACACAGAGAGUGUCCUCACCUCAUCCAUAAGCUGCUGAAGAGUAACUUCUUCAAAAGUAGGAUGCUCGGGAUGUGGUAAAGAAGGUGCAGAGGCUGUAGGAGCCGAGGGAGAUACUGAAGGAGCUCGACGUCUACGCUGACCCCGAAAUGAAAGUGCAAAAACAGGUAGCUGAUGGGCUGGAACCACAGCAUUAAGUGGUCGAUCAUCACUUGGAGCAAGAAAGGUGAACUUUUUAUCAGUGACUUUUACCCAAGUGCCAUUACGACACUCAAAACCUAAAGAACUAACAGCCUCAUCCCCAAUGCUCUUAGACGGCCUACAUGAUGGUUCUUGGAUAGUGACGCUAAAGUAUUUGAGGAUUCGGGUGAUGAAAUGACCAUUCAGAAGGGAACGAGUAAUCAACUUAGGUAUACUAAGCAUGUUUCGGACAAUGGUGUAUCCUAAGUCGACUGGACGAUGUCUAAGAAUACAAUCAAUCAAGGCAACAUCCAUAUGAGAAACCUCAUCCAAAUGGCCUGAUCUAUGAAGCACAAUACUCUGAAUAAAACGAAGUAAUAUCCGAGUUUGAAGACAAAGACAUUGGGUGCGAAAAUGGAUAGUACAAUCAUCAUCCGAAAGAUCAAUACGACGACAUAUAUUCUUAACAGCAUCAAUAUGAACAUAAUCAUCAAUAUCAGGAGGUUUCCUAGGUGAAAAAAUUUCUAGGCCAUCAUCGGAAGUUCCUAGAAUAGAGUUCAACUCCGAAUCAUCAAACUCAAUCGAAACUCCUUCAACUGUGGUGAUUACUCGAUUCUCUUUCUCCGCGGAACAAUCCAUAUUCGAGUAAAACACUUUCACCAAGUCGGGAUAUACAUUUUCCUCAAAAACAAUUGAAUUAAGCCAACCAACAUCUUCCAACAAUUGCAAUAAAGUUCUAUUACUAAUACUAAGAUUAUUCAACCAAUCCGGUAAAACAAAAAAGGUUUGGAGUACCUCACGAGUCAUGAACUGUUGGUGAAAUCGUUUGGCUAGAUGUUUGUGGUUCUGAAAGUGUCUGGCCUCAAAGUUGGAUUUAUUGGAUGUGCCCCCUGCUUGUCGUGACCGGUUGGUAUGUUGAACCGGUUCUUUGCCUUUUCUUCGAAUCGGCCGUGAGCUUGACAUGGUGAAUUUUUUUGAUUUGAAGUGAAAUAAAUCAAUGAGAAGGGAGAUAAUAAGGAUGGAAAGAGAUUUUGAGAAGCAAUUUCGAUCAAAAACGGCUUCAGAGGGGGAAAUCUAGAGAGAGAAGUUUCGGCUUAAACCAUAGAAUUGAUUUCGGAUCUAUUGAUUUUGAGGUUCAAAAAAGGUUUGAAGGAUGAUUUUGGAUACAAGAACGGAUGGGAAACAAGUUUCAUGGAUCCAUUUGCAUAAAAAACCUGUGAAAAUGAUGGAUUUUGGAGAGAAAACGAGAGAGGAAUAUUCGGUUUUAGAGAGAGAUAGCUAACCGGUUUACCGAAAGAUAAAGGAGGAGAUGAACAGUUUAUAUACUCGCGAAUCCGGCUAUCCGGAAAUUAUUAACCGGCUAACCCAUUGUAGGCAGUGACCUACCCACGCGAAUUCAGAUUUCCGGUUUGAAUAACCGGCUAUCCGGUUUCGUCUCCAAGAAAAAACAGCAAACUGCCUCACUCGGCUGAGAUAAAAAAAAACCAACUGUGAUAGGGAAUGCAUAAUUUGUUUGAAAGAUGAAGUUUCACUUGAUUUCUUGCCAUGUGCGUACCAAGUUUUGUGUGCCAGUUGCAGUGUCAAAAUUAUCAUAGUUUGUCUUAAGAAGUCUGAAAGAUUAGAAAAAGAGAUUGCUAAGUUCAAGAAAUGAAAGUGAGAUAAAAUUACUUGUGUCGCUUCUUGUGUCUUCCCAUUGUUUAAUUCUGAUAUUGUUGCUUACUAAAUUAACAAAGAAAGACCAGCACAAUGACUGCUGAUGAAUACUUUGAGAAGCAUCCAGAGCUAAGGAAAGAAGUUUGAUGAUGAAAUCCGGAAUGAUUAUUGGGGAUAUUAAUUCAGUCAUGUGCAUUCAGUUAUCGGGAACAUCUUCUUUCAUGCAGACUCUCGAGUUCAUCCCAACCACCAUGCUGUUUUGGUGCAUCAUAACAAGAAUAAGCCAAUUGUUUUACUCCAUUUUGGUUGAUUUGACUAUCACAAAAAAUUCCAUGAUAUUUGGACAUUACUCAGAAUCUAGCUAUAAUAAUUUCUCUUUUCUUAUUUGCCAAAUUUGCAUUAAGAUUUUUUUAGAAGAACUUUUAUGUUUUCACAUUCAGAAAGAGUUAAAGCAAAGCAAUUGCAGUAGCAGUGUGUAUGGAAUUUGUUGAAUGGAUCCAUUUGAAAGUCCAUUUUUUAUUCUUUAAUGUAAUAUCUAAUAUUAAAAAAAUCUUAAAACAAAAAUAUGAAUGAAUUGAAAAAUCAAAGUAGUAUUCCACAUUCCCAUGUAAAAAUAGAUUAACGACACCACUUUAAGAAAAGCUAAAAAUAAAAAUAGAUAUAUAUUAUUAAACAAAAUGAAAGUUGGAACUUACAAAGAGCUAAUAUUAUUACUUUAAUCUUCUAGUAUUUAGAGUUCAUCUUGUGGCUGAUAUUAUUGCUUGGCUACGUGAAACCAUUUUAGUCUUGUCAACACUAUCUUGUGGCUGAUAUUUUUUAUUGAAAUGCUCUUCAUCCACCAACUUGGUUCUUGUCAGUUUGCUUGGUAACUUCUUCUUGUUUGGUUUUGGUGCAUUAUUUAUCUAUUCACUCGUUAGUCAGACACUUUUUUUUUGUAUUUUUUGUUUCUACGCACAAGACUGAUAAAAUUAAAUGGGCUUAAUCUUUUGUCUUCCUAAUAGCAAUAUUCAAUAUUUAUUUAGUAAUAUUUCUAGAACUCUAAGAAAUAACUGGAUUUAAAUUUUAUGAAUUAUAUAUUGUGCUAAAAGCACAAAGACAAUCAUAUGAGUGUAUAUUAUUAUUAAAAUUAAACAAUUGGAUUUAACCUCCUCUUCAUACAAUUCAUAUACAUUGGCUCGCUCUCGCUCUCUUUUCUACAUGCAUGUGUCAUUUACAUUUAGGUAUUUGUAUGCGCGUAUAUUAUUAUAAUGUAAUCCCUCUAAAAAAUGAGACCAAUCACAGUCCAAACAAAAAAAAGAAAGAUAAAGAAAAGUUAAUACUUUAAUGGCAUUGUUAAUACGUCACAGUAAUCAUGUCCCUCGAAUCCGGAUAACUGGAUUUAACAACCGGUUAUCCGGAUGUUGACUGCAAGCAACAUGCUUGCUGUCACGCGAAUCCGGAUGACCGGAAGUCAACAACCGGUUAUCCGGAUGUUGACAGCAAGCAUGUCAAUCGAAACCGGAUAACCGGAUUUCCUAACCGGUUUUCCGGUUAUUGCAUGUCCUGUAUAAAGUUUAAAAAAAAUAAAGGUAAAAUUACCACGUUUGGUUGGUUAGGUUUGCAAUAAAUAUGAUGAAAAAAAAACUCACCUUCCCUCCAUUAAUGAGGGAUUAUCCUAAGGCUCAUGUCCAAGACUUCUUCACAAAAAACACAGUCACUCCAAAACAUAGUCCCAAAUACUAUUACUGCGGUCUCGUUCAACAUCUAUGGUGCCUAGUUUUCAACUUUUCAAAAGUUAAGUUUCUCUCCAACAAAGGUAUGUGUUGUAAUUUAAGUAGUUGAUUUGUGCUCCCAUAGAUGGUUUCAGAAAUAUUAUUAUAUUAAAUUAUUAAGAUAAAGGGUGUGAAUUAUGUUAUUAACAAAGUUUUGGUUGAACAGGGGUUAAAUAUGAGUAGCCCACAUAGUUCCAGCAACCUAGGAAUAUCCAUUGCUCCAAAUGUUGGUUUACAGGUAUCGGACGUACUUGGCAGUCAUUUCGACUCAGUAGAAGAUGCAGAACUGUGGUAUAACAAUUAUGCCCGAAUGCUUGGUUUUGGUGUUAGGAAAGAUGAUAUGCGGCGCGGAAAAAAGUCUAGACGAAUCACAAUUCGACGUUGGGUUUGUCAUUUCGAAGGGGUAAGAGAUGAAAGACAAUCUCAAAACUGCAGUAGGGUGCAGAACCACGACCUAUAACACGAACCGAGUGUCGGGCAUCAUUUCGAGUGAAUUACGAUGAUUCAGUUGGUAAAUACAUCGCCAAAGAAUUCAGGCCUGAGCACAACCAUCAUUUGGCUUCUACUAAUGGAGUUCAUCUCAUUCGUUCACAUCGAAAGGUUACUGAUGCAGAACUUGCGCAAGCAAAGGCAUUAAGGCAUGUUGGUGUGAAGACUUGCCAAUUCAUGGAUUACAUGGCUGAUCAGGUAGAGGGGCCUCAAAACCUAAGGUUCACACGCAAAGACAUGCAAAACACGCUAGAUGCUUCCACUCGUGCCGAGGUUGGAGAUUCUGACUCAGACACAACUAUAGCAUACUUUGCGGCAAAAUCUGAACAUGACCCUGGGCUUUGCUUUGAGUACACACUAGAUGAUGAAAAUAGACUACGAAAUUUGUUUUGGGCUGAUUGUGUAGCUCGUUAUGACUAUCAGUGUUUUGGUGAUGUGUUGGCAUUCGAUGCAACGUAUAAGACUAAUGUAUAUCAUAAACCCCUCGUUACACUUGUCGGAACAAACCAUCACUUCAGAACAACGGUCUUCGGUUUUGCUUUGCUCGCAGAUGAGACAAUUGACUCAUACACGUGGCUGCUACAAACUUUUCUAUCCACUAUGGGCAACCGAAUGCCCGUGUCUGUAAUUACUGAUGGUGACAAGGCAAUGUCGAAGGCAAUAAAGACAGUGUUUACCGGGUGCAUCCAUCGUCUUUGUUGUUGGCAUCUUGAGCGCAAUGCGCAGGCUAAUUUGAAGAACGAAGACUUUACGAGAAAAUUUCGUGAUUUGAUGUUGACACCUAUGACGGUAACUGAAUUUGAAACCCAAUGGUCAGCUGUAGUGGCUGAAUUCGCACUUGAACAUCAUGCAUGGGUACAGAAAAUGUAUUCAAAGCGGUGCAAGUGGGCGGAAGCUUAUCUUAGAGGAACAUUCUUUGCUGGUAUGCGAAGCACUCAACGAUGUGAAAGUAUGAAUGCAUAUCUUAGCCGAUUUGUCCAACAUAAACUAAAAUUGUAUGAGUUUGUGCGACAAAUCGAUCGUGCUCUCCGCAAUAUUCGUACCACAGAAACAUCCGAUGAGUUCAAAACCAAAUACAGUACUCCUGUCUUAAGAACUCACUUACAGAGCCUCGAGAAACAUGCUGCACAAUUGUUCCCGUUAAGAGUUUUUUCGAAGGUUAGAGAUGAGAUGCUGCGAGAAAGAGCGGUCAUCGAAGUAAAAACUGUCAAAGCUGUCGAUGUUGCAUUGUACACAGUGACUGAAUUUAGGACACCUACAACAUGUUGGAAUGUCAUCCACAAUCUACAAGAAAACCACAUACAGUGUUCGUGUCAAAUGAUGGAGUUUGUUGGGCUUCCUUGUAGGCAUAUGUUUCAUGUCUUGAAAGUGGAACAAAUUGAAAAGAUUCAUGACAAUAUGGUUUUUCGUAGAUGGACAAAAAAAGCCAAGGAGCACAAUACUUGCAGGACCACAAAACCAGAAGUUGACACUGAUGUUUCAGAGAUGGCUAGAUUUAGUGCAUUGUCUGCAGCCUGCAAUAAAAUGUGCUACAAUGCAGCAAAAAACGUUGAAGCCUAUGAAAAUGCAUUGGUAGAAAUCAAUCGGCUAACAUUAACUUAUGAACAACAAUCUGAACGAGACGGUCUCCCAAAUAAAAAAUUGCGGAUGGGAACAAAACUUCGUAAUCCUGCAGUUGUAAAAACCAAGGGCGCUAUGUCUAAAACAAAAUGUGUAGCAGAAAGCUCUAGAAAGUGUGGAAAAUGUCGUCAGGUUGGGCAUACAACACGAACUUGUUCUAUUCAAGGGAAUGAUAGCACCCAGCUAAGGUAUGUCCCAAGUUCUUUAUCAUGUGUUUAAUUAUUGCAUUGUUGGAUAUUUCAUUGCAAAUAACUUUCAUGGUAUUGAUUUAGUGUCGAUGGAAACUGUUUUGCCGCAUUCGAUUCAUCAAGCACCCAGAAUCUUGGAGCCUCUACUGGUGUCAAUCCAACAUUGUUAGGUCAUGCAAGCAACCAAUUUUCAAAUGUUUUUUAUUGGUGGCCUCAUUAAACAAUGCCAUUAAAAUGACUCAAUAUGUAUUACCAUUUGAAUUCCACUAUCAUGUACUAACAUGACAACCAGUUUAAUAUCAAAUGAUGAGAUGUGAACACUGUUAACAUGCAUAUGUUCAUUAUAGUUAAAUUAUGUCUCGGCCAAGAAUACAUAACCAUGUCAUAAAUUUAAAGAUAAUUCUCCAUUACAAUUGAUUUUACAACCAUCGUAAGCAAGAAGACAAAAAAAUUCACGGUAUUACCUCCCAACAUGUUUCAAACAUCUUACAACAAAAAAUAGUAUGCAAUCACUUGCAUAAUCAUUCCCUACUAUAGUUCGAUAUCUAAGCGCGUGUUCUCGUGUUAACUUUCUUCUUCUUACGAAUGUUGCCGCUUUGUUGGUGAAAUGACUUUUGCACUUGAGAGGAUACAGGGUUCACCAUUACAGCAUGAAUCGCAAACUGUGCAUUGCUUAGUUCCAGCAAUUUAUCUCGAUUUUGAUUCAAUGCAGAAUUAAUUAGUUGAAUGGCUAGCCUACCUCGUGUAUCCUCAGAUGUGAACUAGUCAAUUUGAAAGGAAACCAAUAUUACUUUCAUAUAAUAAGUAGCUUUUAUAUAAUUAUGAAGUUAACAAAAUUCUGAGUUCAACAAUUAAACAAGUUUGGCAUAGUCGUACCAAAGUGGACGAUUUCUUCGGAAUAAAUUCUGGGCUGUCCAUAUAGUUUAUCACAUAAACCCCACAGUCAUAUCCAUUCCUUUGCUUUGGAACUCCAAUGCCCCGGUUGAUUGGAAAGUCUUGAAACUUCAUGUGUUGCAUAUUGCUUGGCAAUUGGGGCUGCAUAAUCCAAUCCAAGGAAUGUAGCUGUCGGCAAUGUUGAAAACCAGACAAUAUUAUAGAUAUGAAUAUAACACAAUAUACAUAACUGAUAAUGUUAAAUAGAUAACAAAAAUAAAGAACAUGAUUAAGAUACAAUGCGCAUGGCUUGAUCGUGCCGUCUUCUAUUACUGCGGGGAUCUGGAAGAGGAUCCCAUAUUUCUGCACUUGUAUUUCUGACAUUCACGAUCAGUAGGUACCAAUGAGAUGAUUCAUCAUUUAUUGGCACAUAAAUCUAACAUUUCAAUUGUCAAUGUCAUACACCAAGCACACUAGUAGAAACUGAAAUAAGUUAAAGGUUAACAAACUAACCUUUUGACACUUAUGCACCUGUUGCAUAAAAUUCUUUCCACAUCUAGCUGCCCUUGCAAAACAAUCCACCUCAUCUCCGACCAUUAAAACUGCUUGCUACACAUAAUAAAGACAACGUUGAAUAAGGAAGUUGUCAAUAAAGAAACCAAAGCACAAUGCAACAAGUACCGGCGAGACUCACAGAAUAUCUUGUUGGUAAAUACCAGUUCAUUGGCACAUCUUUCUCCACCACCUACUGAAUGAGGGUGAGGUGAUGCGCUUUCAUAGAAAUCACCUAAAAGUGAUCAUAUUUAUUGAGAUAUAUAAUAACAUGUAAUAAACGAUAAACAUAUAUUGUGACAUCACCAAAUGUUGAAACCUAAUACCUCGCCACAUAGAUAAGCCCCCGGCAAAAGAGUCAAUAAAGAAUGCCGAUUAAGAAUUUCGCCGCAACUAGAAACAAUGAUUUCACUAAAGAUAAAACACGGUAAUUUUUUAGUCGUAUAGCAUAACAACUAUAUACAGAAAACUAAUUUCAGUCUUCUGAAUUUAACCUUCCCUCUGCGUCCUUGUUAAAAGCAUAUUGAAUAAGCUUCAAUUCUUCCAGCGUAACUGGAUCAUUGACUUGAAACGGACCAGCUUUAUACUUGGGAUUUGCUCCCCUGGACACUUGAUCGUACGGUGAAAGUUGAUAUCGGCCUGGCCUACGAUUCCUACUUGGUCGCGUUGGCAGGACACUGAGACUAGUAGAUGUUUGAGGUUCUUGCUUAAGUUGAACUGGUUCAUCUAUAUCCUUUAUAAAAAAUAAAUUUAUAUGUAAGUUACUUCAUAAGUGAGUUAUCAUUGAAAUCAUUUUAAGAAAACGACGUUAUAAAACUGUACCUCAUCUCGGAGAUUAGGUGGUGGAAUAGGGACAAAGUGGGUAGGAUCUUUGCGAAAUUCACCGAUUCCUUCUCUUGUCCCCAUCCAGCCCAUUAAUUUAUCGAGGCUCAGGUUCAAUCUGCGAUCCACAGAGUCCUCGUCGCUAUCCAUUACCAUUUUGUUUUUUUCCAUCAGUAGUUGGCUCGGUUUUUCUGACUGGACAUGUUGGUUCUACUAUUUUCAAGCUCGGAGAUUGCGGGCAUGGAUCAGAUGGUUGUUUUGAUAGUGCACCAACCGGAGACUUGGAUCUCAAUUCCUCCAAAGACUUCUCAACCAUUUCCAUUCUCACAUUGAAUGAAUCCAUUUUGUGUUCAAUUCUGUGGACACACUGUGUUAGUACCCUAAAAGCUUCCUCCAUAUUAACAGUGCUCGGCCCAACAUCUUCGGUUUGUUCAAAAUGAGCGAAAUUUCUUUCGAGCUGCAGAAAAUUUGAUUCACGCAUUGGAACCUAAAAUAAAUAUGCACAACAAUCAUACAUAAUGACAAUCAAAAUAUAUUCAAUUAACCGUAAACAAAAUUAAAUACAUGUGUGAACAAGACAAAAAAUAAAACAAACCUCAGUACUGGUCAUGUCCCCAAACUUUUUCCGCCAAUUCAAUAAGCGCCGAAUCUCUUCCUUGGUCCAUACACUAACAGGGCAAACUGUUCUGUCCAUGGAACACCGAUCAUAUAAAACAGCACUAAAGUAGAACAACUGUACAUUCAAAAAACAAUUACUACGUCAUUUUAUUUUUCGUAUUUGGAAAAUUAAUUAUGGCAUCUAAGAUUUCUUAAAUAUACCUCUAAAAACACAACACAACCACUAACUGACUUCACUUGAUUAUCUUUAUACUUCGCUAUGCCCUCCCACAGAAAGUUGAAACACCAUGUAGCCCAAUUCUUUUUCCUAAUUAAUUGCACAUCUUUUAGGGAAUGCAGAUACAUCGGAUUGAUGUAGCUGGCACUUGUGGGACACAAUACAGUUCCUAGAAGAAACAAACAAAACAUGAUCUUAAAGUCAUCAUCACUACUCUCACUAGCUAUUAUUCUUUCACUAACUGCGGCUAUUUCAAUUCCUCUUCCACUUGUUCUAUACUUGGCACGCAGUUCAAUUAUAUCACCCGCUUCUUCUCGGAUGUAUACUGGUUCCCCUCCAUCUUUGAUCCCCAUUACGAUGCUGAAGGUUGUAGGGUUUAAACAAAACUCUCUCUCGUGCAAAACUAUACAGUGCCUCUUUGUAUCACAUUGUUGGACAAGUGUUUCACAGAAGUCUUGUCUCAGGCGACCACAUCGUAAUUCUAGCAUGCUUCCGAAGCUAAUUUCUCUAAUUGCAGCUUGUUGGUCGGCCGAUAGUGUGGAAAUGACCUUAGUGAGUGCACUGACACGACAACGAGAUAAAUUACAUUGGCUAUGCUUAUCCCCAAUUUUUUGUUCUUCAUCUUGUUUUUCAAUACUCCUUUCACCAACAUUUGAACUUGGGUCCUCAUGCAUCGUACCAAAUCGGCACUUCUCCUCAUUCGUUAAUUUCUUCCAUUUUUCAACAAUUGUCGCCCUACAAACUUUUUUGAUCCCUUCUUGCCUGACCUUUUCUGCUUCAUGCUUACUGUACACAACAUUUUAGUUCAACUAAUUACGUCAACAAAAUUGUUAUAAUAAGAACCUUAUUCAAAGCAAUAAUUUUAUACUUACAAAAAGUGUAUCCACGCUCUCUGACCAGGUCCUCCCCUUCUGCCUUAUGUGGACUCCAUUUUAUAACUGUAUGCUAUAUUUUAAAUCCUGAAAUAGACCACACAUAAAUGUAGUAUCAAGGCCGGACCCAUAACAAUGGCUAAGUUCUUGGCAAAUUAUUGAGCGCUCAUCUUUAGUAUUCCUACCAAAGACUGUAGAGCUCAAAACAAGCAAACAACACCUAAAACCAAACAAGAAAAAUUUAGGGUUCCCAUAGAAAAAUAACACUUAAAAACCAAAUCUCAAAAAAUCAACCACAAAAUAGAAAUAAAUUAAAAAAUGCCAUUGAAUUUUUACCAACUAAUGCCAUUGAAACCACGCAAAACCAUGGGAACAUUGCAUCCCCUUCUAAAUAUCUUUCUUCAAUUUAAUGCUUGAAUUACAGUACAUCAAUCAUAUCAGGAUUGAGGAUUUUCUUGCCAAUUUCAUGCUUCCAAGCCAUUAAUCAUCUCUUCAACAUCAAUUUUUCAUCAUCUAAAUAUCUUUUUUCACUCUAAAUUACCAAACUUCUAAUUGUUUCAAAUCUCUAAUUAUUUCACACAAAAUUUAUAGUACAUCACAAAAACCACAAAGGUCAAAAUUACCUCAUCACCUUCUCGUUAACUCACAAAAUGAAAAGGAAAGAGAGGAACUUGUGUUCAUCUUCAACACCUCAGGAUGACAGCGACCGCUUCAUGGAUUCCACUUCUUAUUUGCUUUGAACGAGAUGGUGCCUUUGAUCUUCUAUGAUUACUAAACAAAUAGAAGAGAGAAAUUUGAGAGAAAUUUGUGAUUUCAAAGUGAGAUGUGAGAGAUUGGGAAUGGCCUGGGUGAAACCCUCAAAAAGCAAAAUUUUGUUUUGCAAGCUUUGGGAACCGGUUUAAUAAGUUAACAAUUUUUUCCUCUUUUUUAUUUCUUUUCAAUCUCAGCCGUUGGAUUCAUUUUACUUGAAUCCAACGGCUGCGUUUACAAGCCGGCACAAUGCCGGGCCUCAAUGCCCGGCAUUGUAGCUUUAGCCAAGUUUAGUUUACAAUUACACCGGUGUCAAAUCAGCAGAGCAUCGGCAAGAGUUUUCGAUUGUUGCAAUUUGCAAUGCAUGUGGUACAUGCACGCACUAAUAAAGAAACACAAAAAGUGCAUUCUCAAGCCAAUAGUAUUUGUUUUUAAUCGCUACUUUGCAUAAUAAUGUAGCUUAGUUAGGAAAUUUGUAAUUAUAUUAUGCGUCCGUUUGGUAUAACUUUUUAAUUAGAACUUAUUUAAGGAGAACUAUUGUUUGUAGAGUUUUUAUAAAUAGAAAUUUUAAUUAAAAAAAAUUAUAAUUAUUUAGUUGUCAAUGUCCAAAUUGAUGAACUAUUGUUCUUUUUGUUAACAUGUGUUUGUUUUACUUAAUAAUAAAACUUUAGUUUACAAUUACACCGGUGUCAAUUAUACUAAUAGCAUCGGCAAGAGUUUUCGAUUGUUGCAAUUUGCAAUGCACGCGGUGAGAGAAAAUGAGAAUCUUGUUUAAUCCUUUCAUUAGGAGUAAUUUAAUAAUCGUUUGUUAUAAUAGAAUAUGUAUAAAGAAAGGAAAAUUAUAUUCAUAGAUUUGGCUUAUUUUUUGUUUAAAGUAAUUCAGAUCAUUACAACGUCCUUUUCGCUAAUUAAUUACAACGUCCUUUUCGCUAAUUAAUUAUGAUUAUAUACAUUUUCAUAUGGCAAGUGGCAUUGUAGAUCUAAACGACGUUGCUAUUUCAAUACGUUAAUUAAGUGAUUCUCCUGAUUGUCAUCAGCGCUAUACCCUCUAGGAAAAUAGCUCAAUUGUUUUCCUGCAUUGAUUUUCAUUGGUAUGUGAUUUCUUAUGAAAUUCUUUUGAGCUUUCCUUAGUUAAAAAGCUUGAGCUUUUAUCACCUAAUACUGAUAUCAAUUAACUUGUGAACGAUUUUAUACCCUCUCUUUUUUUUCUUUUUUUUUAAGUACUCUGUUGAAAGCCAAAGUUCCUUUGGCCAGUUAAUUUAGAAGUGAAGGAAAGAAUAAAGUUAGGCCUCGACGUCUUUUGAGAUUAGAAAUACAUUUUGAAUGCUUUAAUAGAUGCAGAGCAAACUGGCUCGAUAUCUAACUAUUUUAAGAGCUAAAAUCAUUUAUUAGAAGUUGUAGCAUUAAAAAAAAUGGGCUUGAUAUCCAAUUUUGUUAUUGAAUAUGUCUCACGUGUUACUGGCAGAUGGCUAUGCUAGGUUUUAUUGCUCCUUGAAUUUGAUUGAAAAAUUAUUGAGGCGGACAAGUUUGGACCAUUGUUGGACACUGAAACUACACAUCAGUCUUAGAAAAUUGUAAUUUUGUUGGCUUAUCAUGAUUUUGAUCGCCUCACAUUGAUUUUCCUAUGACGUCUCUGUAGAGUGGCUAUGCUUACAUUUUUAGGUAUUUAAUUCUAAAAAUUAACUUAUUAGAUGGAAGGACCAAUUCUACCUGUAAAUACAAGUGGCUUCCCUUUACCAACUCAUACAAGACACAACAAUAAUCUUCUUCAGAAAAAACCACCGUCGGAGGGCUAUUUUCGUUCAACAUAAAUGAGUUGUUCCGCCACCAUAUUUUAAGGGUUUGCUUCUAAUACAACUUGGGGGAGCUAGGGCUAAGAUUUCUAAGAAUCAACAUAAAAACCUUGCCUAUUGGAUGGAAGGACCAAUCCCACUUAUGAGUCUAAAUGACUAAUUUUUGAGGACACAACUCAACAGACCAAUAUAAACUUUUGACGUCCCAUUUUAUUACUUUCCUGUGUUUUUACUUUUGAUGCUGUCUAUAGCCCUACUAUUCUAUUAAGCAGAAAAUAUUUCAAGGCACUCUCGGUCCAGUAGAUAACUUUGGUAUUUAUUAUCUAUUUUCUUUCCAUUUUAUGUAAACCCCGAUCUUUACCUCUGAUUGGUUGUAGAUUCUUUUGUUGCUUUGGGGUUAGGGGAUGGUUUUCAUAACUAUUAAGUUGAUCAAUGCAGAAAAUCACCAUCAAGAAAUGAUAAAGGAUUGUUAGUUCUAUCUGACAAACAACAUUAAUAUGAAGGAUGAUGAUUGUUCUGUUCAAGAGUUUAUAAUGACAUAAUUCUACUUUGGUCUUUUAAAAAAAGUAAUUUAGAAACGAGUAUGUGAGUGAUGACUUUUACAAAAUAAAUUACAUGCGCAGUGAUGAUUUUGACACAUGAAAAUGAAAAAAGAAAUAUAACUUGUGAAUAAUAAUUGAAGUACCUGCUAUUGUUAUAUUGGGUAUUGAUAAAUGGAUGGUUUUGGAAGAAUUGAAAAUGAUGGCAUAAGUAAACCGAAGUUAAGAGAAAAGAGAAAGAGCAUUUGAACUUUACUAGUAAGUAAAGGCAAAUUUCUUGGUUCAAGAAAAGAUAAGAGAUAUCAAACUAGCAAUAGGAAAAAGGAGGAAGGUUAAGACAGCAUCUUAACAAAAGCUAAAGAAAAGAAAAACUUAGUUCAAGCAAAGAACAAUGUGCUAAUGUCGUGUAAUCUUGUUUAAUUUCUUUUUCUUCUCACAUUUUCCAGGGCUUAAAUAAUACAAUAUACAUUUUCAAGCAAAGAACAAUAUGCAAUUGCAGUACUUCUGAGCACACAACAACAAAUAAAUAGUACAAUAUACAUACCCACUAAAUUAAAAAAAAAAUAUUAUUCAAGUUUGUGGACAAUACUGUAGCCAUGCCGUCGUCGAAAUCUACUGACAGCUGAAACAAAGAAAGAAUGGAUGAAUGCUGGAUCACAGUUGAAAUUGAAGGUCUGGUAGGUGAUGUUUCCCUCUCUGAUUUUACCUAAACAAAUACAAAAAAAUAAGAAUCACAAAUGAAAAUCUGCUAUUACACUGUUCUUACUUAUUAAAAUACAGAGGUUUCUUUGUUUCUCUGCAGCAAUGUCCAUGGCUAUUAGAAACAAGAACAAUUAGACCAGCAUUUGCAAGAAUCCUUUAAGGUAUUACUGCAGAUAUAAAUCCACUGAGGAAAUGGAAAAAGUGAAUACCAAAUUAGGCAAGUUAAAUGAAGAUUGAGUUAUCAUAGAAGAAUAAAACUCAUCCAAUUCAAUCCAUCAAAUUCCAUAAGGAUACAACUGGAUGUCAUACUGCUGCUCCAUAUCCUCAAGAGCCCGUAGAUUUUGCCUCAACUCUGGCUGAGGCCAAUGUAAGUCCAAUUUGCAAAAGCUCUUUAUGCACCAUAGCUCUUCAGGAAGCUUUCUCAAGUAAGCACAAGGGUUGACAAUUAUGCUCCCAAGUUUUGGCAUUGCUCCAGCCCCUAUCGUCCACUCCUCUAGCCAACAAAUUGAUUUCAGGUGCAAUACUUUGAGCUCCGGGAAACCACAAGAGCAAACACAAGCCAGUUUUCUUCCUGAAUAUGAGUUCUGCUUCAAUUUCAGCACUUGAAGGUGUGGAAGCUUGUCUAGUGUUAGCAUGGUAUCCGCCAAUAACUCAGUAUUUGAUAAGCUUAGUUGGAUCAGACUUGGAGAAGCUGGUAUUUAGACAGGGCCAUCCGAGAGAGCUACCACCUCUUGGUUUCGUUCACCAGCUUCAAGCAUUCAAGUUUGUGUAGUUCGCAUAGGCUUUUGGAAACCCCAGAACGAUAAUAACUCAAACCUCCAGAUACUAAGAGUUUGAAAAUGAGGUAGUCUGCCUGUUAAAGUAGCUCACUAUGCUGAACGAAAGAAGGAGAAAGCUAAGCUGAAGAAAAUACAGGGCAAGAGUAUUAGCUGUGCCAGCUCAACUGACAGCUCAGCAAAAUCAGUUAAAUUUUGUUACAAGCCCCCUGUGCAUUGUGCUGAAGAUUAGUUAGUUUAAUAAUGAUUAGUUUUAGAUUAGUUAAAAUGUAAUCAUGAUUAAGAUAUAUAUAUAUAUAUAUAUAUAUAUAUAUAGAUAUAGAUAUAUAUAUAGCUGCUGUACUGAUAGGGCAUCUCAAAAGUUCUGAAAUAAUACCUCAAUUCUAUGGCAAAAAUAAAUAAUCUCAAACAAGAACCAAUAAUCAUAUUUUGUUACUGUCAAACACAAUGCAUAUGAGCAAAACAUUGGAAGCCAACACCAGAAUACAUAUGAAUAAACAAUUAAAGAUAGAGAAAAAAGGCUUAAACCUUGGGGGAAAAAAGUGAAAAAACAUGAAAGACAAAUUACACAUGUGCAGUAACCAUCGAACUUAUCAGUGACAGCUGCAUCCAUUACAUUGCUCCAACAACACAAUGGCAAACCACCAGUUUCAAAUUGAGGAUAGCUAUCGAGAAUGAGAAAGUGUCCAAAACAUCAUAAAUAGACAUGUUCCUAUUGUGCAUAAUUUACAUUAUAGGCAAAUAUUCUUAUACCAUCAAAGGCAAAACAUGACACUAACAAUUGAUCCCCCCCCCCCCCCCCCCCCCCCCCCCCCCAACAAAAAAAAAGGAAAAAACAAUACAGAAAAGAUUGAAACAGAUAAGGCUACACUGAGCACAGGAUGCCAUGAAACAUAAUCCAGGAACCAAAUUAAUAAAGAAGGAAGGCAAACCAUUAUUUAACAAUCUGUUUUGUAUUUGGGAAAGUCCGAUAAAAUCUACUUAGGGAUAAUUAGAGAACCUCAACUAUUAAUCACACCUCAUAAAUGAACUAACAUUAACCAUGUACCAUCCCCACAUCAGACAAACAUUCUCUAUACUUCUGAACCUAAUACUUCCAUCUUCAAUUGGGGUUUUUUUUUGUGGGGGGGGGGGGGGAUAAGCUAUCGUGUUUCUAAGCUUGCUUACCUUCUGUGUGGGACUGAAAUACUGAUUUCGAAUCAUUAACAGUAAAAUUGGAAGCUCAUGAAAAAACAAUUUUAUCUUUUAACAAAAGUUAAAAUUACAUCUCCAUAUAAAUUCUCUUUUCAUUUCCUUCAAUUUUCUAAUUAAGCUUAAAAAAAUGUACCUUCAACCACAAAGGGGUUUAAAAUUUAAAAUAUAUAAAAAAAUAAAUUCAGAUAACAAUAAUUAAUUUAAUUAAAAAUAUAAAUAGAGAUUACAGAGAAAGAGAAAAUAGAGAAAGACCUAAUGUUGAGUCCUUUGGUUCUCUUCAUAGGUCCGAACCAUUUCUUCGGGCGUGGGUUUCGGGUCUUUAGGAAACUCCAUCGUCAUAAGCCAGUGAUUGUAAUCGCAACCCUCCAACAGAAUCGUGUCGGGUGUGAUCUCGUCGCCGUCCUUACACAAGUGGUAAGUCUUGUUACCCGACGGCGCAGACGAGAGGGAGAUCGUCGGGGACGAUCUGAACGGCCGAGAAUGGAUGAUGAUGGAGGAGGAGGAGGAGAUUAGCGAUGACGACGCCGAUGAAAUGGAAGGGUUUACCAGAGGAGUGGAUGCCGAAAGUGCAGGGACGGCCGCCAGGAGAGAGCGGUGGAGAGCAGCGACGGCCGGCAGUGACCGGCGGAAGAUGGCGGGAGAUGGCAGCGUGGGCCAUUGCUUGCGCGUCAGUGAGUGUCUCGAGUGAGAGAGUGAAGGUAGGGAUGGCAAUGGGGAGGGAGGGAGGGUCCAAUCUCUCCGUACCCAUCCCCCAAUUUGUCCCCGUCCCUCCCCGUCCCCAUUUGCUUAGAAUCUCCAUCUCUGCUCGAAUAAUAACAGGAAAUCCUCGAGGUUCUAAAUAACUAAUAAUUUUUUUUAUUUUUUAUUUUUUUAUUUUUAGUUAAUUAUAUUAAAAUAAAAAAUAAAAAAUAAAAAUAAAAUUUAAAAUAUAUCUUAUAUUAAUAUUGAUCCAUUAUAAAAAUUACAUGUAAAAUAUAAAUUAUCAAAAUAAUUAUCUUUAUCAAUCUUCAUAAUCAUAUAAUAAAAAGAAAAAAAUUUACUUUUAUAUUGAUAAUAAAAUAAAUAUAGAUAAUUAAUUAAUAUUUUUAAUAAAACAAAAUUUUUGGGCUAAUAGAAUCUACCCUGCUUUUUUAAUAUCUUAAAUAAAAAUUUAAGACUUUAAUUAGUUAAUUAGGCCUAAAAAUUUAAUAAUAUAAAUAUUUUGAUAUUUUUUAUUUUACCAAUAUUUAUAAUUUUAUAAUAUAUUCAAUUUUUAUUAUUUAUUUACUAGUAAUUUUAAAAAAUAAAAAUAAAAUUAAAAAAUAAAAUGGGGGAAAUGGGGAGGGGAUGGGGAUUCCACCUCAUCCUUGUCCCUUCCUCGAAUAAGAAAUUGAUUAAAAAAAAUUUCCCGUCACUUUCUCGAAUAAGAAAUCGGGUAUAAAAUUAUCCUCGUACCCUCCUCGAAUGAGAAAAAUCUCCGAGGAUACCCAUACCCGUGGGGAUUUUUGCCAUCCCUAAGUGAAGGAUUUUGUUUAGGGUUUUGGGAAUUGAAAAAUGUAAAUGUUUGAUUUUGUUGCUAGAAACUUCUUCUGCCGCUGCUUUUUAUUUUCGCUAUAAAAGUAAUAAUUUGUUAAUCAAAUAUUUUCUUAAAAAAGAUAAAUUUCUAGAACAAAAUUUAUAUUAAAUCAAAUUGUAAAAAUGUGGAAUAGGGCUAAUUUCUCCUUAAUAUUAUUGUUAGUAGAAGUAGAUUUUCGAACUAGUCUUGAUAUAUUUUAGAGUUGUAUUAUAGAUGUAUAUGUAUCUAGAUUGUAAUUAUAUUUUAAAAAAUAUAAUUUUUUUAAUUAUUGCACAAUAAGUGUAGAAAAUAUCUAUAAAAUAAUAUUAUUAGAACUAUGAAAAGAAUUUAUUUUAGAGAAGUUGUUUUUUUAUUAUUGAAUUUGUUAAUUUAUUAAUUUAUUGACAAAUGAAUAUUUAUUAAUUUAAAGAGGGAUUUUUUUUUAUUUGCUUUUAAGAAGAGUUUUGUUGGUACAUGUACAUACUUAUAAAGAAAUACAAAAAGUGCUUCCUCUGUUCCUCAAAUCAAUAGUAUUUACUUUAAUUCAUAAUAAUAUAGCUUAUUUAGGAAACUUGUAAUUAUACCAUGUCUUUGUUUCUUUGUUCAUUUUGGUGGGACAAUGUGAUAAAUGAUUGGAUUAAAAUGCAUUAAUAAAUAAAAACUUAUUAAAACCUAAUUUAUUUGGGAACCACAUAUUAUUUGUCAGUAGUAUUUAUCAACUUAACAAGUUAUUUCUAAUUUGUCCCUCUCUAUUAAUGGUUCUCUUAAAGCCAAUAGGGUCGCAUUUGAUAUCUUGCCAUUACCGUUGGCAGUAGCGUGUUACCUAAGAUUUGGAUUCAUUGAAAUCCUCAAUGUAAUCGGUGGAACGAAUGGAUUUCUUCUAUUCAUAAUUUGAUGCUUUGGAUUCAUUGAAAUCCUCAACGCAUUUGAUAUCUUUUUCGUUGAAUUCGUGCAGUUAAAUAAUCUCUACCAACAUAUGUAUGUAUGUAUGAAAUUGGAGUAACCAGACCUUUUCAAGAGUUAAAUAAUCUCUACCAACAUUGUAGAUUGCCCGAUAAAGUUAACUGUGUUACCCAGCUCUAUGCAUAUACAUUAAAUGCAUGUUUGGGUAGUUUUAUAAAAUGAUAACAGCAUGUCAAAACUUGAUAUGAGUUAUAUUGUCAUAUUCGACAUUUUUAAAUUGAAAAAUAAGCAAGCAAUCUUCAGUGAACAUUACAAUUUUGUUCGCUCUACACCCCAUCAAUAUUUAAGCAAUCUACAUAUCAUUACUUGAGGAAAGAAACUCAUUGCGCCACUAGGCUUUUAACGAGGCUCAUUUCUAUGAAUCUGGAUAGCAUUAGAUAUCUCUCCGAAUACUGUUGGGAGUAGAUUGCAGUUCUCUGGGCUAUACUACAAAGUGUAUGUACGUUGAUUCUCUGAUAUGAUUCAAAACAUCAGUACAUGCAUCAUUUAAUGAGAAAGAAUAUUCUGAGAUUAUUUAUGCAUCACCAUUUGUAGUUGUACUGACUCUAAUGAAAUUAAAGGUGCAAUCAGCAACUAAAAUGAAGCCAGAAAGACACGCAUGAGGCAGUUUUCCUAGAAGAUUUGAUAUUUCUUUGACUAGCAAACCAUACGACAUUAAUCAAAACACAAUACGCACAAACAGACCCCUACAUACAUACCAGCAAAUUCAAAAUAGAAAAAGGAGUGCAACUAUUCAAGUUUGUAGACAAUAUUGCAGCCAUGGCAUAUCAAAGCAAAUCCUUGAAAUGUGCUAAACAGAACAAUGCCCUGUCUGAUGAAUCGACGCUCAAUUACAAUUGAAAUUGAAAGUCCGGCUGGUGUUGUUUCCCUCUCCAGUUUUGCCUACAUAAGUAAAGGGAAAUGAGAAUCAUAAAAGAAAAUCUGCUUUUAUGGUUCUUAUUAGAUAGAUAAAAAGGGAUCUUUCUUUGUUUCUCUGCUGCAAUGUGUGGCUAUCCCACUCUGUUUUGCCAGUCAAGCUGAGUCUAUGUUGAGACAUAAUUUUGACAUCAGAAGCGGCCUCAAUUAGUUUGGCACUUUUGCGAUAAACAUAAAUCUACUAAGAAAGUGCAAAAAAAAAAAAGAAAAUGAAUAUAAAAGUAUGAUUUAUCAGAUAAGAUUAAAACUCACCCAAUUAAAUCCGUCAGAUUCCAUAAGGAUAUAACUGGAUGUCAUACCGCCACUCCAUAUCCUCGAAAGUCCGUAGUCUUUGUCUCAGCUCUGUCUGAGGCCAAUGUAAAUCCAAUUUGCGCAAGCUCUUUAUGCACCACAGCUCUUCUGGAAGCUUUCUCAGGUAAGCACAUGGGUUGACAAUUAAGCUUUCAAGUUUUGGCAUUGUUCCUCCCCCCAUCGUCCACUCAUCUAGCCAAUACAUUGAUUUCAGGUGCAAAACCUUAAGCUCCGGAAAGCCACCAGAGCCGACACAGGCCAGCUUUCUUCCUAAAUACGAGUUCUGCUUCAGUUUCAGCACUCGAAGGCGUGGAAGAUUUUCCAGAAUUGGCAUGGGAUCCUCCAUUAGCUCAGUAUUUGAUAAGCUCAGUUGGAUCAGACUUGGGGGAAAUUGGUAUUCAGACAGGACCAUCCGUGAGGGCUUGCUCUCAUUCACCAGCUUCAAGCAUUCAAGUUUGUGGAGUUCGCAAAGGCUUUUGGAAACCCCAGAUUGAUAGUAACUCAAAUCUCCAGAUAUCCGAAGAGUCCGAACACUGGGUAGUCUGCCCAAUAUAUCAGGAGUACAACUACUAGGGUUUAAAGCUGAUAUGAAAAUGAGAUUUUUCAGAGAGCUAGUAUAAUUUUUUGGAGGUGCGGGCAGAGUGAUAGAACCAAAGUUUAGAUGCGUGAGUUUUUGCAUCAUCCAAAUAUCCUCUGGCGACUGAUCUAUGUAGCUAGAUGGCAUUUCUAGUGUUUGAAGGUUUAAAAGGGUGCAUAGCAGCAAAGGAAGGCAUUUGAGCGAAGGGAUAUUCAAUUUCAAGUACUUCAAAAAAUAUAAAUUUUCUAAUCCGGGUGGAAAUUGGUCGAGAACUGCGGAACCCAAGUUCAGUACCCGAAGGUAUUUGAACUUUUUACAAAAAUUCUCGCAAUCUAUCAGAGCGAGAUGAUCGCUUCGUGAACUGUGAUUCAGAAAAGAUUGGAUAUACAUGUCAGAAUAUUCUGGAGGAAAGAACUUAAUCAGACGAUCCAAAAUGAGAUACCGUUUAACAUUUGCCAGUGGUUCCUCUUUCAUAUCAGACAUCCGGACAAAUUCCGUCUUGUCCGCCACCAAAUAUAUUGAAAUAAAUUCAAAACUUGGAACAUAACACGCUUUGAUUGUGCCGUUGGCUCUUCUCUUACUCACUUGAAUGAAGCCGCGGUGGAUUAGUUCUUUUAAGUAAAAUUCGGCAGUUUCCUCACUGUUGUAUGGAAUUAAACCUUCAGCUAUCCACAACUGACAUAAUUGCGCGGUAGAUAUCUCAAUGCCGGGGCGGAAGACACACAAAUAGAUGCAGCAGACUUUCAAGUAAAAAGGUAACUCCCACACAGAACAAGUUCGACUGAAAACUGUCAAAUUUAUUUUUUCAUUCAUAUAAUUUUCUGAUGGCGCACUUCCAUAGUGUAAGAUAAAAAAUUGCCAGGCCUCAUGCUUUAAUCUGAUCAAUGGUCCUUCAAUGAGCACUGAAUCAAGCCGAAUCUCCUCUCCGUUUUCCAUUUCCAACGACGUAAGGAGUUCUGGAUCAGUGACCAAUAUCAAUACUCUGCUUCCAUUCUGAUUAUCAGGAAGAACUUCUUCAAGAUCAUCCCAUAUCUCAAUGUUAUCGCAGACAUCAUCAAGCACAAUAAAGUACUUCUUCUUUGCUAGGAAAUCUCGAAGAAUAGUUUUCUUCAAUUGAUAAUCUUCACCGAUAAUUACACUAACCCCAGAUGGAGGCAUCACAGACUUGAUUAUGUCAUCCAAUAUCAUGCGAAAAUCGUAGGCCACAGAAACCCUGACCCAAGCAAGACAGUCAAAAUAGAACUUGACAUGAUUAUUAUUGUAAGUAUCUGCAGCAAAAGCAGUCUUAUCGAAGCCAUUGCUGUCGAGUAUUGCAACCACUGCCAGCCCAGAUGGUCCAUCUAUUGAUUGAGGGACCAUCUGGGCUGGCAGUGGUUGCAAUACUCGACAGCAAUGGCUUCGAUAAGACUGCUUUUGCUUAUUUUGUUACUUUGUUCACUGAUAUCAAAACCAUUGUCGCCGGGUGGAAGUUGUUGAAUCCGAUUUCUAAUAUCAAUGAUUUUACUGUGGAGUCCAACAAGAAAAGCCAUCUUAGUACUACUUUCACUUUCGUUUUCACCGUUUUGCUGCUGCAUGAUUUUGAUGAAGAAUGUGUCAAUGGCUUCCUCAGAUUCAUGGACAAAGUCAUUGAUGUCGUUCAGAAUUUCCAGAACGUCUGCUCUUUUAACGUCUUCUUCAUCGCUUUCUUCUGCCUGCAACAGUUGCGAAAAAGGCAAAGAUAAUUUGUAUUCAUCGAAUCGUUCUUUAACGAGUUGAAACAAAAGCCGAGCCAUGUCAGAUUCAUAGUUUCCCAGCAGAGUGGUAGCAAUAAUUUCGGACUCCGUAAGAAGGUUUUUAAAAAGGGGAGUUAAAUUUGUUGAAUCAGGCAAAGUCAACGCGCCUUCUUCACCUGCUAACACCCUUUUUAACCUCUCACAAAAUAGUCGGAGGUGGACGUCCAGCAUAUCUCCUUCUCUCUGUAGCGGCCAGAGGUAUUGUUAUUUGCUACAAGAAAUGUUAAAAGGAUUGGUCCUAUCUCAAAGUCGUUAGUGGUGUCAAAUUAAACGCCAUGGGAGAAUUUGAAAGGAAGAUGCCAAGAAACUGGCUAAGUGGCUAAAUUCCACAAAUACGGCAUUAUUGCUCAUUUUUAACUCAAAAAAUUGAUACGCGUUCAUUUAGCGAAAAGUCCAAGACGCGUGCCUUUUGAGAAGAACCGGUAUCCAAUAGGUAUUCAACUUUAUCUUAUUUAAGGCAAAGCUUACGUUACAAAUAAUGUAACAAACAACCAAUAAAUAUAGAUCAUUUAAUUAUUAGCAUGACAUGAUUGAUGGUGCUUAAAUCAAAUGUUUUUCUUUUUUAAUUUAAAGAAUUUUUCAUGAAACAAAUUAUUUUAAUAUCAAAUUGCCUUCAAUGGCAUAACUGCCGCAAGCCAGUGACAGAAUUAAUUAAAAAUUUUAGAAUUCUUGGGCAUGGAAAUGGUAGUAAACAUCAUAAAGCUAAGGUUGUUCUGUAAAAGAACUGAUAUUGACAUAAUUUUAUUUUGGUUUUCGGGGAAAACAAUAUUUGUUGACAAGCAAGAAAAUAUUUUUAUAUUUUACAAUUUAUUAUACAUAUUUUAUCAUAUUAAAGUAAUUUUAAUAAUAAAUAGAAACAUAAUAUUACAAUAAAUAAAUUAAAGUUUAAAUUAUUUUGAAUAUUAUAAAAAGUAAUUUUAAUAUUAUUAAUAGGAAGACUUUUGUUAAUUGUAAAAUCUUUUUAAUCCAAAGAUUUAUUUAAAAUUCUUAUAAUAAAUACAAAUAUAAAAUUAAAUAUCAAAAUUUAAAAUUUUUAAUAUUAUUUAAAUUUUAAAAAUACUUUAAUGUUAUUAGUCUUCUACAUAAAUUAUAUUAUUUAUAUUAUAUUUGUAUUGAUUAAAAUCUUUUAAAGUCGAUCUUCUAGUUAUUAUAUGCAAAAGGUAUUAUAUCAUAUUACAAUUUUUUUAAAUUUUAGGGAUGUAGGUUACGAUGAUUUAUUUCACUUUUGACGAAAUCCAAUGAGAAAUAUGAUAAGAGAAAGUCAAUUUAACGUUCUCUACCUUUAUGAAAAAAAAAAUAAAAACUAAGAAUUAUUUAAUUUUAUAUUUUUUGCAUCCACCAAAUAAGUUUUGCACAUUUAUGUUAUCAUAAAACGAAAAAAAGGGUUUACCAAAAAAUGGUACCAAGCAUACCUUUAAUGUCCCACGUGAUUUCUUAUUAAGCCCAAUAUUAGAUAUAUUUAUAGAUUUUACUGCAUAAGUAUUUUAAUUAUAAAAGAAGUUGGUCCUUCCUCUAGUUACAAAAGAUAACUUUAUUUCAAGACUACCACUAAAUUCUUACGGAGAAUUAGUGCAAGGCCAAGAGAGAGUAACACAAUUUUACUUUUCCAUUACCAUUUUGAAAAUAGAAAGAUAUGGAUCCGUGUAUUUAAGAGUUAUUGUAAAAAUCAUACAAUUCAAUUUCCUGACGUGUAUUAUGUAUAUUUAGGCACAUUUGCCAAAAGCGUAAAUAGAUAGAAAGUAAAUUUACAAUCCACCCUUACUCACAAUUAUUGAAGUGAAGAUGCAUUACAACUGUCACUGCUUUAACUACAUUUAUUUAUUUAUUUGUUUUAAAUAAAAGUGUGAGAGAGACGGUGAACAUCAUGGACGAUAACAAAGGUUAAAGCCUAAAGGUGACCCAUUUUCUUUUUUAAAGUGCUCUGCUGAAAGCCAAACUUCCUUUGGAUCCGCCUAAGUUACUGCUGACGCAACUUACAGCUGCUUUGUAAAAUUUUAUAAAGCCCCUUAUACUCUAUAUUAUUACGUUAUAACUUAACUUACUAUGAGAUUUAUCUUACUUAUUUAUAAUUUGUUCAUAAAUAUUAUAAAACUUUCUGCAUUAUAUAAUUUUAUUGAGCCCCUUAUACUAUAUUUUAUUUCAUUGAAACCCUUAGAGUACUAAUUCGCCCUCUAUAAUUUUAAAUUCCUAAAAUAUCCUCCAUUUAAUUAAAAAUAUAAUAAUUAUUAAAUGGAUUAUAAUUAUAAUUAUUAUUUUAUUAUAAUUAUUAUUAAAUGGAUUAUAAUUAUCUGGAGUACAAAUUCAGUAAUAAACAAUAACUGAAGUAUUAACAAUUUAUUCAUCAAAUAAAAUACUCGAGAUUUCAGCUGACAAAUCCUCUUGUCUAAACUAAAAAACUCAUAUCCCUAAAAUCUAUUUGUGAAAUGUUAGAGAUGAGUGGUGAUUUGUCAACUGGGUAAAUAUAUUUAUGCAUAAUAUUUCCGGUAUUGAUAAAUUACAUAAUAAUUAUUACAAAGAAAUCAUAAAUUGGAAACAUUAAUCAUUUUACAAUAUGUUACAUAAGUAAGAUAAAUCUCAUAGUAAGUUAAGUUAUAACGUAAUAAAUAUUUUCAACAUAUAAUUAUUUAAGAAGUCAUUUAACAAUAAUAUUUUUUAUAUUUCAGUUGAUCAUGUCAUAUAGCGUUAUCUAAACUCUUGGCCAUAUUAUUAUUACUCAAUUUUUCUCCCAAAAAAAAAAACAAAAAUGAUUAACGAUUAGAGAAAAGUCAUGCCUUUUAGAAAGAAUACGUAUACAGCCUAUCCCAUACUUUUAUCUUUACCAUGAUGGGGGAUUAAAUUUAUUUUUUAAAUUAAAUUUAAUGCACAAUUAUGAUGACUUUUUGCAAAAAUUAGUUUCGGAAGAUAUAGUGGUAGAAAAUAGUGAUGAUUAUUGUUUAAAUGUGUAAAUAGUUUAAGCAUAGCCCGUAAUACCAAUAUUCAUUUGCACCUUCAUUUGGAUUAUCAUAUUUUAUGAUGUUCUUUCAUUCAUAACCAUUGUUCAAAAUUUGGAUUUGAUCAUAAAACAAAGCUAAAAAAUAUUAGAGAUACUAACAAUUGAGUCCCAUUUUAAGUCCCAAUACAAUGUGUCAUUUCCCAAUGCUGUAUCAUUUUAGGUGAUGAAUUUCAGAAUUAAUAAUUAGUUCAGACUUAAAUUAAGAUUUAGUUAUUAAGAUAUCUAGCAUCACUCAAUCACAAUAAACAAUAACCAAUUCAAAUUGGAACGGAAUAUUGUAUUUUCUUUUAAUUAAUUAUGAUGCAUAAGCAAGUAUUUGUGCUUGGGUUUUUUACUUCUUGAUUUUGUUUGGAAAAAUUUAUGAGACAAAGAAGUGUUUUGGAUAAUUUUUUCGGGAUUGAAAAUUUGAAACCACAACUUGGUAGAAGAAAUUAGUUGUGAACAAUUUUUUCUUAUAUUGUAGGACCUUCUAGUUGGAGUAGUGAUGGCUUUGUCUUCAUUUUUGGUUCCAUUUGUGUCGGCAGCCCCUUACUAUUCUCUUGACCCUGAGUUUGAGAUGAAAAUUUAUCAACCUCCAACCCCACAUCCAAAAACAAGUUGAUUGAAACAAUUGCUCUUUAAAUUAAGCGGACCCAAAUGAGUUAGGUUUCAGUUCUUAUCAUUUGUCUAUUAUUUCUUUGAAACAUGUAUUUUGAGCAUUACUGAUCUUAAUUAUCUGUAUUUCUCCAAUUAUUGAAGAAUUUCAUGUGGCCACUUUUUCUCCUUUUAAAAUAUGUUUAUUUUUUGGAGUGAUCAAACGGGUGUAGAAUCAAGUAAUCGCUGGUCUGUAGUUUAGCCAAUGAUGGCUCAUCCACACAGUUGAAUAUAUGAUACAAUUAGCUCUCAAAAUCUUUCUUAUUUGAGAACAUAAAUUGCCCAUUAAAGUUAAACUAUGUUACCCAGCUCCAUGCACAUACAUUAAAUGUGUAGGUAGUUUUACAAAAUGAUAACAGCAUGCCAAAACUCGUUGUUGUCAUAUUCGACAUUUCAAAUUGAAAAAUAUGCAAGCAAUCUUCAGUGAACAUUACAUGUUUAUUCAAUAAUUUAAAUGGCCAGUAAAUCAACAGUCCAUGAGUUUUAAAUCUAUUAUGACUUAAUGUAUCUUUCUGUAUUCGUACACAGGUUAUAUUAUCAUAGUUUAAAAUUUUAAUAUUAUUUUAAAUGUUAAAAAUACUUUAAUGCUAUUAGUUUACUACACAGGUUAUAUUAUUUAUAAUAUAUUUGUAUUAAUUAAAACUUUUAAUGUCAAUUUUUCCAAAUUCUAAGGGUAUAGGUUUGAAAAUUUAACGUUCUCUAAAUUAAUGAAACAAAAGGGGGGAAACCAAAAACUAUUCAAUUUUGUAUUUUUUGUUUGUAAUUCAAAAAAUACAUCCACCAAACAAGUUUUACGCAUUAAUGCUGUCAUAAAACGAAAAACAGUUUGCCAAAAAAUGGUACCAAACAUAUCCUUAAUGUCUCACAUGAUUUCUUAGUAAGUCCAUAUUAGAUAUAUUUAUACAUUUUAGGUAUUUUAGUUAUAAAAGAAGUUGGUCCUCCCCCUGUUUAUAAAAAAAUAACUUUAUUUCGAGAUUGCCACUAAACUCUUAUAUAGAAUUAGUGUAAUGUUAAGAGAGAGUAACACAGUUUUCCAUUACCAUCUUUGAAAAUAGAGAGAUAUGGAUAUGCAUGCAUUUAAGAGUUAUCGUGAAAAUCAUACAAUUCAAUUUCCUGACAUAUAUUUAUGAGCAUAUGCCAAAAGAAUAAAUAGACAGAAAGUAAAUUUACAGUCCUCACUUCCUCACAAUUGUUAACGUGAAGAUGCAUUACAACUGUGAACUGUCACUGCUUUAGCCUUUUUUUUUUAAUUAUAGUGUGAUGGAGACAUUAAGGCUGAGCAUAAAAGUUAAAGCUGACCCAUUUUCUUUUUAAAGUGCUCUGCUGAAAGCCAAACUUCCUUUGGCUAAUUAAUUUAGAAGUAAAGCAGAGAUUAAAGUCCUAGACGCCUUCUGAAAUUAGAAAUACAUUUUAUAUGCUUUAAUUAUGAUUAUUUGGUAGACCAUAGACCUAGAAGACAUGUCAAAAGUAUAAAACAGAGCGAUUAAAGAAAAAAGAAAAAAAAAAGAGUAUUUGUGACGUAGAAUAACAAAUGGUAACUAAAAUCCUAAAUAUUUGAGUUGUUAAAAGUAAAUAUAACAGAGACGGUAAGAGAGAUGCAGAAACAGAAAACUAUUAGCUUAUCUUGAUUUUCCCACUAUAUUCAUUUUCGAUGCUUUUCGAACGAGAUUCUUUUAAUCCUUCUGGUGUAUGCAGCCCCGGCUCUUCUUAUAAAUCUCCAUCCCACAUCUGCACUACGAACAAGUUGAUUGAAAUUAAAUAAUGUUGGAGAUGAGAGGUGAGUCGUCAACUCGGUAAAAACAAUCAUGUAUAAUAUUAUUAAUAAUAUAAAAUAUAUAAUAAUCAUUACAAAGAAUCAUAAAUUAGAAAAAUUAAUUAUUUUACAAUCUAUUUCUUAAGUAAGAUAAAUCUCGUAAUAAGUUAAGUUAAUAACGUAAAAAAAAAUUCAAUUUAUAAUCAUUUAAGAAGUCAUUUAACAAUAAAAUCUUUCUUUUGAUCAGUAGGCCAUGUCACAAAGUAUCAUAUAUAUUCGUGGUGAUAUUAUUACUACUCCGUAUUCUCAAAAAACAUGAUUUAACAUUUAGAGAAAAUUCCUACCUUUUAAAAAGAACAUGUGUGCAACAACUACCCAUACUUGAUCUUACCAUGACAAAACUAAUGGAGACUAAAUCAAUUUUCUCGAUUAAAGCAAAAUUUCUUAAUAUUGAUUUAAUCCAAAAAUAUGAUGACUUUUUGCAAAAAUUAGUUUUGGAAAAUAUAGUGAGAGAAAAUAGUGACGAUUAUUGUUUAGAUGUGUAAAUAGCCUAAACAUAAUCCCUAAUACCAAUAUUCAUGUGCAUCUUAACACCUUUCGUGUUAUUCUUUCAUUCAUGGUCACUGGUUCGAGAUUUGAAUUUGAUCAUUAAAUCAUGUUCAAUGAUAUUAGAGAUCCCAACAAUUGAGUACAAACUUAAAUCCUAAUGCUAUGUGUCAUUGAGCAAUGUUGUGUCAUUUUUUGUUAACUGGGUGAUGAAUUUCUAGUUGAUAAAAUUACUUAAAAAUAUCUUUAAAAUCAGACAAUAGUUUGCUUAAUUUUUUGAAGCUAACUGCUCAAGAUGCUCUAUUAGAAAUGAUAACCUAAUUAUAUUCAUCAAAAAUGAUUUUUUUUUUUUUUUGCGGUGUUGAUAGUGAGAUUAUCAUUCAACAUGUUAAAAUAUGAAAACAUAUGGAGGAAGGUUGUAAAUUGAUUGAAUGAAAAUAUUUCAGUGAAGUCUAAAAAAUUUGGUACUUGUUAUCUUAUCGAAAGUUUUCUAAAUUACAUUCGUGGCACUGCCACUGCUUUUAUGUGCAGGUCAUUAAAAUUUGUGUUAGUUACCUAUAUGUUGAAUAACAAUUUUAUUCAUGAAUUGUUGCUCAAUAUAGCAAUUUGAUUGAAAGUGCGGCUGCACUAAUUUUCUAGAUGAAUUUUCCUACAUGUUUGUCCUCAUAUGACCUAGAAUGUUGUUAUAUCAAUUGUAUUGGAAAUUAUUAAAGUGGGUUAGUGUUGUACAUCCCCACCAAAAUUUAAGCAAUAUGUUAUAACUCCUUAUAGCUAUAUAAGAUACUUCAGGAAAUGCUUUGAUGAAUUGGAUUUGAAAGAGCAGAACAAGUUAAUCCAACAAGAAAGAAAUCACAAGAAUUAGACACAGAGCACAAUUCUAAGUACACAACUUGAUGAAGGAAAAAACUGCUCUUUUAUUGAUCUCAACAAUCGAAAUAUAGGUUGAUUACAAAGAAGGAAUUACAAGGAUCACAAAGAACCAAAUUGCAAGCAAAAUGAAGAAAAUAUCGAUAUGAUAUUAGAGGCUAGUCACAAGUGCCUUUUAUUAUGAUCUUUCUAGAAAACGUCAUAACGAACUCUCAACGAAUUCUGCCACAUCAGCAUAAGUUUUUCAACAAGACCCCUCCAAUUGAAGUCGAUCUGCACAUUGCCCUAAGAAUUCUCCAAAUUUUGCAUUUAAACCUAACAUACCAGCAACUUAUUUCCUCACACUUUCCACCUUGCAGACUCAAUUCAGUUGAUCAUUUCAAUUAUGUAGCGUAAAAAAACCUUCAAAACACACAGUUUCGGAACUAAAGCUACUGCCAACACCAAUUAAGUUUACACAGAACUUAAAUUUGGUUGUUCGUAGUGCUUUUGUUAACAUAUCAACAGGAUUGAUAUUUGUAUGUAUUUUAGUUACUACAACUGCCCUUUUGCAACCUUAUCCUUGAAAAAGUGCAACUUUACUUCAAUGUGUUUGGUUCUCUCAUGAUAAACCUAGUUUUUGAUGAGCUGAAUGGCACUCUGAUUGUCACAAAAAAUCUACAUUGUCCUUUGCUUCAACCAGAGCUCAUUUAGUAACCCUCUCAACCACAUUGAUUCUUUUACUGCCUCUGUUGCAGCAACAAAUUCUGCCUCAGUAGAUGACAAAGCUACUAUGUGCUGUAGAGUAGCUUUCCAUCCAACAUGAAUAGAUAUCCAGAGAUAGAUUUUCUUCUGUCCAAGUCACCUGCAAAAUCAGAGUCAAUAUAGCCUCUAACUUCACAGACCUCCUACUUGAAUUUUCCAUACAUAAGUCCAUGAUCUAAAGUGCCUUUCAAGUACCUCAUAACCUAUUUCAUAGCAUCCCAAUGAAGCUUACCAGGAUUACUCAUAAACCUGCUCACAACACUUACUGCAUAAGCUAUGUCUGUUCUGGUGCAAACCAUUGCAUACAUCAAGCUUCCUACAACUUGUGAAUAUGGUAUUUCAGCCAUUUGUAACUUCUCAGCAUCUGAUGUUGGAGACAUGUCAUCAGAGAGUCUAAAUUGAGCUCCUAAAGGUGUCAUUACUGGUUUUGAAUCCAUCAUCCCAAACCUUUCCAGCACCUUGCUGACAUAUCUUGAUUGGCUUAGAAAUAAGGUACCAACAGCUAUAUCUUUGAAAAUAUCUAUACCAAGGAUCCUCUUGGCACUGUCGAGAUCCUUUAUUUCAAAUUCCCCCUCAAGCAGAUUCUUAAGCUUUUUAAUAUAGAUCACUAAGAUUUUUACCAGCAAUAAGUAUGUCAUCAACAUACAAUAAAAGAUACAUAGCUCCACUUGAGUUUAUAAUCUCAUGAUAGAAACAACUAUCAUAUUUGCUCAUGUGAUAGCCAUUUGAGAUCAUAAACUGGUCAAAUCUCCUAUACCAUUGCCUAAGAGACUAUCUCAAGCCAUAUAGAGAUUUAUGUAGAAGGCACACAUAAUCCUCAUAUCCCUUUGCUUUAAAACCUUCAGGCUAUGACAUUAGUAUCUUUUCUUCAAGAUUACCAUGUAGGAAGGUAGUCUUCACAUCCAUUUGUUCAAGCUCUAGAUCAAAUAAAGCCACCAUAACAAGUAAGAUUCUGAUUGAGCUGUGCUUUAUAACUGGUGAGAAGAUUUUAUUGAAAUAAAUCCCCUCCUUUUGUGUGAACCCCCUUGCCACCAGUCUUCCCUUAUAUCUUGAGUUUUCAACACCUGGGAUGCCCUCCUUUUUCUUGAAUAUCCAUUUGCAACUGACAACUUUCCUAAUCCCUGGAUUAGGAACCAAGGUCCAAGUCUGAUUUCUUACUAGAGAAUCCAUUUAUUCCCUCAUGGCUUUAAUCAGUUACUGUUGUUCUUGCUAUCUAUUGCUUCUCUAUAGUUGUUAGGCUCUUCAAUUGCAACAUCUUCUGCACUCAUUAAUGCAUAUGCCACCAUGUCUGCAUAUGCAUAUCUUGCUGGGGGUCUGAUAUGUCUUUUUUUCUCUGUCCCUAGCUAAUUGAUAUUGUUACAAAUCAGUUGCUUGUGGUGCUUCAUUUUCUGUUACUACUGUAUCUUGAGAAUCAGGUUUAAUAACUUCUGGUUGUAUUUCAUCUUUAUAGGUAUUAGACAACUCCACCUCAAUCUUUUCACUUUGAUCAAUGGCCUCAAUGGCUUGUGUCUUAUUUGCACUAAUGUUAGUAUCAGAGGUGACUUGAUCAGGAUUAUUGAUCAUAGCAACUUUAUUAAACUGAACAUCUCUGCUAAUUAGACAUUUACUAGCCUCUCCACACCAGACCCUAUAGCCUUUAACCCCAUCUGGAUAACCAACAAACACUCUUUUUAUAGCUCUUGCUUCAAGCUUCCCUUGUCUAACAUGGAAAUAAGUAGGGCGCCUAAAUACAUUUACAUGUUCAUAACUUCCAAGCUUUCCAUACCAGAGCUCUUUAGGAGUUUUGAAGCCAAUUGCAGCAGAUGGACUUUUGUUUACAAGAUAACUUGCUGUAGAAACAACUUUUGCCCAAAAACUUCUAGGGAGCUUAGAGUUUAUCAACAAACACCUUCUUUUUUAUCAACAAUUGUUCUAUUCAUCCUCUCAGUCAAACCAUUUUGUUGAGGGGUGAAUCUCACUAUUUUAUGCCUCAUGAUUCCGUAUUCUUGGCAGUAUUGCUAAAAUUUUUUGUUAUAGAAUUCAAGUCCAUUGUCUGUUCUUAAACAUUUAACCUUGAAACCAGAUUGAGUCUCCACCAAAGUCUUCCAAAUAUUGAACUUUUCCAAGGCUUGGUCUUUGGUUUUCAGUAUGUAGAUCUAUACUUUCCUGGAAUAGUCAUCUAUAACUGACAUGAAAUAUCUUCCCCCACUCAAAGAUGGCACCUGGGCAGCCCCCAUAGAUGAACAUGCCCAUAGUCCAGAGGUUGUUUAGACAUAUGCAUGCCCUUUGGAAAUUUGGACCUGUGUGCUUUGCCAAAAAUAUAGUUUUCACAGAAGUCUAACUCAUUUAUUUUAUCACCACACAACAAUCCUUGCUUACUCAACUCUUACAUUCCCCUAAUACUCAUAUGGCCAAGUCUAAGAUGCUGUAAUAUGGUUCUAUUAAAAUAAAAAACAGCAGACAUUGCAGCUGAAACAGGCACUGAUGAUCCUUCUAACACAUAAAGGACAUUUUUCUUAACUCCUUUCAUUAUCAUUUGAGUCCCUUUCAUAAUCUUUAAACCACCAUUUUCAAAUUUGAAGCAAUAUCCCAUACUAUCCAGCAUGCCUAAAGAGAUCAAGUUCCUCUUUAGCCUAAGUGCAUGCCUCACAUCAUAUAGAGUUUUAACAGUCUCCUCAAACAUCUCUAUUUUGACAGACUCCAUACCAAUAACCUUACACACAUUGUUGUUACCCAUCAAUACUCUACCACCAUCCACAGAUUCAUAUGUAUGGAAAAGGCUUCUAUCAUGACACAAAUGAAAAGAACAACCUGAAUCAAGAACCCACAGACCUUUAAUAUUGUUGUUCGAAGCCACCAAAAAUUCAGCACUAUGAUACCCAUCAUCAGAGGAGUCAUCUGAGGCCACUGCUGCAUCCCUUGUUCUUUCUUUUUCAUCCUUCUUUUUCUCAUCACAAUCCCUGAUGUAGUGGCCUUGCUUUUUGCAGUAAAAACACUUUCUUUUCUUCAUUUUUUCCUUUGCAGAUGCAUCAUCCGUUUUGGCUUGAUUCUUGUUCUUGUUCUUCUUGUUUUUCUUAUCUGUUCUGGCAAUUAAACCUUCACCAUUACUUACUUCAUGCCCAUUACUCUUCUGAAUCUCCUUAGAGCUCAAAGAGGCUUUCACGUCCUCUGGGGUUAGAGUGGUUAUUCCAUACAGCACGGUGUCCACAAAACCUUCAUAGGUUUUAGGCAAUGAACUCAGUAAAAAGAAAACUUUAUCUUCAUCAGUAAUUUUCACAUUUUCAACCCCUUCAAGAUCAAGAAUGAUCUUGUUGAAGUUGUCAAUGUGUUGUUGAAUAGAUACCCCUUCUUUCAUAGAGAAGGUAUAUAAUCUUUUCUUCAAGAAAAGUCAAUGUACUAAGGAUUUCUUCACACACAGAGCCUCCACCUUGUUCCAGAUACCAAGGACUGUCUUCUCUUCAUAAAUUUCCCUUAGGAUUGAGUUAUUGAGACUCAAGAUCAAGCAAAAUGAACAAGAAAUGAAGAAGAUAUCGGUCUAAUAUCAGAGGCUAGUCACAAGUGCCUUUUUUUCUGAUAUUUUUGGAAAACAUCAUAACGAACUCUCAACGAAUUCUGCCACAUCAGCAUAAGUUUUUCAACAAGUCCCCUCCAUCUCAAGUCGAUCUGCUCACUGCCCCAAGAAUACUCCAAAUCUUGCAUUUAAAGCCAACAUACCAGCAACUUAUUUCCUCACACAAUCUACAGAACAUUUCUUGUGGAAAGAAACUUAUUUCGCUACUAGACUUUUAAUGAGGCCCUUUUCCCAGAAUCUGGAUAAGAGUUAGAUGCCUCCCGGAAUAUUGGUAGGAGUAUAUUUCUAAGUUAUUGCUCGGUAGAUCUCUGAUAUGACUGAAAACAUCAAUACAUGCAUGAUUUUAUAAUAAAGAAUACUCUAAAAUUAUUUGUAUAUCACCAUUUGCAGUUGUGCCCUCUCGAAUGAAGGAGCAAUCAGCAACUAAAAUGAAGCCCGAAAUGUACACGCAUGAGGCAAUUUUUCCAGAAGAUUGAUAUUUCUCUAACUCGCAAACCAUACAAACCCAAAGCUAGCCAAACCAUACCGGCAAGUUCGAGGCUUAAAUGGAGUACUUUUAAGCAUAAAACAUUGAUUAAAACAGAAUACACACACACAUACCAGCAAAUUCAAAAUAGAACAGAAAUACAACUGUUCAAGUUUGUAAACAAUAUUACAAUCAUUGCUUAUUUAUAGCAAAUCCUUGAAAUCUGCUAAAUGAAACAAUGCCUUGCCUCAUGAAUCAAAGUUGAAUUAAAAUUGAAAUUGAAAGUCCGGCUGGUGUUGUUUCCCUCUCUUGUUUUGCCUACAUAAGUAAAGGGAAAUGAGAAUAAAAAAUUAAAAUCUGCUUUUACAAUUCUUAUUAGAUAGAUAUAAAGGGGUCUUUCUUUGUUUCUCUGCUGCAAUGUGUGGCUAUCCCACUCUGUUUUGCCACUCAAGCUGAGUUUACGUUGAGUUAUAAUUUUGACAUCAGAAGGACCUCAAUUAGUUUGGCAUUUUUAUGACCUCCUUGUACGUUUUACGAUAAACAUAAAUCUACUGAGAAAGUGGGAAAAAAAGAAAAGGCAUAUAAAAGUAUUAGUUUGGCAUUAAAACUCACCUAAUUCAAUCCAUCAGAUGCAGUAAGGAUAAAAUUGGAUGUCAUACGGCCAUUCCAUUUCCUCGAAAGUCCUUAGUUUUUGUCUCAACUCUGUCUGAGGCCAAUGUAAAUCCAAUUUGCGCAAGCUCUUUAUGCACCACAGCUCUUCUGGAAGCUUCCUCAAGUAAGCACAUGGGUUGCAAUUAAGCUUUCAAGUUUUGGUAUUGCUCCUGUCCCCAUUGUCCACUCGUCUAGCCAAUACAUUGAUUUUAGCCUUUUAGGUGCAAAACCUUAAGUUUCGGAAAGCCACCAGAGCCAGCACAAUCCAGCCUUCUUCCUAAAUACGGGUGCUGCUUCAAUUUCAGCACUUGAAGGUGUGGAAGUUUCUCUAGCAUUGGCAUGGGAUCCUCCUUUAGCUCAAUAUUUGAUAAGCUCAGUUGGGUCAGACUUGGAGGAAAUUGGUAUUCGGACAGGACCAUUCGUGAGAGCUUGCUUUCAUUCACCAGCUUCAAGCAUUCCAGUUUGUGGAGUUCGCAUAGGCUUUUGGAAACCCCAGAAUGAUAGCAGCUCAAAUCUCCAGACACUCUUAAGAGUUUGAAGAUUAGGCAGUCUGCCCAAUAUAUCUGGAGUGCCACUACUAGGGUGUAAGGCUGAUAUGAAAAUGAGAUUUUUCGGAGAGCUGCAAUAAUUAUUGGGAGGUGCAGGCAGAGUGAUGGAACCGAAGUUCAGAUGCAUGAGCUUUUGCAUCAGAUUCCGUUUGGAUAUAACUGGAUGUCAUAACGCCACUCCAUAUCCUCAAAAGUCCGUAGCCUUUGUCUCAACUCUAUCUGGGGCCAGUGUAAGUCCAAUUUGUGCAAGCUUUUAUGCACGAUAGCUCUUCUGGAAGCUUCCUCAAGUAAGCACAUGGGUUGACAAUUAAGGUUUCAAGUUUUGGCAUUGCUCCAGCCCCCAUCGUCCACUCAUCUAGCCAAUACAUUGAUUUCAGGUGCAAAACCUUAAGUUCCGGAAAGCUACACGAGCCAACACAAGCCAGCUUUCUUCCUAAAUACGAGUUCUGCUUCAGUUUCAACACUUGAAGGUGUGGAAGCUUUUCCAGCAUUGGCAUGGGAUCCUCCAUUAGCUCAGUAUUUGAUAAGCUCAGAUGGCUCAGACUUAAAGGAAAUUGGUAUUCAGACAGGACAAUCCGUGAGAGCUUGCUCUCAUUCACCAGCUUCAAGCGUUCAAGUUUGUGGAGUUCGCAUAGGCUUUUGGAAACCCCAGGGUGAUAGCAACUCAAAUCUCCAGAUAUUCGAAGAGUUUGAACAUUAGGCAGUCUGCCCAAUAUAUCCGGAGUACAACUACUAGGGUGUAAGGCUGAUAUGAAAUUGAGAUUUUUCAGAGAGAUGCAAUAAUUUUUUGGAGGUGCAGGCAGAGUGAUGGAACCGAAGUUUAGAUGCAUGAGUUUUUGCAUCAUCCAAAUAUCCUCUGGUGACUGAUCUAUGUAGCUUGAUGGCAUUUCUAGUGUUUGAAGGUUUAAAAGGGUGCAUAGCAGUGAAGGAAGGCAUUUGAGCGAAGGGAUAUUCAAUUUCAAAUACUUCAAAUAGAAUAAAUUUUCUAAUCCAGGUGGAAAGUGGUCGAGAAUUGCAGAACCCAAGCCCAAUACCCGAAGGUGUUUGAACUUUUUACAAAAAUUGUCGCAAUCUAUCAGAGCGAGAUGAUCGCUUUCUGAACUGUGAUUCAGAAAAGAUUGGAGAUAGAUGUCAGAAUGUUCUAAAGAAAAGAACUCAAUCAGAUCUUUCAUAAUGUAGCACCAUUUAACAUUUACCGGUGGUUCCUCGUCCACGUCAAGGUUCCAGGACAAUCCCGUGUUCACUGCCACAGAUAACAAUGAAUAAUAUACAAAACUUGGAACAUAACACACUUUAAUCGUGCCUCCGGCUCUUCUCUUACUCACUUGAAUGAGGCCGCGAUGGAUUAGUUCUUUCAAGUAAUGUUCGGCCGUCUCCUCACUGUUGUAUGGUAUGAAACCUUCAGCUACCCACAACUGAUAUAAUUGCCUCGUCGAUAUGUCAAUACUUGGACGGAAGACACACAAAUAGAUGCAGCAGACUUUCAAGUGAAAAGGUAACUCCAUCACAGCAUAAAUUUGUCUCCAAAUUGUCGGAAUCGCUUCGCCUUGAACGUAAUUUUCUAAUGGCAUACUUCCAUAGUGUAGGAUGAAAAAUUGCCAGGAUUCAUGCUUUAAUCUGAUCAUCUGUCCUCCAAUGAGCACUGAAUUAGGCCGAAUCUUCUCUCCGUUUUCCAUUUCCAAAGACUCAAGGAGGUCUAGAUCAGUGACCGUUAUCAAUACUCUGCUUCCAUUCUGAUUGUCAGGAAGAACUUGUUCAAGAUCAUCCCAUAUGUCACUGUCGUCGAAGACAUCAUCAAGCACAAUAAAGUACUUCUAGUUUGUUAGGUAAUCACGAAGAAUGGUUUUCUUCAAUUUAUAAUCUUCACCGAUAAUUACACUAACCCGAGAUGGAGGCAUCACAGACUUGAUUAUGUCAUCCAAUAUCUUGCCAGAAUCGUAGGCUAUAGAAACCCUGACCCAAGCAAGACAGUCAAAAUAGAACUUGACAUGAUUGUUAUUGUAAGUAUCUGCAGCAAAAGCAGUCUUAUCGAAGCCCCUGCUGUCGAGAAUUGCAACCACUGAAAGCCUAGAUGGUCCCUCAAUCAAUAGAUCAAACAACUCCUCUCUGCCCCUUUCAAAUUCACUGAUAUCAAGCCGAGGUUGUCCCUCACUCAAUAGGCGAAUGAUUUUCUUACCUUGUUCACUGAUAUCAGAACCAUUGUCGCCGGGUGGAAGUUUUUGCAUUCGAUUUCUAAUAUCAAUGAUUUUACUGUGGAGUCCAACAAGAAGAGCCAUAUUUUUAGAAUUAAUAGGUUGUUUGGCAAGUGAGAAAGUGAAAGAAAAUUAACAAAGAAACUUUAACUGAAUUGAUUUAUUAUUGAUUAAAACUCAAGCUUAACACUGAAAACGUGUUAGCAAGUAUUUAUAGUUAUAUUAAGCUAAAAACUAAAACAGAGCUAAUCGUUUGCUGUAUUAACAAACUAAUCCAACUUCCAAUCAUAACAAGCCAGCUGGAUAAUCUGUUACAGCUUUAGCAACUGCCCAAUCCAGCUCAGCAUCUUCAGUUUAUACACAUCACUAGCCAGCCAGCUCAGCAGCUUCAUCUGCAGCUUAUACACGUCACCAGCUAAGCUAGUACAGCAGCUUCAGCUAUACUCUUAACACAUAUUAGUACUGCUUUCACUUUCGUUUUCACGGCUUUGCUGCUGCAUGAUGUUGAUGAAGAAUGCGUCAAUGGCUACCUCAGAUUCAUGGACAAAGUGAUUGAUGUCCUCCAGAAUUCCCAAAAUAUCUCCUCUUUUAACGUCUUCAUCGCUUUCUUCCAAGUCCAACAGUUGCAAAAAUGGCAAAGCUACUUCGAAUUCAUCGAAUUUUUGUCUGAUAAGUUGAAACAAAAGCCGAGCCACGUCAGCUUCAUAGUUCCUCAGGAGAGUAGUAGCAAUAAUUUCGGACUCCGUAAGAAGGUUUUGAAAAAGUGGAGUCACAUUUGUUGAAUCAGACAACGUUAACGCGCCUUCUUCAUCUGCUAACACCCUUUUCAACCUCUCACAAAAUAGUCGGAGAUGGACGUCCAGCAUAUCUUCUCCUUCUCACUGUAGCAGCCAGAGGUAUUGUUAUUUGCUCCAAGAAAUGUUAAAAGGAUUGGUUCUAUCUCAAAGUGGUUAGUGGUGUAAAAUUAAACACCAUGGAAGAAUUUGCAAGGAAGAUGCCAAGAAACUGGCGAAGCCGCUAAAUUCCACAAAUACGCGUGCCUUCUGAAAAGAACGGGUAUCCAACCUUCAUCUUGAUUUCUGCCAUGACAUAAUUGAUGGUGCUUGAAUCAAUUUUUUUUUUUUUUAAUUUAAAAAAUUUUGCUUAAAAAAAAAAAUCAAAAUGCCUUCAAAUUUUACAAAUUUCAGAAUCUGAAUGAUAAUUUUUUCAAAUUUGAAAGAUGUAAGUAUUUUUUUUUUCUGAUAAUUUAUUUCACUUUUGAGGAAAUCCGAAAACGCUAAAUACGUUCUUUACCUUAAUGAAAAAAAGUGAAAAUCAAGAACUAUUCAAUUUUGUUUUUAUUUGUAAUUCAAAAACUUUAUUUAUUUUCGAUGCUUUUCAAAAGAGAUUCCUCUGAUCCAUCUGGCAUCUGCAACCCAGUUUCUUGACAACGUUACAAAUCUCCACCCCACAUCUACACUAUGAAACAAGUUGAUGGAAAUCGAACAAUUGCUUUUUGAAGUGGACCCAUUGGUCAUCAUUGUCUAUUCUUCCUAUGAGCCAUUUAUUUUGACCAUUUGCGAUCUUAUCUGGACCACUCCAAUUAUUGUUGUAACUCCAAAGGUUGCAUCUACAGUUGAAUGUAAGAUAGUGAAAGCUCUUCUCUCAGAAAAUAGAGGGACCUUUCUCUGUUUCUCCGUUGCAACGUGCUAGUAUAAAUUUCUUUACCUUACAGUUUGUACGGUCUUGCUGUUAAUGAAUUCGCUGAGGCAUUAUUGAUCCAAUCUGAGUGAAGUAAUUGUGGGUGAAAAAUAAAUAAAGGAUAGGAGAAGGUGAAAAAUAAAGUGCUGAAGUGGCUAUUAAAGAAGAGUGUCACUUGAUCACAAUCACAUUGAUGCACAACUCACUCGUGACAAAUUUCGACUAUACGUACUGCAAAUUCAGCCAAACUGUAAUUAAAGCUACAAAAGGCAGUAUAUCCAAAAACUUAAGGGGAAGAUUUUAUUCAAGUGCAGCUGAAAUGAAAAAUAUUGACUAUUGAAUGGACCAAUGCUGAAUUACAUUUGAAAUGGGAAGCAUGACUGCAGUCACGAUGUUUCCCCCUCUGAUUUUCCUCCAAAACAAAUUCAGUUCUAAACAAUAACGGAAAUAGCAAUAAUUUAUUCAUCAAAGAAAAUCCCUAAAUUUUUUCAACUAACAAAUCCUCGUCUAAAAUAAAAAAACUUAUUUCUCUAAAAUCUAUCUGUAAAAUGUUGAAAAUGAGGGGUGAUCUGUUAACUCAGUAAAUAAACUCGUGCAUAAUGUUAACAAAUAAUGAUAAAUUACAUAAUAAUUAUUAUAAAGAAUCAUAAAUUAGAAAAAAUAAUCAUUUCCCAAUAAAUCUCAGAAUAAGUUAAGUUAUAAUGUAAUAAAUAUUUUCAAUAUUAUAAUGUUAUAAUCAGUUAAAGAUAGGAUUGGUCCUAUUUCAAAGUAGUUAGUGGUGUAAAAUUAAUUAAUUAAACACCAUGGAAGAAUUUGCAAGGAUAAGCUAAGAAACUGGCUAAGUGGCUAAAUUCCACAAAUACGAUAUUAUUCCUUAUUUUUUUUCUUUCUUUUUUUAAUUUAAAGAAAUUUUCAUUAAAAAAAUUUUUAAUAUCAAAAUGCCUUCAAUGGCAUUUUAUUUAAAAAGUUUAGAAUUUUUGGGUAUGGAAAGAGUAGUAUUAAACAUCAGAAAGCUAAGGUUGUUCUGUUAAAGAAUUGAUAUUGACAUAAUUUUAUUUUGGUUUUCAAGGAAAAAAAACAUAUUUGUUGACAAGCAAGAAUUUUUUUUUUGUAUUUUACAAUAUGUUAUUACAUAUUUUAUGAUAUAAGAGUAAUUUUAAUAAUAAAUAGAAACAUAAUAUUGCAAUGAAUAAAUUAAAGUUUAAAUUUUUUGAAUAUUAUAACAAAAUUUAAUAUUAUUAAUAGGCAGAUAUUUUGUUAAUUGUAAAAUCGUUUUACCCCAAAGGUUUUUUUUUUCAAAUUUUUAUAAUAAGCACAAGUAUAAAAUUAAAUAUCAUAAUUUAAAAAUUUUAAUACUAUUUUAAAGAGUAAAAAUAUUUUAAUGUUAUUAGUCUACUACAUAGAUUAUAUUACUUAUAUUAUAUUUUGUAUUGAUUAAAAAUUUUUAAAAUCAAUUUUCUAAUUACUAUAAUACUCAUGUAUUAUGGUUAAAAGAAAAUAUCUUAGUGUUACUUUUGAAAAUUUGAGGGCUUGCAUGAUAAUUUUGCCAAAUUUUAAGGAUGUAAGUGUACUUUUUUUCCGAUAAUUUAUUUCACUUUUGAGGAAAUCCAAUGAGAAUAUGGUAAGUGAACGUCAAUUACUAGUCAGUUUUUAUUUUUUCUAUGAGCCAUUUAUUUUGAGCAUUCGUGAUCUCAUCUGGACCAGUCCAAUUAUUGAUGUUACUCCAAUGGCUGCAUCCACAGGUGAAUAUAUGAUAGUGUUAGCUCUUAUUUGAGAAUUUAGAGGGAUCUUUCUUUAUUUUUCAGUUGCAAUGUGCUAGUAUAAAUUUCUUUACCUUACAGUUUAUAUAGUCUUGCUGUUAAAGAAUUCACAGAGGCAUUAUUGAUUCAAUUUCAGUGAAGCAAUUGUGGGUGAAAAAUAAAUAAAGGAUAAGAGAACAGAGCUGAAGUGCUGAAUUGGCUAUUAAAGAAGGGCGUCAGUGUUGGAGUAAACCAGUUUUUAAAAUUUUAUAAAAAACUUUUAGGAUCGCUCUCAUACAAUAUAUAAGAAUUUAUAAUCUAGAAUUGUACCUUGAAAAUUCAAUUUGCCUUUUUCCGUUGAAGUGAUUUAGGCUCCCAGAUCACGAUCCGUCACCACCACUCCUGUUAGAUCACGAUCCGUCACCACAACUCUUAUUAGAUCACGAUCCGUCACCAUAACUCUUGUUAGAUCACGAUCCGUCACCAUAACUCUUGUUAGAUCACGAUCCGCCACCAAAUAAUCUUCCAGGCUAUGACUCAAGUUUGAUUUGCACUUGACGUGUUGGCGCCUUUAUCACCACUAAAGCAACUAGUACGAGAAUAUUUUUCUCUCAACAAUAGAGAGAAAAAUCUUUUUCUCUGAUAUGUAUAAAGCGGCUACUCUAUUUCUUUUGGGAGAAAAUAAACCAUUUUAUAUUUCUAUCUAGUGGAAACCCUAGGCUCCAAUUUUUAUAUUAUUUAAUUCUAUUAAAUCAAGUUUGAUUUAAAUUAAAAUAAUAAACCAAAAGUAACAAUACUUCUUUUGUGUCAUAAGAUAAUUUAUUUAUGUCUUCUGCAAACUUAAUUUAUUUAAUCAUAAGAUAACUUGUAUUUAUGUCUUCUGUGAAUCCAUAUGAUGAUUACAUAAAUACAUAUAAUAUGAUUAAAUUGACCUUAUUCAAAAUAUUUAUGCAAUUGAAAAUAUCUCCAAUAUUUUAUUAAUCAGAAAAUAAAUUAAUAUACUUUAAAAGAACAUAUAAUCCCAACAAUCUCUCACUAGCUCUUAAAGCAUAUCUGGUAUAUUGCACAUGCUCUAGGGCUCUAAGUGAGGUUAUAAAGGUUUCCGACUAAUGGCCAUUGUAAUAAUAUAUGCCAUAUAGCAUCUAAUGCCAUUUGGGGUAUUGUCAUAUAACAUUUUUAUACUAUUUCCUUAUAAGAUGUUACUUCCUCUCAAUAUGUUUUGUUUCUUGUGGUUUCUUAGUUCCUUAGAUUUAGCUACCGCACUACUGUUGAUGUUAGAAAAUGUAUAUUUACAAAAGAGAAAAUCGUCAUUUUACAUUUCAAGCCUUACUAACACUCUUACUUUUAUGUAUUUAAGUUUCUUAUGAUUUAAUUACGUGUGUUUUAUUUUAAUUAAGUAUUUUAUAUAUUUUAGGGGCAUUAUGGUCAUUUCACAAUGAACGAGAGAUCAGAUGGCAAAACAGACAUCACUUUUGAACUCAAGACGGCCGAAAACCUUAGGAGGAGCAUAAAAGGAAAAAUGGCAUUGUUCACAUGUACGGUACUAUUCACAUGUAUAGUACUGUUUAUAUUACUGUUCACGACACUGUUCACAUAGACGGAUCGAUGAUGUGGCAUUGACUGAUGAGGUGUCACGAUCCUGUUGGACUAAAAUUCUUAUACACUAUUGAUUAGUGAUGUGAUAGCAUGUUAGUGGACCAAAAAUUGCGCGUACGGUACAUGCAUAUACACAGAAUUAUUUUCAACCAAACCACAUUACUGUUCAAGCCAGGUCAAACCGUGUCACUGUUCAAACCGCAUGGUCAAACCGCGUACUGUUGACUGAUGACGUGGCGCAAUCCUGAGCGUCCAAACUGUUUUUAAUCUAAUGGCCAUGAUUUACUGAAUGUAUCUAUAAAAAUGAGGCCUCCCCCCUAAUUUGGCAUCUCUAAAUCCAUUUUUUGGCUCUAUUUUCUGUAAUUCCUUCUCCAUCUUGUCUUUUCUACGUAUUUUAAUAAAUUUCCAUUUUGCCCCUAUUUCUAUUAUAAGUAGCUAAUUUUCUUUCAAGCUUGGGUUGAAUGUGAAGUCUCAACAUGUGUCAUGGGCUUUAUUUGGUAAAUUUAUUUUCUCUUCUCCUCUAGUUUUUGUGGAUGUUUUGACUUCUCGUAGACAAAUAAUAAUAAUCUUGUCUAGAUGCUGCCCUGGUUUCACCGGCUCCCUAGUACAAGAUUAUUAUUAUUUGGCACGAUAAGCCCUUAGCAGCAUAUUGAUUAGAGUGUGGUUCAUGAGGUGUGGAUUCCCCCUCAUGAUUUAAUUGGCAUUAAUAAGGAAUAUUUAGCCCAUGGUGCAUUUUGAUAUGGAUCCAGAUACCCAAGUACGUCAUUUCAAUAGAUUUCUCUUCAAUUUAUUCUCGCCAUUUCAAUUCAAAUUUUAGGAUAAUCUAAGUCACUUUCACCACAAAUCCAACCACCCAAUUCAAAAAUUAAUUCUACACACAAUUAAAAUCCACCUCCUCGUGGGAUCGACACUCGUUACCAUUAAUCUAUUCCACAAUAGAUUUGUACACUUGCGAGUUCAAUAAAAUUUUCACAACAACUACCAUAAUCACAAAAUAGUUUAAGGGAUGCAGUUACAACAGGUACCACCUCAAGAUUUUGUAGGAACUUGCGGAGCCAUAUAGCUUAUUUUGCAGCUUUAGAUGUAGGCACAUAUUCAGCUUCAGUUGUGGAGUCUGUGAUAUAAGACUUUCACACUCCUCGAACUAAUAGCUCCACUUCCUAAUGUAAACACAUUAUUGGAGGUUGAUUUUCUGGAAUCUUUAUCUUACAUAAAGUCAAAAUCAGUAUAACCCACUGGAAUAAGUUCAUCACCAGAAUACACAAGCAUACAAUUUUUAGUUCUUUUCAGAUACUUUAUAAUAUGCUUGACUGCAAUCCAGUGUUCAGGUUCAAGAUUAGAUUGAUAUCUGCUAACCAUCCCUACCGCAAAACAGAUGUCUGGUCUAGUGCAAAGCAUGGCAUACAUGAGACUUCCCACAACUUCUGCAUAGGGAACUCGUCUCAUUUUCUCUAUCUCUUCAAAUGUUUUAGGUGAUUGAUCCUCAGACAAUACAAUUCCAUGUCGAAUGGUAAUAAACCAGACUUGGAAUUUUCCAUGCUAAAUCUAGCCAAUAUCUUGUCGAUAUAGACCGCUUGAGACAAGGCUAAAGUUUUAUUCUUCCGGUCUCGUAGUAAUUUGAUACCAAGAAUAUAACUUGCCUCUCCCAGGUCUUUCAUAUCAAAGUUUUUUGCUAACCAACUCUUUAUUGUAGUAAAUACUCAUAUAUCGUUUCCAAUUAGGAGAAUAUCGUCUACAUAAAGAAUUAGGAAGGCUACAGAUUUUUCUUGAAUUUUCUUGUACACACAUGGUUCAUCAAUGUUCUGAAUGAAUCCAAACGAUUUAAUUGCUUGAUCAAAUUUGAUGUUCCAUGACCGGGAUGCUUGCUUCAAUCCAUAAAUGGAUCUCUGCAACUUACAUACCAUGUGUUCUUGGCCUUUUUGUAUGAUUCCAUCUGGUUGUUGCAUGUAGAUGUCUUCUUCAAGACGCCCAUUAAGAAAGGCAGUCUUGACAUCUAUUUGUCAAAUUUCAUAAUUUAGCGCUGCAGUAAUGGAGAGCGGAAUCCUGAUGGAUUUAAGCAUAGUAACCGAAGAAAAGGUUUCCUCAUAAUUGAUUCUCUCUUUCUGAGUAAACCCUUUGGCUACUAAUCUUGCUUUAAAUAUUUCCAUCCUUCCGUCUACUCCUCUUUUUCUCUUGUAGAUUCACUUGAACCUUAUAGGUUUUACCCCAUUUGGUGCCUCUAUAAGAAUACAUAGAUUUCAUUUCUUGAUUCAUGACCUCUUUCCAAAAUUCAACAUCUCUGUCUAUAAGAGCUUCAUUUAGCUCGUGGGAUCUUAUACAUGUUCAUCUGAGAUCGCCGUAUAGGUUUCUCCCAAUAACAUGUAUCUCGCUAGUGACCUAGUUACCCUCCCACUACGACGAGGUUUUAAAAGUGAUUGUUGUUCAGGGAUAAUCUGUGUUGAUCAGCUGGUUGUUGCUGUUCUUUCUGUUCAAUAACAGGUGUUAAAGCUCAGCAUUAACUUGAUCUCCUUUUUAUUUCUCUAGUUUUACCUUACUCUUAGGUAAUAAGUCAUUAUAUAGUCUUCCUCAAAGAAAGUAAAGAAUAUGUCUAUAAAUACAUUCCUAUCUUGAGGACUACAAUUCAGACUUUCCCUUAUUCCUUUAAGAUACUUAAAACAUGCAAGCUUCUGAACACGAAUCCAUCUUCUUUACCUCUAAUUCUAGUACAAAUACUAGUAAACUCUAAAUAUGAAUGUGUUUCAAAUUAUGUUUAUAACUUUUUCAUAAUUUCUUAGAGUAGUAAACACUGAGGUAGAUGAAACUAAGUUCGAUAAACUUUGCAGUUUUAAAUACUAGUAUCUGGAAUCAAAGAGGUAAAUGAUAAACCACUUAGUAUAUAUCUUGUCUUAUCCAAAAGAAUCUUGUUUCUCUAUUUAAUUACACUAUUGUAUCUUAGUGUUCUUUAUAUGUGGGAGUUUAUCCCAUUUGACAACCAAAUAGAGCUUGAAUUCUCCAUAGAGAUAUUCUUUGUUUCGAUCAUAUCGAAAUUCUUUUAUGUUCCUGUCUAAUUGCUUCUACUUUAUCCACGUACUCUUUUGAAUUUCAAAAGCAAUGGAAUCAUGACGCAUUUAGACAAACAUAAAUGAAAUGAAUAUUCAUCAACAAGAUUGAUAGAAUACUCAUAACCUCUUAUAAUAUUAUGCUUUUAGCUCAAAAAGAGCAUCCUCGUCAUAUUACUUUUCUAAAUAAGAUUUAUAGAGUUACAACGAUCAAUCUUAAUAGGCCAACAAGUCUAUCAUUAAUCAUUUUUUUAAAAUCUUAUUAUAGUUUAUAUGACUUAAGCAUAAAUAUCAUGGUGAUUUUGGUUAGAACAAACAUUUCUUUUCUUAGAUAAUGCAUAUAGUCUUGAUCCUUAUAUGUUGCUUUGAAUAGAUCAAUGGACUUAUAUGAUAUAAAUUGUCUUUAUAAAUAACCAAAAUAAGUAAUAAACAGAGGAUCCAAAAAUAACAGUGUACUCUUGUUUAUUAAAACAAGCUACCGAAAUUAAAUUCCUCUAAUAUUUAGAAAAAUAAAGACAAAUAUCAAAACUAAAGUCUUGUAAAAUUAAUCCAGCAUUUCAAUUGAUAUAAACUAGCAUGUCCACAACUACUAUUUGAAGCUUUCUUCACUUAAUCUCUUGGUUUCCUGAAAGCCAAAUAAAUGAAUUACAAAUAAGAUUAGUUAUCUCAGAAUUCACUAUUGCAUGAAUCAAUAGAUAUCUGAACUAACUAGGAAGCUUAAAGAUUUCCUAUACCUGAUUUUAAUAAUUUUAGGACAAUAUUUUUUCCAGUGACCCUUUUGUCCACAUUUGUAACACUUGCCUUUUGGCUUGCCACUUCUCUUAGUGGAUAGUUUGUCGAUCCCCACUCUUUCUUGCUCAUUCUUGUCUUUCGACUUAAGCCUUGAAGAGAAUCAUUUUUCAGAAAGUUUUCUGCUAUGAUAAAAUUCUUCUAUAGCAUGCAGUUCGUGCAUUAAUUCAAUUAAGGUCAUAUCUUUAUUGUUUAAGAUAUAGCUGACCUUAAACUCUUUGAAUGUUUCAGGCAAAUAUUCAAUCACUAUGUUAAUAUUUGUUUUAUCAUUGAUUUGAACACCAUGAAUCUCUACUUCAUUCAAAUAGUCCAUCAUUUUGAGGAUAUGAUCACGAACUCUUGUACUCUCUUCCAUCUUAGUAUCCGUAAUAUGUUUUAAUGCUGCUUCUCUGGCAAAAUGGGUAUUUUUUCCAAACAUCUAAUAAGGACUAGCCAUUAUUUCAGUGGCUGUUUCCAUGCUCCAAUGUUUCUUAUGCAGUUCCACAGAAAUCGAAUCCAAUAUAUAGCGCUUAGCCAUUUUGUUAGUUCGUACCAUUUCUCAUAAGGCUCCCUCUGAUUUCUAUAAUCGUAUAACAUUGGUUCUAAAGGGCAUGGUUGGGUCAACACAUAUUUGCAGCCUUUAGCAAUGAGAAUAUUAAAUAGCUUAUGUUUCCAAUCUAAAUAAUUUUCGCUAGUGAGUUCAAUUUUAACAAGGAUAAUUAACAAUGGGUUCAUGGAAGCCAUAUUUUGAAAAACAAAAAAACAAAAUAGACAUGCAUAAAUACUUUGAAACAAUAUUUGCAAUAAAUGAUAAAAGUACAAAAAACCAUAAAUACAUUUUAAUUUAUUGUAACGAUAAUCUAGUACCGCUUUGACAAGCUAUCCGUUGGGGAAGUCAUGUCUACACUUACUAGACCCAAAUAUCCAUUGGAUUAUUUACUUUCAUAUAUAGACAUGAUGAAUAAUUAUUGUUAUCCCUUUGGGCUUAAAUUUGUUAACAAAGCUUCGUCGGGAAGGUUAAUAACAAAUUUUAGUUGAGUGUAUAAUCAUUAUUUCAAUCUAUGUAUUUUUCAUAUCAAUAGUCACCGUUGGGAUGAACAAUUGAUUGAAAAGUAUUUCAAUUUUAUAUUUGAAGAAUUUCAACAAAUAAAAUAUCUAAUAAUUAUACCCUCCGUAACGAGCAUCACUGUAUCAUGAAGUCAAGGUAUAUAUAUAAUUUUAUUAUUAAACUAACAAUGGAGCCCAUGGGAAAAAAGUUAUCUUGAAUUUUCCCUCACCCACUCAAUAUUUUAAAAUUUAUUUUUCCUUUUUAAAAUAUACAUAUUGUUAAUUGCAUGCUUCCUAUAAUAUUAUCUAGAUGAUAUCCAAUAUUAUUUAGCAUACGCAAAUUACAAGCAAUAUAACGAGAUUCAUAAUAUUUGAAUGACAUGUAUCAUUAUGCAUAGAGCGAUACUACCUAUUCUAUACGACAUGUUAUCAUCCAAAACAUAACAUAUAGAAAAAUAAUUAAAUAAUCGUAAUUCAUGGCUUUCCUAAAAUAAAAAAAAUACAUUAACCCUAAGCCUAAUCUUCAUUGGGCUUCUUGUCAAUGUCCAUCUUUUCAUGGGCUUGUCUUUGUUAAUGGACUUGGGGAAAUUGAGCUUUUAAAUUUAUUAUUGGUCCAAUUUUAAUUUUGAAAGGAAAUAAAUAAUUUUUUAAUAAUAAUUUUUUUAAUAAAAUUUUUUGACAAAAAUAAGUUUAAUGUGUUCAAUUUUAUCUAUGCAUUUUAAUCUAUUAAGCCCAAAUUUCAAUUGGGCCUAAAAUAUAGGAUUCAUUUAGUCCAAUUAUUUUUUAACUUAAAUGCAAAAAAUUGAACCUUUUCUGCCCAAAGAAAAAAUUAUGGAACCAUAGGGACCUCAAUUAUAAAAACCAUUGAAACGCUAAAUCCAUCUUUUUCUCUUCCUUUUUUUUUUCUAGCCACCAUCAACAAAAAGCUAACCGCUGGUCACAAUUUCCAGCCAUCUCCGACGCCGAGUUUGCUGCCGCCGUCACGUCGGAAACGCACCAAACGAUGCCUCCCUCGCGCUGCAGCAAACGGCGCUGGCUAGCGCUACACUAGAAUGAGUAGCGCGAGCGCUGCAGCUUCUGGUCAUGCAUGCUGCUGCUGGUGGCCGCGUUGCUUGCAGCGCACGCAGCUGGGCACGCGGGCUACGCCCACUGCUUGCUUCGUCUGUAGCAUGCGAUGGUUGCAUUGCAGAAAAUUCCAGUAAGUUUCUAGAAAGUUUUCGCAAGUUUCCGGCAGUUGUACGUGUGUUUCCAGCAGUCUUUUCGCAAGUUUCCAGUAAUUUACAAAUUUCCUACGGCUUACAAAACUAAAUCAAGAGAGAAAUAUGGUGAAAAUAAACCACUCCUCUUGUUACAGAUCCAAAGGACAAAUACAGCAGAGAAUCUAACCAUUAAUUAAGACUAACCAUAUUAUGCUUUAUUCAUAUAUUAAACAAAUAAUAUAUAUCUGAAUAAAUUGUGCCACUCUAAUACAUAAAUUUCAGGAUUGAUUUUAUACAAUAUUCUUAUAUAUUAAUAUGCGAUGGAUCUGGUACCAAUUGUUAGACAAAAAUCAGUUUUUAAAAUUUUAUAAAAAACUUUUAAGAUCGCUCUCAUACAAUAUAUAAGAAUUUGUAAUCUAGAAAUGGUACCUUGAAAAUCCGAUUUAGCUUUUUCCGCUGAAGUGAUUUAGGCUCCCAGAUCACGAUCCGUCACUACCACUCCUGUUAGAUCACAAUCUGCCACCAAAUAAUCUUUCAGACUAUGACUCAAGUUUGAUCUGCACUUAACAUGUGGGCGCCUUUAUCACUACUAAAGGAACUAGCGCGAGAAAAAUUUUCUCUCAACAAUAGAGAGAAAAAUCUUUUUCUCUAAUCUGUAUAAAGCGGCUGCUCUAUUUCUUUUGGGAGAAAAUAAACCCUUUUAUAUUUCUAUCUAGUGGAAACCCUAGGCUCCAUUUUUUAUAUUUUUUAAUUCUAUUAAAUCAAGUUUGAUUUAAAUUAAAAAUAUUAAACCAAAAGUAACGUUACUUCUUUCUUGUCAUAGGGACCCACCUUGUAAAAUAACACAAGGCCCCUUAGACACAAGUACAUUACAUGGAGCCUCCCACUAAAUGAUAUAUUUAGGCUUUUAACCCAAAUAGCUAGUUAUCUUGCUUAUUAAUUCAGUAGUGGUGCAGUCAAUUAAAUGAGCUAACCCGGGGUUCAUUUGAGAACGUAAAAUAAGAGCUACAAUAAUUAGGCAUGUAAUUAAACUAGCCCAAUUAUUUAAUUUCAAAUCUACUCCACUAAAAGAUUGGAACUGACCUCCAUAAUUGUAUGUUCGAAUAAUAAUUUGUCCUAAGCCACAUCGAUUUCUUUACUGCAUAAUCCUUUGUACCACAUCGUUAAUUAAAUCGAUAUCUCAAUUGUCCAAUCGAUUUAAUUACAUCUUAUUCCUUGAAACUUACUGGUUUUCUCUAAUGAUCAUUUUCAACAUACUAAAUAUGUUGACACACUCUGGCCAGAGAAUUCUAUGAUCAAGUGCCGAAAACCCAUCAAGAGAUGUGUUGUACAAAUUCUAUAUUGUUAAUCUAUAACUCCAAUACUCAUAAUUGCUCCCACCAAGAUACCGGGUAAUCUUGACCACAAUUGUGUGUCGUGCCCAUUGGUAACCCAAAUGGAAUAAUAAUUACAAUCAUGAAAUUAUAACUAACUCAAGAGUAAGAUUACAGUAAAAUCAAUGCCUAUGAGAUUUAAUAGGUCUGACAGUCAUUUCGAGGUUAAUUAAAUCUCAUAUGUGAUCCAGCUCAAUGUAGUCAAACUACAUCAGUAAAUUCAUACAUGAUUAAGACAAAUUAUUCAAUGAAUUUACUACAGUCUAAACAUAAAUAGAGCGCACAACUCUAUUUAUCAACUGCGAACUUAAUUUAUUUAAUCAUAAGAUAACUUGUAUUUAUGUUUUCUGUGAAUCCAUAUGAUGAUCACAUAAAUACAUAUAAUAUGAUUAAACGGACCUUAUUCAACAUAUUUAUGCAAUUGAAAAUAUCUCCAAUAUUUUAUUAAUCAAAAAGUAAAUUAAUAUUCUUUAAAAGAGCAGAUAAUCCCAACAGUCAGAUAAUCACAAUCACAUUGAUGCACAACUUUCUGGAGGCAAAUUUUGUCUAUAUGUACUCUAAAUUCAUCUAAACCAUACAUGCAUGAACGAAAUUAAACCGUAGUUCUCAUCACAACGGUAAUUGAAGCUACAAAAGCCAGCAAAUCCGAACAAAAACUUGAAAGGAAGAUCUUAUUUAAGUUUGUCCCCAAAAGACGUGUGAAAUGAAAAAUAUUGACUAUUGAAUGGGUCAAUGCUGAAUUACAUUUGAAAUGGAAAGCUUGGCUGCAGUUACGAUGUUUCCCCCCCUGACUUUCCUCCAAAACAAAUUCAGUAGUAAACAAUGACUGAAGUAUCAAUAAUUUAUUCAUCAAAGAAAAUACCCAAGAUUUCAACUGACAAAUCCUCUUGUCUAAUCUAAAAAAACUCAUAUCUUUCAAAUUUAUCUGCAAAAUGUUAGAAAUGUGGAGUGAUCUGUCAACUCGGUAAAUAAAUUCAUGCAUAAUGUUAACAAUAAUGAUAAAUUACAUAAUAAUUAUUAUGAUGUAUCAUAAAUUGAAAAUGCUAAUCAUUCUACAAUCUAUUAUAUAAGUAAGAUAAAUCUCAUAAUAAGUUAAGCUAUAAUGUAAUAAAUAUUUUCAAUAUAUAAUUAUUUAAUAAGUCAUUUAACAAUAAAAUAUUUUUUUAAAAUUUUUUAUUUUAUUUUUUCAGUUGAUCAUGUUAUAUAGCGCUAUCUAAACCCUUGACGACAUUAUUAUUACUCACUUUUCUCAAGAAAACAUGAUUAGCGUUUAAAGAAAAGUCAUGCCUUUUAUAAAGAAUAUGCAUACACGCUAUCCAUACUUUAUCUGGCCAUGACAAAAUUGAUGGUGAUUAAAUCAAUUUUUAAAAUAGAUUUAAUUUAUAAAUAUGAUGACUUUUGGCAGAAAUUAGUUUCGGAAGAUAUAGUGGUAGAAAAUAGUGAUGAUUAUUGUUUAAAUGUGUAAAUAGUUUAAGCAUAGCCCGUAAUACCAAUAUUCAUUUGCACCUUCAUUUGGAUUAUCAUAUUUUAUGAUGUUCUUUCAUUCAUAACCAUUGUUCAAAAUUUGGAUUUGAUCAUAAAACAAAGCUAAAAAAUAUUAGAGAUACUAACAAUUGAGUCCCAUUUUAAGUCCCAAUACAAUGUGUCAUUUCCCAAUGCUGUAUCAUUUUAGGUGAUGAAUUUCAGAAUUAAUAAUUAGUUCAGACUUAAAUUAAGAUUUAGUUAUUAAGAUAUCUAGCAUCACUCAAUCACAAUAAACAAUAACCAAUUCAAAUUGGAACGGAAUAUUGUAUUUUCUUUUAAUUAAUUAUGAUGCAUAAGCAAGUAUUUGUGCUUGGGUUUUUUACUUCUUGAUUUUGUUUGGAAAAAUUUAUGAGACAAAGAAGUGUUUUGGAUAAUUUUUUCGGGAUUGAAAAUUUGAAACCACAACUUGGUAGAAGAAAUUAGUUGUGAACAAUUUUUUCUUAUAUUGUAGGACCUUCUAGUUGGAGUAGUGAUGGCUUUGUCUUCAUUUUUGGUUCCAUUUGUGUCGGCAGCCCCUUACUAUUCUCUUGACCCUGAGUUUGAGAUGAAAAUUUAUCAACCUCCAACCCCACAUCCAAAAACAAGUUGAUUGAAACAAUUGCUCUUUAAAUUAAGCGGACCCAAAUGAGUUAGGUUUCAGUUCUUAUCAUUUGUCUAUUAUUUCUUUGAAACAUGUAUUUUGAGCAUUACUGAUCUUAAUUAUCUGUAUUUCUCCAAUUAUUGAAGAAUUUCAUGUGGCCACUUUUUCUCCUUUUAAAAUAUGUUUAUUUUUUGGAGUGAUCAAACGGGUGUAGAAUCAAGUAAUCGCUGGUCUGUAGUUUAGCCAAUGAUGGCUCAUCCACACAGUUGAAUAUAUGAUACAAUUAGCUCUUAUUUGAGAAUAUAAAGGGAUCUUUCUUAUUUGAGAAUAUAAAUUGCCUAGAAACGUUCAACUAUGUUACCCAGCUCCAUGCACAUACAUUAACUUGAUGUUGUCAUAUUCGACAUUUCAAUUAUGCAAGCAAUCUUCAGUGAACAUUACGUCUUUAUUGAAUAAUCUAAAUGGAUAGUAAAUCUAGAGUUUGUGAGUUUUAAUCUAAAUCAAAUCUAUUAUGACUCAAUGUAUCUUCCUGUAUUCGUACUAGUAAUGCAGGGGAUUAUUUACUCUUACUCAUAUUAGUGACUGAGAUGUUCACCUCCAUCCAAUUAGAGAAACAGUGACUGGAUUCCUAUAAGGGGACUCUUAACCAUAUUGUGAGACUACCAGUUCACCACUCAGACCAAAAAUCUUUGUAAUUAAAUCCAAAGGUGAAGAUCUAUGCUUAUUAUCUAUUUAACGGCUAAUAUAUAAUUAUUUAUUUAUUUAAAUAUCAAGAGCUAUGCUUGUAAAUAAGUUCAAAUGUGAUGAGCGCAGCCUCACAUCUGUAUAUUACUCAUCAACUCUAACCUUUUUUAACUUUAUAUACUUUUUUUUAAUGUUACUUACGCUUUUUUUUUUUUUGGCUUUUUCGUCUCUGAAAAAAAAAAAGGUAGGGGUUUAGACUUGAAAAUAUCUUAAAAAUCAAACAAUAAUUUACCCAAUUUUUUGAAGCGAACUGCCAAACAUGUUCUAUUAGACAGUGAUAAAGUAGUUAUAUACAUUAAAAACGAUAUUUUUUACAGAACGAGAUUAUCAUUCAACAUUUUAAAAUAUGAAAACAUGUGGAAGAUGUUGUAAAUUGAUUGAAUGAAAAUAUCCCAAUGAAGUUUAGAAAAUUUGGUACUUGUUAUCUUAUCGAAAGUUUUCUAAAUUAUAUGACUGUUUAAACUUAGCCCCUCCUGGUACUGCCACUGCUUCUACGUGAAAGUCAUAUAAGUUUGUGUUAGCUGCCUAUAGAUUGAAUAACAAUUUUACUCAGGAAUUGUAGUCCAUUAUAGCAAUUUGAUUGAAAGUGCGGCUGCACUAAUUUUCUGGAUGAACUUCCCUACAUGUUUGUUCUCAUAUGACCCAGAAUACUACUAUAACAAUUGUGUUGGAAAUUAUUCAACUGGGUUACUACUCUACAUCCCCACCAAAAUUUAAACAGUCGACAUUGUGGAAAGAAACUCAUUUCGCCACUAGGCUUUUAGUGAGGCUAAUUUCUCUGAAUUUGGACAGAGUAGAUUUCUAAGCUAAUGCUUGGCAGAUCUCUGGGCGAUACUACAAAUUGCAUGUACAAUGAGUCUUAAUAAAUAUAAACGAUUCUCUGAUAUGAUUCAAAACAUCACUACAUGCAUAAGUUAAUAAGAAACAAUAUCAUAAGAUUAUUUAUGUAUCACAAUUUGUAGUUGUACCCUCUGUAAUGAAAUUAAAGGUGCAAUCAGCAAGUGAAAUGAAGCGAGAAAUGUCCACGCAUGAGGCAGUUUUUCUAGAAGAUUGAUACCUCUUUAACGAGCAAAGCAUACCAAUCCAAAGCUAGCCAAACCACAACUGCUGGUCCAGGGCUUAAAUGGAGUACUUCUACGCAUUAAAUAGUAACUAAAACACAAACUAUAUAAAUAUAUACACACACCUACCAGAAAAUUCAAAAAAUAGAGAAAGGAGUACAACUAUUCCAGUUUGUAGACAAUAUUGCAAUCAUGGCAUCAGUUGUAGCAAAUCCUUGAAAUCUACUAAACAAAACAAUGCUCUGCCUCAUGAAUCAAUGUUGAAUUACAGUUGAAAUUAAAAGUCUAGAAGGUGUUGUUUCCCUCUUCGAUUUUGCCUACACAAGUAAAGGGAAAUAAGAAUCAUAAAUGAAAAUCAGCAUUUACAGUCAAAAGAGUUUUUUCAAAUUGGUUGAAAAAGAAAAGUGAGCCACAUGCAUUGCUUUUGUUUUUCAAAGUUGGCACCAAAAUUGCAAGUUGUAGAAUAUAUGACUUUUGACAAUCCUGCACCAAAUGAAGAAAAAUGAAAAAGGUUAGCAAAAUUUGUCAAAUUGACAGAUAGGAGAAUUGACAAAUUGCAAAGCGGAUGGUGCAAUAGUGCAACGUUUUUUGCUAUAAAUAGAGAUGCAUUCUUCAUUUGUAAAUCAUCCAAAAAAUGUUAAGCUUAUAAGUUUCUAAGCUUUUAAUAGAAGUGUGUCUGGAGAAUUUAUCUUUCUUGCAGAGUGUGAGAGUACUGGGUAUAUUUAGGUUUCUGGGAAAUGAGAUUCGUUACUCAAAUAUUUAUACUAUAUUAAUUGUUAAAUAAACAAUUAUUCUUUCUUGCCUCCGUGGAUGUAGGUUAAAUAAUUGACAAAUAUUUGUACUAUAUUAAUUGUUAAUUACCGAACCACGUUAAAUAAUUGUGUCAUUUUAUAAUUAUUUGGUGCACUUGAUUCUGCAUUCCGCGCACAACAUACAGUUCUAAUUAUUAGAUAGAUGUAGAAUGUUCUUUCUUUGUUUCUCUGCUGCAAUGUGCAAUCCCACUCUGUUUGGCUACUCAAAUCGAGUCUAUGUUGAGACAUAAUUUUGACAUUAGAAGCAACCGCAACUAGUUUGGCAUUUGUACGACCCUUUGAAGGUUUUCAAAUUAGGCAACUAAAGUAUGAGUCAUCAGAUAUGAUUAAAACUCACCCAAUUCAAUCCAUCAGAUUCCGUAAGGAUAUAAUUGGAUGUCAUAAGGCCACCCCAUAUCCUCAAAAGUCCGUAGCCGUUGUCUCAACUCUGUCUGAGGCCAAUGUAAGUCCAAUUUGCACAAGCUCUUUAUGCACCAUAGCUCCUCUGGAAGUUUUCUCAAGUAAGCACAUGGGUUGACAGUUAAGCUUUCAAGUUUUGGCAUUGCUCCAGCCCCCAUCGUCCACUCAUCUAGUUAUUACGGACUAUUGAAUUUUGAGCCUCUCUAAUUUAUUUCUACUGCAUAGCGUUUCAAUAAGAAAAAUAAACAUAGGCUUCUUAUUACAGACCAACUCUGCCAACAUUCGAACUGUCCGUGGUUGGCCCAACCCAUGGCAGUUCCAGCUUAAGGUACUCAUUGCUCUCGGUGGGCCUGGAAUACAGGUCCCACCGCUAGCCCCUUUUUUGGAUUCACCACCAUAUAACUCACAUCCACCUCUGCACUCCAGCCCCAUAUCAGCCCUUCUUCUUUUAGCUUCCUUUAACACUAGCUCUUUCUCCCCAGACCUUUCAACUGCUUGAGUAAGGUCCAGCCCAUUUUCAAAUGAACCACUUCUUUGCCCUUAUCAAUCCGUUGACUGCUAGUGGCCUGAACAACUGGCAAUGCUUGUAAACUCAUUAUAUUUUCCAUAGAAUCCCGCCCAUCACUCCCUAUAUUGUUGGAAAAUUUCGUAUUAUUGGAAAUUCCUGAUUUGGAGGCAUUCAUCUCAUUAACCACGGUACCACUUGAGGAAUCAGUAAAAUUUCCAGAAUUAGCCACACUUGCUUCUGGCAGUUCCGAGCGUAGCCACCUUUCACUGGAGGACAUGGCAUUCCGACGAGUUGGAGCCUUCAUCUCUGGCCCAUAUGACCUUGUAAUAUCAGCAGCAUCGCAAUCAUACAACUUCGGACAAAGUUUUUCUGAAUGCCCAAGGAGUCCACAGAUGAAACAAAAAGUAUUUAACCGUUCAUAUUUGAAUUCAACCCAGAACCAAUCUCCUCCCUCCUUCUUUAGUCGCAAUCUUCGCUUCAGAGGUUUCCUGACAUCAAUGGAUACCCUUAUGCGCAUAUAGUUUCUCCACACUCCCAUGAGAUUAUUAGGAUCUGAAGAUUGAAACUCACCAAUAUAGUUACCAAUAUUUAUCAACACUUUCUCCGAAAGAAACCCAAUGGGUAAAUUGUACACUUGAAUCCAGAACGAAGUGUGGAAUAAAGGAACCCUAUGCGGCUGUUCAUUCUCCCCCAACCUCUUUAAAAUUAGAAUAUGUUGGUCGAAGGUCCAUGGUCCCGAAUCAAUAACACGCUUGAGGUCAACUUCAUGGAAGAAUUGGAACAAGAAAAGAGAAGGUGAUAAAUCUUUGAUGCACACUCCCUUCCCUGGACGCCAUAAUGCCGCCAUAGUAUUCUUCAUUGCCGGAAAGUUUAUCACCUUAUCAGUUAAAAACCGCCCCACCAAGUAGAAUCUAAAAUCAGUCAACCCUGCAUUUCCAGUGGCAAUAUCCUCGCUGUGGAAGACAAGACCAUCCUCAUCUUCCUCCCCAAUAGAAAACUUAUCAUAUGCGACAUUCAUCUCAUGCUCCCCUGAAUCUCUAUUGGUCGUCAUAGUACUCGUAAUAAGCAAGAAGUAUACCUAUCUAGCCGGAAGUACCCUAGAGCAAACUUGUCAGAAGGACAAGACAAACAAAGCUUGCCGGAAGUACCCUAGAACCUAGUUGUUUGCAUUAAAAAUGAUAUUUUUUGUGGUGUUUAUAAUGAGGUUAAUUAUAAUUCAACAAUUUAAAAUAUGAAAACAUAUGGAAGAUGGCCGUAUUUAAAUUGAUUGUAUGAAAGUAUUUCAAUGAAAUUCUAAAAAUUUGGUUCUUGUUAUCUUAUCGAAAGUUUUUUAAAUUAUAUUACUACUUGAACUUAACUCCUGCAUUGACUGCUUCUACUUAAAAGCCAUUCAAGUUUGUGUAAGCUACCUAUAGUUUGAACAACAAUUUACUCAUGAAUUGUUGUUCAUGACAGCAAUUUGAUUGAAAGUGGGGCUGCACUAAUUUUCUAGAUGAUUUUUUUCCUACAUGCUUGUUCUCAUAUGAUCCAAAAUCCUGCUACAUCAGUUGUAUUAGAAAUUACUCAUGUGGGCUACAAUUCUGCAUCCCCACCAAUAUUUAAGCAAUCUACAGAAACAUUUCUUGAGGAAAGAAACUCAUAUCGGCACUAGGCUUUCAACGAGGCUAAUUUUUAUGAAUCUGGAUAGCAUAAGAUAUCUCUCCGAUACACGUACUACAAAGUGUAUGUACGUUGACUCUCAAUAAAUACAAACGAUUCUCUGAUAUGAUUAAAAACAUCAGUGCAUGCAUCAUUUUAAUGAGAAAGAAUAUUCUAAGAACGAAAUUGAACGUGCAAUCAGCAACUAAAAUGAAGCCAGAAACAGAAAUGUACACGCAUGAGGAAGUUUUCUUAGAAGAUUGACAUUUCUUUGACUAGCAAACCAUACAAGUCCAAAGCUAGCCAAAACAUACCUGCAAGUCCGGGGCUUAAAUGGAGUACUUCUAAGCAUAACACAUUAAUCAAAACACGAUACACACACACACACAUACAUACCAGCAAAUUCAAAAUAGAAAAAGGAGUGCAACUGUUCAAGUUUGUAGAAAACAUUGCAACCAUGGCAUAUAUUAUAGCAAAUCCUUGAAAUCUGCUAAAUAAAACAAUGCCCUGUCUCAUGAAUCAAAGCCGAAUUAAAAUUUAAAUUGAAAGUCCGGCUGGUGUUGUUUCCUUCUCCAGUUUUGCCCACAUAAGUGAAGGGAAAUGAGAAUCAUAAACUAAAAUGUUCUUUUACAGUUCUUAUUAGAUAGAUAUAAAGGGAUCUUUCUUUGUUUCUCUGCUGCAAUUUGUGGCUAUCCCACUCUGUUUUGCCACUCAAGCUUAGUCUACGUUGAGACAUAAUUUUGACAUCAGAAGCAACCUCAAUUAGUUUGGCAUUUUUAUGACCUCCUUGUACGUUUUACGAUAAACAUAAAUCUACUGAGAAAGUGGGAAAAAAAAGAAAAUGCAUAUAAAAGUAUGAGUUAUCAGAUAUGAUUAAAACUCACCCAAUUCAAUCCAUCAGAUUCCGUAAGGAUAUAACUGGAUGUCAUACCGCCACUCCAUAUCCUCGAAAGUCCAUAGUCUUUGUCUGAACACUGUCUGAGGCCAAUGUAAAUCCAAUUUGCGCAAGCUCUUUAUGCACCACAGCUCUUCUAGAAGCUUUCUCAAGUAAGCACAUGGGUUGACAGUUAAGCUUUCAAGUUUUGGCAUUGCUCCAGCCCCCAUCGUCCACUCAUCUAGCCAAUACAUUGAUUUCAGGUGCAAAACCUUAAGCUCCGGAAAGCCACCAGAGCCAACACAGGACAGCUUUCUUCCUAAAUACGAGUUCUGCUUCAGUUUAAGUACUUGAAGGCAUGGAAGCUUUUCUAGCGUUGGCAUGGGAUCCUCCUUUAGCUCAGUAUUUGAUAAGCUCAGAUGGGUCAGACUUGGAGGAAACUGGUAUUCAGACAGGACCAUUCGUGAGGGCUUCCUUUCAUUCACCAGUUUCAAGCAUUCAAGUUUGUGGAGUUCGCAUAGGCUUUUGGAAACCCCAGAAUGAUAGCAACUCAAAUCUCCACAUAUCCGAAGAGUUUGAACAUUAGGUAGUCUGCCCAAAAUAUCUGGAGUACAACUAUUAGGGUUUAAGGCCGAUAUGAAAAUGAGAUUUUUCAGAGAGCUAGAACCAAAGUUUAGAUGCAUGAGUUUUUCCAUCUUCCAAAUAUCCUUUGGUGUUUGAUCUACGUAGCUAGAUGGCAUUUCUAGUGUCUGAAGGUUUAAAAGGGUGCAUAGCAGGGAAGGAAGACAUUUGAGUGAUGGGAUAUUCAAUUUCAAAUACUUCAAAUGGAAUAAAUUCUCUAAUCCGGGUGGAUAUUGGUCGAGAACUGCAAAACCCAUGUUCAAUACCCGAAGGUGUUUGAACUUUUUCCAAAAAUUCUCGCAAUCUGUCAGAGCAAGAUGUUCGCUUUUCCAAAAUGAGGUACCGUUUAGCAGUUCCCAGUGAUAUCUCUUCCAAGUUGGAGUACAGUCUAACAAAUCCCAUCUUUUCUGCCACCCAACGUAAAGCAGCAUAUACAUAACUUGGAACGUAACACGCUUUAAUUGUGCCGCCGGCUCUUAUCUUACCCACUUGAAUGAAUCCGCUAUUGCUUAAUUCUUUCAAGUACUCUUCAACCAUUCUCUAACUGUUGUAAUUGCCCGGUAUCAAACCUUCAGCUAUCCACAACUGACAUAAUUGCCUGGUAGAUAUCUCAAUGCUUGGAGGGAAGACACACAAAUAGAUGCAGCAGACUUUCAAGUGAAAAGGCAGCUCCCACACAGAAUGAAUUUGACUCAAAAUUGUCGGAAUCGCUUUCUGUCCAAUAUAAUUUUCUAAUGGCGUAUUUCCAUAGUCUAGGAUGAAAAAUUGCCAGGCUUCAUACUUUAUUCUAAUCAAUGGUCCUCCAACGAGAACUGAAUCAGGCUGGAUCUUUUCUCCGUUUUGCAAUUCGAACCAAAAAAGCGUUAUCAGUACUCUGCUUCCAUUCUGAUUAUCAGGAAGAAAUUCUACAAGAUCACUCCAUAUCUCACUGUCAUCAAGCACAAUAAAGUACUUCUUGUCUGUUAGGUAAUCUCGAAGAAUAGAUUUCUUCAAUUGAUAAUCUUCACCGAUAAUUACACUAACCCGAGAUGGAGGCAUCACAGAGUUGAUUAUGUCAUCCAAUAUCUUGCCAAAAUCGUAGGCUAUAGAAACCCUGACCCAAGC